RNAcentral lists this long non-coding RNA (90664 nucleotides) under Vitis vinifera (wine grape). RNAcentral describes it as "long non-coding RNA (VVIN_LNC004119)". The stretch from base 90322 to 90395 matches the Rfam family "tRNA". Lineage: Eukaryota; Viridiplantae; Streptophyta; Magnoliopsida; Vitales; Vitaceae. The record is from RNAcentral.
GGGGAAGUUAAGAAAAAAAAAAAGAGGAAAAAGAGAGGAGAUAUCUCGUGAAAGGGGGGAAGCUGAGGAGAAACACGGGCCUGCAGGCUGGGAAGAGAGCCGGGGUGGGAAUUUCGGGUCCGAAGCUUGAGGAGAAGAGGUUUGAAGAAGUGACAAGAGAGAGAUUUGCGAGAGGGUAGAAAUGGGCGUCUCAAGCUGAGUUGAGGAGGAGUUUGAAGCUUCGGUCCAGGUAAGAUUUCUGCAUGUUUUAUAUACCUCAUUUUAGUUUGCUUUUUUCUAUUUCUUGUUAAUUUCGGUUCCUGCUUGGUGUUUAUUAUAUGGAUGGCGAGGCAUAUGAUGCGUUAGAGAGUGUGUGUAUUGGAUUGAGAUCAAUUAAAAGGGUGGAAAAGAUGUCUAAUUAUAUGAUUAGUAGUGGGUUUGGUCCGGAUGAGUAUUUGGGGAACAAGUUCUUGUUGAUGCAAGUAAAAUACGGGAUGAGGAUUGAUGCACAUGGAUUGUUUGAUGAAAUGCCAAUAAAGAACAUUUUAUGUUUUUUUUAACACCCCUGCACAUGAUUCUCCCAUUCAUAUUAUAUUUGCUUCAAAUCCCGGAAGCGACCCCCACUAGCGACGUUGAGCCGAAGCUCCUUGCCGGCGGCGACGAAGAGAAUGACAGGUUGCAAGCUUGCAUGGGGAGGUGCCUACAGCUGCUAUUGGUCUUGGAGGUUUGGGCCCCCAUGAUAGUGGAUUUGGGCCUGAGGUGAAGCCCCAAACCCAAAUAUGAUGGUGAAAAGGCUUGAGUCCUUUUGCUAACGGAUGUGGGCUUGGGAUGAAGCCCAAAUCCGAGCUUGAUGAUGGAAGGCCCCCAUGAUUUGUCCAUCCACUUUAAGACCGACCCAUACUUAUUUCAAGCUGGCCCAUCUGGUUGUUUCCACCUUAUAUAUUUCACCUUCUCUAAAUCACUCAUUUCUCAAUAAACUCUUUAAUUUCUAAUUUCCAAGCCCAACUUACAAAAAUUCAAUCUCCAAAUGACACUUCAAAAUUCAGAUUUUUAAUGUUUAAUUCCGAUUUCCGAAUUCUCAUAUUCCCAUUAAUUUAUUUGAUCAUUAGUAUUUCAUUUAUUUAUUUCAAAGCUCCAUUCUAAAUCAAAUUCUUCUAAAACUUCUGAUUACCGAAUUAAAUUCAAAAAAUUCCAAUAUUCGCAUUAAUUUAUUAUUGUUAUUUUAUUUAUUUAUUCUAAAAUUCCAUUUUAAACAAUUCAUUAAAAUUUCCGACUUUCGAAUUAAAUUUCUAUUUCUGAAAAUUCCAAUAUUCACAUUAAUUUAUUUAAUUAUUAUUAUUUUAUUUAUUUAUUCUAAAAUUCUAUUUUAAACAAUUCAUUUAAAAUUUUCAACUUCCAAUUUUAAUUUCUAAUUCUGAAAAUUCCAAUAUUCACAUUAAUUUAUUUAAUUAUUAUUAAUUUAUUUAUUUAUUCUAAAAUUCCAUUUUAAACAAUUCAUUAAAAUUUCCACUUCCGAUUUUAAUUUCUAAUUCUGAAAAUUCCAAUAUUCACAUUAAUUUAUUUAAUUAUUAUUAUUUUAUUUAUUUAUUCUAAAAUUCUAUUUUAAACAAUUCAUUUAAAAUUUUCAACUUCCAAUUUUAAUUUCUAAUUCUGAAAAUUCCAAUAUUCACAUUAAUUUAUUUAAUUAUUAUUAUUUUAUUUAUUUAUUCUAAAAUUCCAUUUUAAACAAUUCAUUAAAAUUUCCACUUCCGAUUUUAAUUUCUAAUUCCAAAAAUUCCAAUAUUCACAUUAAUCUAUUUAAUUAUUUUAUUCUAUUUAUUUAUUCUAAAAUUCCGUUUUAAACGGUUCAUUUAAAACUUUCGAUUUUCGAAUUAAAUUUCUAUUUCUGAAAAUUCUAAUAUUCACAUUAAUUUAUUUAAUUAUUAUUAUUUUAUUUAUUUAUUCUAAAAUUCCAUUUUUAAACAAUUCAUUAAAAUUUCCACUUCCACUAAUUCCAAAAUUCCAACAUUCACAUUAACCUAUUUAAUUAUUAUUAUUUUAUUUAUUUAUUCUAAAAUUUCAUUUUAAACAAUUCAUUAAAAUUUCCGACUCUCGAUUUAAUUUCUAAUUCCAAAAUUCAUAUUAAUCUAUUUAAUUAUUAUUAUUUUAGUUAUUUAUUUUGAAAUUCCAUUUUAAACAAUUCUUCAAAAUUCCAAUUUCUGAACUUAAUUUCUGAUCUCCAAAAUUCUAAUUUCUUUCAAAUUUAAUAUCCAAAAUUCUAAUUCUUAAAUUUAAUUUUUCAAGACUCCAAUCUUCAAAUAAUUUUCGAGGCUCUAAUUUCCAAAUAAAUUUCAAAAAUCCAGUUUUCUCUCGAAUAGCUUUAAUUCCACUCCGAUUUUUAAAUAAUGUUCUAUUUCUUUUGAUUUUUACACAAGCAAGAAUGAUGAAUCUUCAUAAUUCCGAAAUAAUGGGAUUCGUGAGAUUAAUUCGUGCAAUAUAAAUCGGGCUUUGGUGGGGCCCCACAUAUUUGAUUUUAUGACUGACUGAUUGAUUAAUUGAUUUAUUUACCAUGCUUGUUUGAUUUAUUUUGUUCCUUGAUAUGCACGUAAUUAUAUCUAUUCAUUGUUCACUAACCUUGUUUUAUGAUAGCGCAUGGUGGCUCACUGCCCAGGUACAUAUCUAUUCCCAUUCUGGUAUUUCUAUAUGCGUGCUUUGAUUCUCAUAUGUGCAUGAUAGUUCCGGGUAUUCAUUGAUUUCUUCAUCAAUUGCCAUGUCAACUUCAUUCUAUUAGUAGAGACCCGACUUUAGGGACUUAGAGGGGUGCUACGGUCUUCACCGUACCUUCCCGAUAAGUAACCUGACCUCCGAACCCGAUCCGGUUUUUCGUAGAUCACCUUUUCCAAAUAAGGAGUCAAACUUAGGGUUUUUCUUUCUUAUUUUGUUUACCCUUUAAAAAUAAAACAAAAAUAAGUGGCGACUCCAAAUCAUUUUUCUUAAUCAAAUAAAAAUCAAUUUUUCAAAUAAAAAUCGAGCUCGCCAUCGAGUGGGAAACGCAUGAACCGAAAUGCGGGGUCCACAGGUAUAUUUAUCCGUUACUAUUUCAUAUCCUUCAACUCAAUUUGAAGAGUUAUAGGGACCUUUUGUUAAUUUGGGGUCCAUCUACUCCAAAAGAUAAUUCUCUCUCAAAUGAAAAACCUACUUAAUAGCCCAACCCCAACCCUAGAGAGAUUUAAAACAAUCUCAUCCUUAGAUUAUGAAUAUAUAUCAACUUGAUUCUUUCACAGACAUGAAAUAAUAUUAUUUUUUUCCUUAGAAAAACAUUAUCAAUUUUUUUAUCCUCACUCCUAAUUAUUAUUUUUACAAAAUGCCCCCUUAUAUGUUUCAUUAAAUGGAAAUAACGAGAAGAAAUUAAUAAUAAGAAAUGAAUGGAAAAUUAGAGAAAAAUCAAGAAAAUCAUUUUUUUUUUAAAAGAAAAAGUUAUUAUAAAAAUACAUAGAAAGUGUUGAUGUCAUAUUAUCAGGUUCAGAGUUGUUUAUGUCACAAUGCCACUCUUCACAUGCUAUUGUUAGGUUUAUGGUUGUAGUGGCUUAUACAUGACCCAUCAAUUGACUUCGAUUUUGUUUCUUUAUUAUACCUAUAUCCUUGAAGAAAAAGUCUUAAUAGUGUGUUCCCUAUUCACUUUUCGGACGACAUGACAUGAAAUAUUAUAAUUUAUGUCAAACAACAAACAAACAAACAAGGUUAUAUUUAAAGUAUUUAAAGAGUGCAGGCUAUUUUUUUUCAAAUUCAGAAUUAACUUCAACUUCCCCACUUAACCAAAAUUUCCUGAAUAUAAAUAAAAAUUAUAAACUUGGAUAAAAAUAAAGUGAGGGUAGGAGAGGCCCCCUAAAAUUAAAGGCAGUGUCUGUGUGAGUGGUGGGCCUUGACAGCUGUGGACAUAAACAUCCUGUGAAUUUCUUGGCUGUUUUAUUGAUUAAAGAUGACCCAACUGGGGCUUGUUGGAUCACACAUUCAUUGUUUCCCAUCCUCAAUUUUUAUCACUCACCUCAUAUUCCAAAACAAAUCACAAAUCAAAAGUCAAUUCUCUUAAUGGGAUUGCCGGAUUGGACUCUCUUGUGUAAUGGUUUUCUUUUCAACCACCCAGUACUCAUUUCCAUUAUUAGCUCUUACCAAUUUUCGGGUCAUUUUUCUUCUGCUUACCCCUUCCAAAUAUUUCCAACUCAAAGUCAUGAAGAAGUCAGGACCCCUUUCUAGUUUGUCCUUGAACUUUGUCUCAGAGACAAAAAAAGAAAAUAACAAUAACAAUGUCUCUCAUAUAUUCUGAAACCUGAAAACCACCACGCAUUGAAACCCUAGUUUCACGAGGACUAUGAAGAAGAAAUAAACCAAAAAAAUAAGCAAGUGAACAUAGAUAGAUAAUACAUAUAUAUAUAUAAAGCCAUAUUAUUGCUAAUCCGCAUGCAUCAAUUUCAUACCCUAGGCUUAAUCUUGGCCCUUAGAGGGUUCUUCAUCACCACUGUGAAUUCCAACUUUUCACUAAAAUCAAUCUUACUGUUUUCAGGGUAUGCGCUCCACUCGAAGUCCUGCACCAUCCUUGCCAGCAUUAGGUUCACAUGCACGGUGGCCAUGCUCAAACCAGGGCAUAUCCUUCGCCCUACUCCGAAUGGCAUCAUUUUUACGCCGGUCACUCCGGUUAUAUCGGCGUCUUCACCGCCCAAGAAAAAGCGGUCGGGGUCGAACUUUUCGGGAUUCUUCCAUAGCUUGGGGUCCUCGGAGAUGGGUGGCAAGAAGAACUCGACAUUUGCGUCUGUGGGUAUGUCGUAGCCUGCCAACUUCGCUGGCUCUGUGACUGCAUGAGUUAGGGAAAAGUAGGUGGGAGGGUGUUUACGUAGUAGUUCUUUUGAAACUGCGUUUAGGUAAGGCAUCUUCUCCAUGUCUUUCUCUUGAACCUUACGAUCACCCACUGUUGUUUUGAUCUCUUCGUAUAGUUUUGACUGAAUCUCGGGGUUCUCGAUCAUUCGGGCAAUUGCCCACUCGACCGCCGUCCCUGUUGUGUCGGUGCCGCCAUUGAGGAACUCGGAGCAGAGUGUGACGAGCUCGGGGUUGGUUGGAGAUGAUUUACGCCCCUCGAUUUUGAGAUCGAAGAUCGUGUCGAGGUAGGAAAAUGAAGCCGCGGUUUUAUCUGAUCCUGGGUUUUCAAGCGCCGCACGCCGCCUCUCGAUGAAGGGGACAACAGUUUUGAUCUGCCUCUUCCGCACUUCCGUGGCGGCUUUCCUCUGCUUUGAGAAGAAUGGGCUUAGAAGUGGGAGAUAGUCAUCAAGUCUUGGAUCAAGAGUGAUUAGAACAGUUUUCAUCAGAUCAUCCAUCACCUCAAUGGUCUCCUCAUCCAUUUCGACUCCAAAACACAUAGACAAAAGGAUGCAAAAAACAGCAAAUCGAGCAUUCUUCAGAACCCAAACAGCUCCAUCAUUAGCCUCAGCCUCGCUCCGUAGCCUGUCAAUGAGCUUAUCCAUGGACACAUCUCUCAAAUUGCUGAACUCCCUAAUCUUGCUUGCACUGAGCAUGUUUUGCACCAUGUUCCUCCGCAGCGACCGCCAGACAGGGCCGUAGACGGCAGCGUUCACCGUGAACUUGUUGCAGCUGAACACGGUGCGCGUAGGGUUUUCUCGAGGCCUGCUAGCGAAAGACUGGCCCUUUUCGAUGAGAGCUUCGUGCGCCAAUUCUGCACUGCUUAUUAUGAUCAUGGUUCUAUUCCCCAUCUUCAAAGUGAAAAUUGGGCCAUAUUUUGGCCUAAGCUCUCUCACAUACUGAAAAAAUUGCUUCCCAGAGCGAGCAAAUUGGAAGAGGUUUCCAACAAUAGGCCAACCAGGGGGUCCCGGAGGAAGGUUUAGCUUCUUUGACUUGGUUUUACGUGACAGCAAGACGAUCAGACCUGAUAUGAGGAAGGCUAAAGCAGUGAAGAAGAUGUGGUAGUAAGGAGAAUAAGUCGAAGAAGCAGCAGCAAAAGCAGGAGCCAUGGAGAUGGUGUUGAGACAGAGAAAGAGAGAAGGCAGGAGGAGAAGAGGAGAUGAAGUAAUGGAGGAAGGUUGGAGAGGGGUAUAAAAUGGAGAGGGCGUGAAAUUGCAGGUGGGGUUCAAUUAAGGCUCUUCAAGUCUUCUACCAACGCACAACUGGUUGUGUUAAAUGCUAAAGAGAGAGAGAGAGAGAGAGAGAGAGAGAGAGAGAUGGGGUUUUGAGAAAUAUGGAAAACCAGUGACACUGACGCCCCUCAUGCAAGCAAUGUCUUUAUGGCCACAAAUUUCUUAUUGUCUCUCAAAUUUGAACUAAAAAAUUAGACUAAAUUAAGAGUUUUGGUAAGGUUGAAGAAAUUUAUGGUGGCCCUCUGAAUCUGGUGUGCCAAGCCUUUGAUUGGGAUUCAUUGAAUAAAAACGGUUCAUAAAUGAACUCUACCCUUGAGUCGGAGGCCACUACUGGAUGGAGCAUUUCACAGUAAGAAAAAAAAAACAGAAAAUAAAUGGAGUUGGGGUUGGAAAAUGGUGAGUUACAGUCUUUUAGUACUUGCAUCUACUGCUGAAACUUGACCUCAAAAGGAUUAAUUGAUUCAUGAGAGUAGGAGGUGUAGACUACAGAGUCUGUCAUGGUUCACAGUUCAAAGAGAUUGAAAUAUCGAGGAAGAGAAUGAAAAGAGAGUCAGUGAUGAGUUAGUUGAGUAGGAUCAGAGCCACCUGUACAAUAAUACCAUGUAGACCAGCACUGCGACGGGACUGAGAUUCAUCUCAUCUGUCACUAGUCAGUCAUGGUACAUUAGCUUAUUUUGAUUUAAACUGCUUUACGUGUUCCAGGUUCGUACACCAUUUUGCCUUAUUUGGAGCCCAUGGUUUGCUUUAAAGAAUUGAUUUUCUCUUUAAUUCUCCUCUUAAUAUGCCUUAAAGAGUGCCAAAAAAAUAAAAAAAAUUCACUAACCUUUUCUCUCAAAAAACGGUUUCUCAAAACAGUUUUUAAAAACAUUCUCUCAUGUUUUUUUUUGUUAACACAAAAAAUUGUCCCAAACCGAAAAUAUUCUUAAUAUAUUUUGUAUGUUUUCAUAUAUUUCUUAAAGGUAAUUAUUUUUGUUAAAGUUUGGUUAUUUGAAUUCUAUUUGAUCAAACUUGAAAAGCCCGUGGUACGAUACAUAUGAUGAAAUUAUAAUUAUGAGAUUUUUUUGGAGUUUUAUAAUAGUAAUAGAGAAAUUAAGAGAGUGUUUGAUACUAAUUCUAUGAAGUAUUUUUAAUCUUUUUAAUAUAUAAAUUUUUUUAUCUUUUAAGUAUUAAAAAAAAGUAGAAAGAUAUUCUAAAAUCAUUAUCAAACAUACUUUAAGUGUGGGAUAAUGUAAUUUUAGAAUUAUGAUGAUUAUGCUUUUUUGUAAUUGCUCCCAAUCUUAUGAUACUUUUUUGAUAUAAUGAAUUUUUUUUAUUUUGUUUAUGAUUUUUCUUGUUUAGAGUUUUUCACAUAAAUUUAUAUAUUUUUAUUCUAUUUUUAACUACCUAUUCUCAUUAUUGUGGAACAUUUUUUAUUUUUAAAAAUAAAAAAUAUAUAUAUUUUUAAAAGAAGCUCGCAAAGAGGAUUGUCAAAUUCAGUGAAAAUUGAAUUCCAAGUGGGGAGAAGGCAUCCAUCCAGCACAGUAAGAGUCCAAUAAAUGGCACCCAUGACAAAGGGCAUAGGGUCGGAAGGAUUGUGAUUGAAGAUGGGGAUUAUUUUCUUCUUUUAAAAAUAAACUGACUGACAAGAAACUCAACAGUUGCAAGUACUUCUACUACUUCUUUCCUGAAAUAUAAAAAUAGGUUUGUUUGUCUGCAUAGUUUUUUAAUUUACUGUUGAAAACAAAUUUUAAAAUUAUUUUCUGACUGAAUCAAUUUCAGAAGACUUGUCACGAUGAUUCAAAGAUUGCAAGGACUUCUACCAUUGAAACAUCCGAAAACAAUAUGAUGGUCCUUUCUCUUUUGCCUUCGAAAAUAGUUAAAGAUAUGUUAUUUUAAAAAAAAAUAAAAUUAUGUUUAUUUUCAUUGACAAAAUUAAUAGACCCAAAAUAUUAGAAUUAUUAGUAUAUACUUAUACUUGGGCAUAAGUUUUGUCCAACGAAAUGUUGAAAAAGAAUCCUCCAUGCUCACAUUAAAAUCCCAAAGAAAAUACCUCAUGAUAAGAAGAAAAUUGUUAGUUAGAUUACUUAUAAUUUUUUUUAAAAAUAAUUUUAAGAAAAAUCUUGAGGGUAAUAGAAAGGAGGGGAAAUCAUGCAACCAUCCAUUAUCUAAAAAAAAAAAAUUGCUUUUUAAUAUAGACUUCAUCGAUCACCUACAAAACUAAGCUUUAUAGCACAUACUUCAUAGUAUAUAAAGGAAAAGCUAAUCAUAUUUAAUAGAAGAGGUUGAAAGAAUUUUCCAUUUAAACAAACAUCCAAGAUAAUAUUCUCAAUUCUUGAUUCAUAAUAAGAUGGUAUAUAAUAUUAAUUAAUUUGUGAGCUUCCACAAAGAUAUUAUGUUUGUUAGUGUGUGUAUUACAUUGCCUAUGAUUAACAAUUUGAAUACAUAUAUAUCCUGAGAUCUAGUCAUUAGUGGGAUCCAUUCCUGCUAAGGUUCUAUGUAUUGCUCAUCUUGGGUUUGUUUGUGAGCUCUUGUCUAGAGUGAAGUAUAGAUUAAUUAAUACAAUUUUUUCAUAUUUUGUUUUGAAAAUAUAUUAUUUUUAAAAUUAAAUAAAGAUAUUUUUCAGUGUUUUUUUAAAGUAACGUUAUAAAGAAUAUUUUGAACAAUUUUAGAUUGUAAAUAAAUACAUUAUAGCUUUAUAGAAUGUAAGCUGAAAAUAAUAAUUUUUAUAUUUAAAUUCUCAAAUAGAAUUUUAUUCUUAAAGAUAAUUGAAAAUUGUUUUUAAAAAAUGUCUUUCAAUAUGUUUUACACACAAUUUUUUCUUCAAGAAAAAUCAUGCUCAGUGGAAUUGGAUUUUUAUUGAUUUGUAGAAUGAUAUUGGAAUAAUCUUUAAAUUUUUCAUAUUUAAAUUCUUAACAAAAUUUUAUUUCUCAAGAAAAUUGAGAAUUGUUUUUAAAUAGUGUUUUUAGAUAAUUGGUCAAGUUGGAUUUUUAUUAAUUUGAAAAAUGAUAUAGCUAGAAUUUUUAUUUUGUUCUCCAAUUCUUCAUUUCCUAGUUGUUAAUCAAGGACCAAAAAAUGUUUGAUUUAGAAUAGCUUAAACCUAAUUUAGACCUUGACUUAAUUUAAUUUUGAGUCUUGACUUAACAUAGAUUCCGACUUAAUUUGGAUAUUGAUCGAAUUCGAACCUAUGUUUAACUUAGGUUUUGGUGUAACUAGGACCUUGGCCAAACUUGAGUUUUGGCUUGACUUAAACAACAUCAAGGACUUUGAGUAGUUUGAUCUCAAAUUGUAGAAGCCUUUUGUAGAUUUUCAUUUUAAAAGUUGAAACUUAAGACUUUGAAGAUCUUAACAAUUCAAAGAUACUUUAAAAAAAAUUGAAGACUUAUAUCUCAUUUUAAUUUUGAAAUAGUGUUGAAUCUCCCAUAAAGAGUUUCCUCUAACUCUUAUCUUCUAAAUUGUCUUUAAAUUACCUUGUCAAUGCUUUGCAGUUGGUUUAAGUUACAUGGAUUAGAAAAAAUCAUAUUUAGAUCAUUUUUUAUUUUUUAUAAAUAUUAUUUCUUAAUUAAAAUAAAUAUAUAAGGAGAUUUGAAGGACUAUAUUGGAUAGUUUCAACAUUUUAAAAUAUUAUUCUUUAAAUUAAAAAUAAUAUCUAAGCUAAAUUGAAAGACUAUAUUUGAUAACAUUCAAUUUAUUUCUUAGUAAAACUUGAUAAUUAUUUUUUCGAUUAUCAAUUUACUAUUUCUAUUAAUUCUAAUAACUUUUCUUUUCUUUCGGUUUUUCUUUUUUUUUUUGGAGAUUCAUGCUAACUUUUUCAUGGAUUGAAAAUUUAUUUCAUGUGAUCACUUAUAAUUAACCACAAUAUAAAUCAAUUAUGAACAUUUGAUUUUUCUUGUGAAUUAUAAUUAACUUAAUUUGAGUAUAUAAUAAAAAGUUGUUCAUAAACACAAGUGUACACACAAAUUUUCGCGAAUUGUCUACAAUCUCUGUGAUAAUAUUCUUUACAAAAGAAUAUAUCCCUCUGGUUCUUUCACUUUGAUCACAAUUUGGAAGACGACAAUGAUGUUUUCUUGAUUUCGAAGAUCAGUUAAGGGUCAUAAGUGACUUAUUCUCGAAUGAACUUGUUGAAUGACAAAGCUCGCGUGUGUAGAACUUUUAUCGUUUCUUGAAAGGGAGAUUUUUGUGAAACCCUUUUUUUUAUGAAGCAUCUUUUCCCCUAUAGAGUAGUUUUUUGCCAAUCUAAAGAAGUCCAUACGUCGAAGGAAAUCACCCAUUUUUAUAGGUGAAAAUAGGAAAUCAAAAUUUGGAAUUCCCUAAGAUGUAGUUGCUUGAUUUUAACAACUUGUCUUCUCCAUUAAGGAAAUUUGUCAACAAGAGAAUAUAUAUAUAUAUAUAUAUAUAUAUAUAUAUUUUGACUUCAAGAGGAAUAUUUGUUUCUUUAAAAAAAAAAAAUUGUCAAUUAGAGAAUAUUUAUUUAUUUAUUUUUUAUUUUCUUUUGACAAUAAUUUGGAAGAUUUGAUUUUAUUUGGAAGACUAAAUUUUGUAGUCUUCCAAAUUGGUCCACAUGCCACCUUUUUAACAUAUGCCAAGUGUCAAAUAUGUGUAAGACCAAUCAUGUGUAGAUCCCAUAUUUUGUUGAAUCGAGGAGUCACAUUUUUUUUAAGAUCAAUUUAAUGAUAAUUUAUUUCACUAAAAAUUUUUAUGUCUACAAAUGCUCCCACUUCAAGACAUAUCACGUACAUGCCUUGCAAUGUAUAUGGUGGGUCUUGAAGUUACUCUUCAAAAUUUUUCUUUUCAAAGAAAUAUUUUUAAUAGGAAGUUUCCUAUUUAAAAUAUCUCUUUCCCACUUUUCUGAAAUAUUAUUUUAUUUCAUUUCUUUCUUUCCAUUUGGCAUCAAAGGAAGGUUUUGUGUUAAUAGGAAAGUUUCUAUUUUGACUAUCCACUUUCACUUCCCAUCCUUUCCAAUUUACCCCCUUUAUAUAUAUAUAUAUAUAAAGGGGGUAAAAAUUUGAGAAAUCCAAAUCGAACUCUCUUGAAGAAUUUUCUCAAUCUUUGGACAGUCUUCAACCCAAUUUGAAAAAUCUGACUUGAAUUCUUUCACGAGAAGUCUUUCACCUUAAGCCAAUUUCCAAACCCGUAAGUUGUAUUUUAUUUUAUUUUUAUUUUUAUUUAUUUUUACCUUUAAGGACUUCUAUCGUGGGAACGUGGAGAUUUAACAAUAGUAGUGUGGACUAGUAUCAUGUGAUGGAGUAGCAUGUUUUGGGAGUGAACGAAGACAAUAUCAUGUUGUGGGUUAUGCAGAAGCAACCAACAUAUACAUAUAUGUAUACGUACAUAUGAAUGGCUAACAGUGGGAACAAACAAAGAAAGCAAUUGAAAUAUAUAUAAAUAAAUAUAUAUAUAUAUAUAUAUAUAUAUAUAUAUAUAUAUAUAUAUAUAUAUAUAUAUAUAUAUAUAUAUAUAUAUUGGAAUCUUCCUAGAAAUUGGUUGACACGUGAUCUCCUUAUUCGUUUUUCUUUUCUUUUCCUUACUUUUUUUUCUUUUUUUUUUCUUUUUUUUUUAGGAAGGAAAAGUUCCACGAUCCCAAAGACGUGUCAAUCUCCAUCGCUUUGCAAAGAUGAAUUUGGCUUUAGAUAUUUUAUAUAUAUAUAUAUAUAUAUUUUAAUUACCUUAACACUUGAGGAAGAAUUUUUUUGGUAAACUUAAAUAUCCAUAAGAAUUUAUGAAUAUUUAAAACUUGAUCCUCAUGUAAUCAAGUUGUAGUCCUUAUGUGAAGCAGUGUUGUAUUUUGACAUUUAUAUGCUAAAGUCUUCACCCAUGCAGAUUGCCUUGACUUAAAUGUAUAGUGGUGUUCAAGUUUUAAUAUUUAAUUAAAACUAUAACAAUAUUUGACACAUGCAAACAAGUUAUGGCCCUAACAUCAUGCAAUGUUAUACUUUCGGCACUUAAUGCGGCUUAGGUGCUAAGGUUUUUACUCAUGCAGAUUGACUCGACUUGAAUGCAUAAUGGUAUUCAAGUUUUAAUAUUUAAUUAAAACCAAAAUAAUAUUUGACACCUAUGCAGACAAGUUGUCUUUAUGCUACGUGUGUUGUACUUUCAAUACUUAGUACGAGAUAAGUGUUAAGGUCUUCACUCAUGCGAAUUGGAGUAACUUGGAUGUAUAAUGGUGUUUAACUUCUAAAAAAAUUAGACCCACAUUUUAUUUUAUUUAUUUUAUUAUUAUUAUUUUUUUGCAGGAUAAUAUUCUUCAAGUAUUUCAAGGAAAAGACUGUGACCAUUCUCAAGGAUGAUAGUGAAGAUUUUUAGGAGAGAACUACCCUGUCAGUGCAUAAGUCACUUACUGACCUUCAAUCCUUGUUGGUGCUAGUGACAAAGGAUCCAUUACACAUUUCUUCUUGGUCUCGAGUAGCAUCUUGCAAGCUUACUGAUUCGUGCCCACUUGGUGUGUCAGCUGAUUCAUGUCCAGCUGGUGCUUCUUGAUUGAGGGAGUAAUCAACAAAAUUUAUAACCUAUUACACCAUGAACUAGGGUAGCAAAGACAAAGCUACUAUAGCAUAGUGGCUCUAGGAUCGUUCACUGGGAUGAGAUUUCACUCCAUAAUUGAUAUUAAUUCAAAGAUGAAUUGGUGCCUUUUCAUUUCAAGGUUAGCUUUAAAAGAAAACAUAAAGAUGUUUGAAAAAGGAUUGGUUUUAAGCUAACCAAAAAUAAUAACUGAUUUUACUUACAAAGAAAAGUGUUUCUUGGAGUUAAGAUCACUGGGUUCAGAUUCCUCAUAUAAAAAGGAGAGUUCCAGUCACUUGUUUAUUUUCCUCGCAUUGAGGAUUUAACCUAUAGUUAUUUCCCGAACCGGUGUGGUACAGAUGCUUCCCAUUAAUGGGUUCAAACACUAAAUCCCUCUCACUGAUGCAACUUGCAAUGACUCAUACCUCUCACCUAACACUUGCCAUUCAAGGUGAUCUUUAACCUUGGAUUACCCGUCAAAAGCUCGCAAGAGAUAACUAAUGGAUGUCUCCUUUAAGUCCAAAAGCUUACCAAGUGUUGGCUAUUCUAGAAAAUCCUACCUUCAAACCACCUCCCAAAGGCUCGCAAGAGAUAAACUAGUGCAUCUCAAUGGAUGGAGAUCACUUGCCUUACCAAGUGUUGGCCCAGGUGAUUUAAAGGCGUUUUAAGUUAACUAAAAAGAUAAAAACCAUUAACGAGUCACACUUUCUCUUCAUUAAAAACUAAAACAACAAAACUUCCAAUUUAUGUAUGUGGAAACUUACCCGGCUUUCUUUACUCCAAGAGACAAAGAGCCUAGCCUCUCAUCCUCUGAGAAAAAAUCCUCAGAGUUUGAUUGGCUAGAAAGAAAAAGAAUAAGAAAACAAAAAUAUAUAUGAAAAACAGAGCAAGUGCUCUGUAUUUUACUUCCUUGCAAAACUGUACAAAGGAUGCGUCUCUGAGAACAAGCUCCCAGAUUUUUCAUACCUCUAAGAACAAGCUCCCAGAGAUUACAUACAUUUUCUAAAGAAGAUUACAAACUAUCUAUAAGGGGUUAUUCACCCUUUGUUUUUACUUAAAGACUAAGGAAUCCUAUGAUAGGUGGGUUACAAGGAGACUUUGGGGAUUUAGACAUCAAAUAUCUAAAGCAAAAUAUCUCAAAAUGUCGGUCGCACAUAUCGGGAAUUUAGACAUUAAAUAUCUAAAGCAAAAUAUCUCAAAAUGUCAGUCGCACAUAUCGGGAAGCUUCAGGAGAACACAGCGGCACUGUACAAAAUGGCUGUGAAACUCUCCGGGUAAGGGCUAUCAGAUGAUCCGGAUAUGUCCAUCCGGGGAAGUUGAAACGCCCUCCUUUCCCAUCCGGCGUCAGGCGCCGGAUGUGAAACAUCCGGAGAAGGUGGCACGUCACCCGGACAUAAUUCCGGAUGUGGGAUAUCCGAAGAAGAUGGAACGUCGCAAGGGUGACCGUUCACGUGUGCAUGGUGUAGGGACCCAUCCGGAGCAACUCCAUCCGGAUUCCCCAAGAGGAUACGCAGCGCGCUCCCUUAUCCGGACUCCCUCAGGGAGAAGCACGUGGCACUCGUGAUCAUCACACCCAGAUGAUAGCAUAUCUUAUCUGGAUAUGUUGUCCGGAUCAUUGACUUAAGUGCACAAGCCUUGCUACGUCAUUCCGACAGCCUGCCACAGCCCAUGUUUCGCCGCCCUCUGAUGAUGUGUCCGAAUGCCCAUACUCCUUGCAUUCCGGAUUUGCUUAUGGCAAAGGACUUCAAAGCUUCGGCUCUUCAUGUUUCUGAGCUUUCCUUUGCUUUGCCAUGGAUUCCAAAGAAUUCUCCUCAAUCUCGAAUUUGAUUUGGUGAUCAAAAAGCUAUCAAAACACCAAAACUUAACACAAUUUGAUUAGAAUUGAUUGCAAGGGUCCUUAAUAUGUUAAUUGGGUUAAAAGGUGAUAACUACUACUCAAAAGUGUUUAAAAGAGUUAAUUACAAGCUAUGAAAUAGCACUUUUUGAGUAGUAAUCACUUACAAACAUUAAUAAUUCAAAAUUCAACAAAGUAAAACUUGUUUCUAAUGUUAUACUAUUGAAUUCUUCUCACCUAACCACUACUGAAACUCAAAGUGAAUUUGGAUUGUUGGGAUCUCAUGUUCAUGAUGGAGAAGUCGAAUGAGGAACCUCCUUUAAGGUGCUUGGGGAAUCUUUUUUUAUUGAAGGAUAUUGGGAAUGGGUAGAAGAUAUGUUUGGUUAACAGAGAAAACUUCUUAAAGAAAACAAACUUUACGAAGAUAUAUUUGCUUCUUUGUUUAGCUAUGAUCAUCAUACUUCUAUUAUCAGAGUUUUUUUGCAAACAUUGAUGUCCUUCAACUAAUACCUUGCAUAAUUCUAUUGGAGAGGUUUUCAUCUCCCUUUGGGACUUAUAUCGCAUUGUUGGGCUACAUAUCAUUGGAUAUUUUUAUGAUGAAAUGGUAUUGACUACAGAAAGGCUAUCAAAGUCCUCACUCUCACCAAGUUGUCAAAACUUGUUCCUUGCAUAUCAUCAAAUUUGCUUUGAGAUGAAGAGGAAGUUUUUAGUUAAGAUAGCCUCUUGGGUGUUGUUUUGGUUCAAAGACUCUAUGAAGUAUGCAAAAUCCCUAAAGAAUAGUACAAGGAACAAGACACAGAGACUUAAGGAGACUCAUAAUCCUUUUGGGAAUGUUGAUCCUCUUGAAUCUUAUAAUUAGUCAGAGAUGAAGGUGUUUGACGACCUUGGUAUGGCUAAGGUAAAUAUUGAGGAAACCUAUUUUACGAUACGACUUUCCUUGUAUGUUGGUUAUGCAAGUUUGUUCUUCUUAGGGAGGGUGUGAAUUUGAUUCGUCAUGGAGUCUUCAAGGAAGCUAGUAGAAUGGCUCAAGGUGAGACAUUAACCUUGUUAUUCCGGUGUUAGCAAGCAUUUACAAUGGCUUGAAUGAAAUUGUUUGUUCCUCAAAGCCUAGGACUAAUGCAUCUAUUUUCCUUAUUCACUAUUUAUAUGGAUAGUUAGGCGAAAAUUUUGAUACCCAUUUCUUCUUUUCUUCUUGGAAUCAUUCUCCACGGAUGACUUGUUAUGUCAAUGAGUUUUUUGCUAAGUCUUUUGAAGAUUCACAAGCGUGGGCUUUGAUAAUAUCUUGCAAAGGUGUAAAGUUGAACCACUUGGUAUUGCAGUACAAAGAGCACAUGUAUUGGAUUGAUAAUGAGUCUAUUACUACUACCCAAACUUCUUAUCUCUUAAGUCUUCGCUUUACCUAUUUAUCUUUACGAAAAGGUAACCAUUGAGUAAUUCAACUGUAUUAUCCUCGCCGAUUUUGUAGACAAUUUGGGCAUCCUCAAGAUGUUCCUAGGGGUUUACUAGAGGUUUUUCGCACUAGAACUUUAGAGGUGGUGUAUAAACAUUGGAAGUCAUGCACUAGGCUUGGCACCCACUCCAAAAUUACUAUGCCAAAUUAUCAUAGUCUUGACGAGUUCUCAAUCACCAAGGCUUAUGCAGAUUGGUGGAUUGGAAUGUGUAAUCUUGAGAAGAACAUGCUUACUAUUACUUGUAUAGAGCCCCCUCAUGUUCUUCUCUACAAAUACCCUCAAAAUCUUUGGAGAGUAGAACAUGCAAGAUCAACCCAAGUGUUUCUACUAAGAGCAAUGUUGGGGACAACAUUGAGGGAAACUUUGAUAAUUUACCUAAUGACUUAAGAGUUUCUUCUAAGCACUCAAUGGGUGGUCAUCAAACUAAUGUUUUCACACACUUGGAACAUGAAGGAAUUAUCUUUUAUGGUGGUAAUGCUCACUAUCACCAAACUUUUAAGCAAAUCAACAAUGCAGAGGUUCUUCAUGUAUCUAGUGACGGCUCCAAGGAUAUAAGUGAAUGUCAUUUCAAACAUCGAAAGACUAGACCCUCCCUUAUGUACUAUGAUGAGACUAACUCUCAUGCAGAUGUUUUCUUUGCUGAUGCUCCAUCUUCUACUCAACCAAUGGAACUUAGUGGUGAAAAAGGUUUUUUGUUUUUGUUUUUUUUUUUUAACACGUCGAUGUUAACAAAAAAAAAAAAAAAUCGCCUUAGGAUGAAGAUGACAAUCAGCUUAUCGGUGAGGAUAAUGAUUCUUUUCUUAAAGGCCAGUUUGAAAAUGUUGAUAGCACUAAGGUUCUAUGUAUUGCACAUCUUGGGUUUGUUUGUGAGCUCUUGUCUAGAGUGAAGUAUAGAUUAAUUAAUACAAUUUUUUCAUAUUUUGUUUUGAAAAUAUAUUAUUUUUAAAUUAAAUAAAGAUAUUUUUGAGUGUUUUUUUAAGUAAUGUUUUGAACAAUUUUAGAUUGUACAUGAAUACAUUAUAGCUUUAUAAAGUGUAAACUGAAAAUAAUAAUUUUUAUAUUUAAAUUCUCAAAUAGAAUUUUAUUCUUAAAGAUAACUAAAAAUUGUUUUUAAAAAAUGUCUUUCAAUAUGUUUUACAUACAAUUUUUUCUUCAAGAAAAAUCAGGCUCAGUGGAAUUGGACUUUUAUUGAUUUGUAGAAUGAUAUUGGAAUAAUCUUUAUAUUUUUCAUAUUUAAAUUCUUAACAAAAUUUUAUUCCUCAAGAAAAUUGAGAAUUAUUUUUAAAUAGUGUUUUUAGAUAAUUGGUCAAGUUGGAUUUUUAUUAAUUUGAAAAAUGAUAUAGCUAGAAUUUUUAUUUUGUUCUCCAAUUAUUCCUUUCCUAGUUGUUAAUCAAGGACCUAAAAAAGUUUGAUUUAGAAUAGCUUAAACCUAAUUUAGACCUUGACUUAAUUUAAUUUUGAGUCUUGACUUAACAUAGAUUCCGACUUAAUUUGGAUAUUGAUCUUAUUUGAAUCUUGGUUCAACUUAGGUUUUGGUGUAACUAGGACCUUGGCCAAACUUGAGUUUUGGCUUGACUUAAACAACUUUGAUCUCAAAUUGUAGAAGCCUUCUUCAGAUUUUCAUUUUAAAAGUUGAAACCUAAGACUUUGAAGAUCUUAACAAUUCAAAGAUACUUUAAAAAAAAUUGAAGACUUAUAUCUCAUUUUAAAAUUUGAAAUCGUGUUGAAUCUCCCAUAAAGAGUUUCCUCUAACUCUUAUCUUCUAAAUUGUCUUUAAAUUACCUUGUCAAUGCUUUGCAGUUGGUUUAAGUUACAUGGAUUAGAAAAAUCAUAUUUAGAUCAUUUUUUGAUUUUUUAUAAAUAUUAUUUAUUAAUUAAAAUAUAUAUAUAUAUAUAUAUAUAUAUAUAUAUAAGGAGAUUUGAAGGAUUAUAUUGGAUAGUUUUAACAUUUUAAAAUAUUAUUCUUUAAAUUAAAAAUAUUAUCUAAGCCUAGGACUAAUGCAUCUAUUUUCCCUAUUCACUAUUUAUAUGGAUGGUUAGGAGAAAAUUUUGAUACCAAUUUCCUCUCUCCUUCCUAGAAUCAUUCUCCACGGAUGACUUAUUAUGUCGAUGAGUUUUCUGCUAAGUCUUUUGAAGAUUCACAAGUGCGGGCUUUGAUAAUGUCUUGCAAAGGUGUAAAGUUGACCACUUGGUAUUACAGUACAAAGAGCGCAUGUAUUGGAUUGAUAAUGAGUCUAUUACUACUACCUAAGCCUUUUAUCUCUUAAGUCUUUGCUUUACCUAUUUAUCUUUACGACAAGGUAACCAUCGAGUAAUCCAACCAUAUUAUCCUCAUUGAUUUUGUAGACAAUUUGGGUAUCCUCAAGAUGUUCUCGGGGGUUUACCAGAGGUUUUUGCACUAGAACUUUAGAGGCGGUGUAUAAACAUUGGAAGUCAUGCUCUAGGCUUGGCACCCACUCCAAAAUUACUAUGCCAAAUUAUCAUAGUCUUGAAGAGUUCUCAAUCACCAAGGCUUAUGCAAAUUGGUGGAUUGGAGUGUGUAAUCUUAAGAAGAACAUGCUUAGUAUUGCUUGUAUAGAGCCCCCUCAUGAUUCUUCUCUACAAAUACCCUCAAAAUCUUUGGAGAGUAGAACAUGCAAGAUCAACCCAAGUGUUUCUACUAAGAGCAAUGUUGGGGACAACAUUGAGGGAAACUUUGAUAAUUUACCUAAUGACUCAAGAGUUUCUUCUAAGCGCUCAAUGGAUGGUCAUCAAACUAAUGUUUUCACACACUUAGAACAUGAAGGUACUAUCUAUUAUGGUGGUAAUGAUCACUAUCACCAAACUUUUAAGCAAAUCAACAAUGCAUAGGUUCUUCAUGUAUCUAAUGAUGGCUCCAAGGAUAUAAGUGAAUGUCAUUUCAAACAUCGAAAGACUAGACCCUCCCUUAUGUACUAUGAUGAGACUAACUCUCAUGCAGACGUUUUCUUUGCUGAUGCUCCAUCUUCUACUCAACCAAUGGAACUUAGUGGUGAAAAGGUUUUUUGUGUUUGUUUUUUUUUUUAAAACAUCGAUGUUAACAAAAAAAAAAAUCGCCUUAGGAUGAAGAUGACAAUCGACUUAUUGGUGAUGGCGAUGAUACUUUUCUUAAAGGCCAGUUUGAAAAUGUUGAUAGGACUAAGGGGUUGACGUCCUUCAACUAAACUAUCCAAUGAGAAGAUCAUUUUAUCAUUCCAACACCCUUACCCCAUUUUCAUUUGGGUGAUGAAGGUAUUACUAACAUUUCAAGUAAUGUUUUGAUUGAAUCUUGAUGUUAAGAGGCCACCAUUGAAAAUACCAUAUAUGAUGAAUUGACACUUUUAACUAUUGCAGGUUUAAUUGCUAAACAACAAUCCCCAUACUCUGAUACACCUCCUAUGGCCCCUUCUGAUUUUAUUCACAUAUUUGAUAUGGAAUAAAUUGUCUUUGAUGCACAAUGUUAAGCAACACGCAUGAUAAGAGAGAGCAUUAAGAAAAUGAUUCUAAAAAAUUCCAUUGAUCAUUUCUCAUUACUGAAAGGAAAAAUUGAUGAGCUUUUUAGGGCUAUUAUGAAGACCGACGUAGACUCUUCACCAUUAAAGUCUUAGAUUCAGAAGUACAUGAAAAGUAUAGAUCACUUUGUUGCAGUGCAAUGUGCCAACUCUACUAAGAUAUCAUUUGAAGUAAAAAACGAGCGUUUGAUUAUUAUUGCAUCUCAGAUUGCUAAUGCUUUAAACUCUGAAACUGUGGAGGCAAGGCAUUGUGAAUUAUUAAAGACUGACUUAGUUACUCUUGAUGCUAAGCAAGACGCGCUUAAGAAGGAGUUGGAACAACUAGGUAUACAAAGAGAGUGCCUUUAUAACUCAAUUUUGGAGACUGAUGAGAAUUUAGUCAAUAAGUAGAAUGAUAUUUCUCGUUUGAGGCAAGAACACGUUGCUAUCGCCCAAAACCCUUGUGCUUACUGAUGUCGAUGUCAAGACCUUAGAGACACUUUAAGAAACCUUAAAAACUCAACGUGAUGAGCUCGAAUGCUUGGUGUGGGUGUGAUUGUUGUGCCUUUAGUUCCACCAUCCAUUUUCUUCUUUCAUUUUUAUUGAAAUGUAAUAAGUUUAGCAUUUGCUAUCCAAACUUAUUUAUAAAAUGAGGUUUUUUUUUGUUUUUUUUUUUUGUUUAAGUGAUUCAACUUAGGUAGUUUCCCCAAGUUGCCUACGUAACCUUCAAAGAGAAGAGAUCAAGUCAAAUGUAGUUCAUUUUAUUAUUAUUAUUAUUAUUAUUACGCUUUAACUUUUGAUAAGACUAAAAGAGAGUUUUAAUCUUGCGAGCAUCUGUCUUAACUUUUGCCUAAGUCACCUUUUCAGGUUUUCAACUUAGCGGACCUUUUUUUUUUUUUUUUAUUGUGUCGUAUGUAGUUUAAGUUCAUGUAGAGUAGGAAUAACACUUGUCUUGAGUUUGAUCGAAGGGUGAUAAAUUCAUGUCCUUGGAAAAAAAUUUAAUUGAGGGUCAAAGAGGACUUAUUCUCAACCAAACUUGUGAAAACCUUUCUUAAGCAUUUCAGAGAACAAAAUAAGGUCAUUUUGAAUUCAUGUUGAUUUUUUUCAACCUUAAACGUGGAUGAAUGGCAGUUUCGUAUUGUGUUUGAUAUUCUUCCAUAGGCUUGUUGAAGAAUGUGUUGAGCUUGGACUUGAUUUUAAUUUAAGAGUGAUAAACACGUGUUAUUGGAGCAAAGUUUAAUUGAGGGUCAAUGAUGACUUGAUUUCAAGUAAACUUAUCAAUAAUUUCAUUAACUGUUUUGAGAAACCUAACCUUGUUUUCUUUAGCUUUGAAGGUGGAUGAAUGACCCUUUUGUUUGUAUUUGGUAUUCUUCCACGAGCUUGUUGAAGAAUGUUUGGAAUUUGAUCUUAACUUUUAAAGCUCCAUUUUUGGAUUUAGCUUCUAGGUUGCAUAUUUCUUUUGAGAGCGCUUCAUGCUGAAAGAUAAUAACACUUGUAUUUAGAGAAGUUAGAGAUUUUAGUUUAGAAUCUCCGAAUUUGACUUUUUUUAAUACAAAGAGUUUGUUCCUUAGUUUAAGAAGUUUGGCAAUAUAUAUAUAUAUAUAUAUAUAUAUAUAUAUAUAUAUAUAUAUUUGCAUAAGUUUGAUUUGUUUUUUUUUUGUUACUACAAUUUAAGCUCUUUUAGGAUAGAAGAAUAUGCAGUUCAAGCUCAUGCUUUAAGAAGCAUCAGCGGAGUGCUGAGGUUUGAAAAUAAUUAUAAUAAAAUUUGAUGUCACACUCUCUUCAUUGUCACUGGUGAAAAUGAUGGUUGCACAACAAGUCACACAAUUGUGGCCUUUGUCCCUAAAUUGUUUUGCCCCUUUUAUUUUUAUGGCAUAGGGUGAUGAAUUCUUAAGUGCUUGAAUCAAUGCAAUUCAUGUUUCCUUAGGAAGUUGUAACAUUUCAUGGAUAUUGAAGAGUGAGGGUAAGCAUUAUAGGUUUGCUACUACCUCAUCAUCUUUCUUGGUUUUGCUCAACUAUUCACCAAUAGCAUUUUCUUCAUCUUUCUUAGGUCAUCUUCUUUUGAAGUCUCAAGAUAAGAGAUCAUAUGAGUUGAUGUCACUAUCCCUCUAUUAAAAACUCUGGAAUGAAGUAUUCUCCUAAAGUGAUAGAGGUGAUGAGCUUUUGUACCAAAAUGUCAUCAACCUGUAUAAUCAUUUGUUUUUUUCGAGUUUGUUUUCUUCUUUCUUCUUCAAAUGUCGAUAGAUAUUUUGCUUAUGUUGCUCUUUCAUAGGAAGAUUUGGGUAUGAAUGAGAUUUUUUAUUCUUGUGAGGUUUCUUUUAUGUUACCAAUGUCCAACUAUCUUCACUAUAUGACAUUGAUUCAUUAUCAAAGCAAAGGUAAAGAAGGCUAUCUUGACAUGAAACUUGUGCUUGCUUUGGUUUCAAUGACUCACAUUGAAUAGUAUUGGUGCAUGCCCCCAGUUUUGUAGGUGGAACAUGUAACAAAACAGGAUUGAAUGACCCAAAUGUGACCAUAGUAUGAUUUGACUUUACCACUUCAUCCAAAUCCAAAUAAAUUUUUCCUUGUUUUGCAAGUUUCAUUAUGAGAUCUUUUAAGAUGAAACAUUUAUUCAUCGAGUGACUGACGAUUCAAUGGUAAUGAUAGUAGUUUGGAUCAUUAAUACGACCCAUUUCUUUUACACGCUUACACUUAAUUAGCUCAAUAACAUUUUUUCUAGAGCAGAUCUUCCAACAUGUUAGGCACAUCAAAGUUAGGAAAAAGAUACUUCUUCUCCUCCAGUUCCUUUAAGGUGAAUCGACGCCUCUCAUUUUCCUGGGUUAGUUCGGUCUUUUUUACUUUUUAUUUUUAUUUUUUAUCUCUUGCUAAGAUUUUGAUAAGACCUGUAUUUACCAUCAUUGACUCCUGGAUGGGUUUUAUUGAGGUUUUAUCACUUGUUUUCCCAUCGUGUCUCUCUAUUUGUCAGUCAACGAUAAGGUCAUUCUUAGCACCAUGGUUGGCUAAGUUGAGCUAACUCUUCAAAGGUGCGAGAUCGUACCUCUUGAAGGAUAUACAAAAGACCCCAAUGCAUUCCUUGUAUGCACAUCUCCACAGCUAACACCUCGAAUAAUCUAUCUUUACAGUCCAAGUUUAAGGAACACCAAUGAUUGAUGUAGUCUACGACUGGCUCAUCUUUCCAUUGUUUAGUAUUAGUAAACUCUAUCAUGCGUACAAUUCGUUGGGUGCUACAGAAAUGGUUGAAGAAUUUGCGCUCCAUUUAGUCCCAACUAUUGAUACACUCAAGUGCAAGAUCUUGGUACCAAUCGAAAGCAUUCCCUCGGAGAGAAAAAACGAAUUGUUUGACUAACAAGUCACUAUAUGUGCCUGUAUUAUUACAAGUUUCAACGAAAUGGGCAACAUGUUGUUUUGGAUUUUUCUUCCCGUCAAAUGAUUGAAACUUUGGAGGUUGAUAACCCACAUACAUACGUAGGUGAUUAAUCCUCUUAGUGUAAGGUUUAGAGUACAUGAGGGUAUUCUAUGAGGGUCCACCAUACUGUGCUCUAAUGGUGUUAGUUAUCAUGUCUUGAAGUUGCUGGACAGAUAAUGACACCACUGAUUACUACUCAAAAAGUGCUAUUUGAUAGCUUAUAAUUAAUCCUUUUAAACACUUUUGAGUAGUAGUUUUGGCCUUUUAACUCAAUUGGCAUGUUAAGGACCCUUGAAAGCAAUUUUAAUCACUUUGUAUAAGUUUUGGUGUUUUUGUUAGUAAUUUGAUCACCAAAGCAAUUCAAGAUUGAGGAGAAUUAUGAGGAAUCUUGGGCAAAUCUUGGAAGUCAUUUGCCAAGAGUAAAUCCGGAAUGCAAGGAGAAAAAGUAAAGAGAAUCUGCCAUGAAGCAUAUUCUUGAUGACAGUCGUAGCAGCCACUUUUGGAGCACUUUCUGGAGUCCAAUUGAUGCAUGUUAUAUACCAUUUCAAAGCUCAGGAAUUCAAAAAUCCAAUGCUUCAAACGGUGCGCAAUUCGGAGUUGAAACGAAGAAGUUGCAGCCAUUGCAAGCCAAUCACUCCAAGCUGAAGGAAGCAUUUUACAAAGUGUUGCGAAAUCACCCUUUUGUUGCGAAAUGAUUUCGCAGCCUUUUUGUACAGUAGGGUGUAUUUCCUUCUGAAGUUGCCCAAUAUAUGCCGCAAGCUGGAAGCUGAGAACAUCAAGGUGGAAGCCAACUUCACAGCCCUGCGAGAAUAGCUUUUUGCUGCGAAGUGAUUUCGCAGCCCUUCUUGAGUGUCUGCGAAAUCUCGCAGACACCAUUUUCUCUUACGAAAUGGUUCCUGGAGCAUCCCGAUAUUUGCUACCGACAUUGGGAGAUAUUUUGCAUCGGAUUUUUGUUGUCUAAAUCCCAAAAUACUCCUUGUAAGCCACCAAUUACAAGAUUCCUUAGCUUUUAAGUUAGUAAAAAGAGAAAAUAUCCAUGUAAUAAUUAGUUUUAUAUUAUGUUCAUAUAAAGACCUCUUGGGAGCCUGGUAUCAGAGGAGAUCCUUUUGUAAAGUUUUGGGAAAGCAAGUAAAGUUCAGGCCCUUUGUUUUGCCUUACCUUCUCACUUUGUAUUUUUUUUUUCUUACUAAGUUAUGAACUCUCUGAGGAGUUUUCCCCAGAGAAUGAGUAACUAAACCUCUAAUUCCUUGGAGUUAAGGUUGUCGGGGAAGGUUCCAAGUGUAAGAAUGCAAAGCUUUGUGGUUUUAGCAAGUAAUGAAGAGGAAGUGAAAUCCUUUAGUGAUUUCUAUGUUUUUAGUUAACUUAAAACACCUUAGAGUCACCUGGGCCAACACUUGGUAAGGCAAGUGAUUUCCAACCAUGGAGAUGCACUAGUUUACCCCUUACGAGCCUCUGGGAGGUGACUUUAAGGUAGGAUUUUCUGGAAUUGCCAACACUUGGUAAGCUUUUGGACUCCAAGGAGACAUCCAUUAGUUAUCUCUUGCGAGCUUGAGAAGGGAAGUCCAAGGUUAAAGAUCACCUUGAAUGGUUAAGGCUUAGUGAGAGGCUUAAACCAUUGCAAGUUGCAUCAGUGAGAGAAUUAAAGUUGAAAUCUAAUUAAAGGAUGUAUCUGUACAACGCCGGUUAGAGAAUUGACUAUAUGUUGAAUCUCUAACACGAGGAAAUGAACCAUCUGACCGGAGCUAUGUCUUUUGCAUGAGGAACCACCCCAGUGAACCUGACUCUCCAAGGAAUGCUUUUCUUCCUAAGUAAUUCCCAUUGCUUGUUUUGUUGGUUAAUUCAAAUCUAAAUCUUUACCAAUCAAAGUUUGUGUUUUAUUUCUUAAGCUAACCUUGAAAUGAAAUAAGACCAAUUCACUUUGAAUUGGUAUCAUUGAUAGCUUGCUAAUCCUUCCCAGUGAACGAUCCUAGAGCCGUUAUAUUAUAGUAGCUUUUUCUUUGCUACCCUAGUAUAUGGUGUUAUAGGUUAUAAAUUUUGUUGAUUACUCCCUCAAUCAAGGAGCACUAGCUGGACAUGAAUAAGCUGAGACACCAAUUGGGCAUGAAUCAAAUGGCGCCAUUGCCGAGGAUCGAACCCGGGUCACCCGCGUGAUAGGCGGGAAUACUCACCACUAUACUACAACAACGAGGUAGAUUUCGUUGUUUGUCUUUCGACUUGCACUGUCCUAGAUGCAUGUGGUGCAUCAUCAAGAGGAGAUGCAACAUUCAGAAGAUGGUUGAGUCAUUGACUUGACUCACCCAUAUUUUGUACUUGUGCCUCAACCUUGUUUAUGAGGAUGACUAUCUGCAUAUCCUUCUUCUCGAUUGUCUUGGUGAGUUUAGCGACGACAUAAGCCAUCUCUGUCGAUUGUUCCUUUACAAAUGUAAUGCCAAUUUCCAUUACUGACAUAAUCAUUAAGAAGUGAAAAGUAAAAGAGUCGAAACAAUUGGAGUAGUUUUCCUCAUUUGACAUUCCAGUUGGCAAUUCGAAGUGUGAGCCAGUGUUGGAUUUGGUAUCGGUAAUAGAGCAAGAUGACUUAUCCCUAAAGUCCUGUAGUGUUGAAGGAAGUUUUCCUUUGCUACGAGGACUAUGGUUUUUUACCUCCAGAGAAGCUAAAGUGAUGCAUGAUUGGUGCUCAUUAUGUGUCCUUAUCGGUUUUAACAAACAAGUAGACUCACUUAUUUGUUUUGUUGAAAGUGAAGAUGUUGAUUUCGCUUUGCUACGAGUCAUGAGGCCUAUAGCGGUGUUGUGUGUCAAUUACGCAAUGACGAUCUAGUCAUUGCCUUUGUUGACAUCUACAACUUGAGUUCUUUUGGAUGUCAUCGACGUAGUGGUGAUCAAUUUUUUAAUGAAAGAGAUGAGAGACAAAGAGGUCCCACCGGGCAUGUCAGAAAUUUGUACACACAAAUUUCGCGAAUAGUCCUACGAUGUAAGCAAAACUAUAGGAAAAAAUAAUGUGAAACAAAAUAUUUUAUUAAAAUUAAAAAUAUUGUGGGCUGCAAUCUUUGUGGUAAUAUUUUUUUACAAAAGAAUAUAUUUCUCUUAUUCUUUCACUUUGAUCACAAUUUGGAAGACAACGAUGAUGUUGUCAUGAUUUCGAAGAUCAGUCGAGGGCCAUAAGUGACUUAUUCUCAAAUGAACUCAUUGAAUGACAAAGAUUGGGUGUAUAGAACUUUUAUUGUUUCUUGGACUUGUAGGGAGAUUUUUGUGAAACCGUUUUUUUUGUGAAGCCGAUAUUCCCUUGUAGAGUAGUUUUUUGCCAAUCCGAAGAAGUCCCCCCCCGUUGGAGGAAGUCACCCACAUUUAUAGGUGAAAAUAGGAAAUCAAAUUUUGGAAUUCCCUAAGAUGUAGAUACUUGAUUUUAGCAACUUAUCUUCUCCAUUAAGGAAAUUUGUCUAUUAAAGUAUUUAUUUAUUUAUUUUCUUUUGACAAUAAUUUGGAAGAUUUGAUUUUAUUUGGAAGACUAAAUUUUGUAGUCUUCCAAAUUUGGCCACGUGUCACCUUUUUAACAUAUGCCACGUGUUAAAUGUGCGUAGGACCAAUCAUGUGUCGAUCCCAAAUUUUGUCGAAUCGAGGAGUCACAUUUUUUUAAAGGCCAAUUUAAUGAUAAUUUAUUUCACUAAAAAUUUUGAUGUCUACAACAGGUUAAAUAUAUAGAGUAAACAAUUUGAUGGGAGUAGAUUACUAUUCCCUUGUACCAAUAAGAUUAAAGAAAUAAUGGAAUUCUUAACUAAAGAGUUAACUUUGCAAAAGAGUUGUGUAGCUUGUACUUUUCUUAGGGUCAUGAGACCAAAUUUUAUCUAAAAUGUGGCAAAUUUGAUGGGAGUAGAUUAUGAACAUUUAACUCCUUGUUUGCUAAAUGAACUUUUCUUAAUCUCCAUAUAUUUUAAAUCUUUAAUUUGAUAAAGAGAGAGAUAAGAGGUAAAGAUGGUCCCAUUGGGCAUGCUAAAAAAUUGUGCAUACAAAUUUUCCUUGAAGAUGAAUUAUUUGUGAUUAAAUUAGAAUUUUAUUGAUUUGAAGAAUAAUGUAAUUGUAACUUUUAUUUUUCAUUUAAUUCUUCUUUUCUAGUUCUUAAUCAAGGACUUAAAAGAAGUUUGGUCUUAAAUGACUUGAGUUUAAUUUGAACCUUUUUGAUUUAGUCUUGGAUCUUGAGUCAUGGCGUAACUUCGACCUUACUAUGACUUGAGCUUUGAUUUGAUUUGGAUCUUGAUUUGAUUUAAAUAACAUUGAUUGAUGGCUUGAGUAGCUUAAUUUUAUAUCAAAUAGGUUUUUGGUUUCUUUUUUCCUUUUAUAUAUUUUAAUCUUAAAAAGUUGAAACUUAAGGUUCUAAAGAUCUUAUCAAUUAGAAGAUACUUUAGAAGAAAUUGAAAAUUGGUUAGUCUCAUUUUAAGAUUGAAGAAAGAUUGAAUCUUCUUUAAAGAGUUAUCCUUAGGGAUCAUAAUGGAAUAGCCCGAAUCAUCCCCAUCUCAACCCAUUCAAUUUAUUUACAAAGGAUAAGAUUGGUGUAAGAAAUUCUCAUGCUUGCUCUAUCUUGCCUCGUUUAAUUUUGUUCAAUUUUUUUCUAUAAAAGUUUUAAAUUCUAUACAAAAUAAAUACAAUUUAUAAAUAAAUAAAUAUUCACAAUUUAUUUUUAUAAAAAAUAUUUAUAUACAUUUAAAAAAUUAAAAAACCAAUUAAAAUAAUUUUUUGUUGAAUAUAACAUAUAAUUAGGAUAGAUGAGUUGGGACAAAACAAAGUCAUUUCUGAACUAACCUGAACUUGUUUAUAUUUAUCCAAAACCCAUCCCAUUAGGAGUAGGUAUAAAAAAAAAACUUGUUUUCUUAUCAUCCCUAACUCGUCUAUUUUCUUCUAAUCUUUUGAAUUAUCUCAUAUUAUUUUAAAAAAAAAAACGUGUCUUAAAAGCUUUGGAAUUAACAUGUCUUAUAAGAAUUGGAAGCAUCAUAUUUGUUGGGUUUCCCCUUAUGUGAGGGAAUCGGCCCCAUAUGCUUGGGGACCAAGUUAGUUGCAUUGGAAAAAAACAAUGAAUCAAGAAAAAAAAACUGAGAGAAGAGAAAAGAAAUAGAAAAAAAAAAACGCAUCUCACUGUCUAGAUUUCAUCAACGAGUUGAUCCUAUUUCAUAUGUGGUCCGAUCGAGUUGAAAUUUGGAGGAAAGGUUUGAAACUCAAGUAACUACAAUCUGAAAGAUGGAUAUCGGAUUUUAAGCUCGGGAACUGAUGUUACUACCCAUAAACUGUAACAGCGUUUUUUAUAUACUUUCUUUAAUUUUCUUUGUUUUUGCCAAGAGAGAUUGUAUAAUCCAAGACUAUAUGUGUUCUUGAUGUAUUUGGCAACCUCUAGAGAUUAUUCUAGAAAAAAAAAAAGUGUAACCCAUUAUUGUUGAUAGUGGAAGUUUGAACUAGACUAGGUCCUGUGGUUUUUUCCUUUGCAUUAAGGGUUUUUCACGUAAAAAUUCUGGUGUCUGAUUUAUUUUCUGUUGCAUGACUUUAUUUAUUUAUUAUUGCUAGUUGAUAUUACCUAUUUAGUUUUGCACAAAGAAAAUGUAGAAAAAUUAUGGCGUUUGUUGGAAUAUUGUGAAUUCACCCUAACAAGUGGUAUUAGAGCCAGAUUGAUUAUCAGUGGGAUCUCUUGUGUAAAUUAAAUGAAGGAGGCUGACAGUAGAAUGAUUAAACUCAUAGUUUCCAAUUAUUCAAUUUGGAAUACUAGGAUGGAGAUAUUCUAUGUUGCAAAGAGUUGUUUGAGCCCAUUGAAUGCAGAGGUUACAAGCCAAUUACUAUGAUUGAGGAUGAGUGAAAUAAAUUAAAUAGGAAAACCAUUAGACAUAUUAGGCAGUGGAUUGAUCAGAGUGUCUUCCAUUAUGUAGCCAAGAAAGUUGAUGCAUAUAGCCUUUGGCAUAAAUUAGAGUCUUUAUGAAAGAAAGACUACACAGAACAAAACCUUUAUGAUAAGAAGGCUUGUGAAUUUAAAGUACAAUGAUGGUAGUAGUGUUGCAAAGUAUCUUAGUAAUUUUCAAGGACAAUUGAAUGAAUUGUCUACCAUGAAGCUUGAGCUAGAUGAUGAGGUACAGACUUUACUAUUAUUGAGUUCCUUACCAGACAAUUGGGAAACUUUAGUGGCAUCCUUGAGUAAUUCAGCCCCAAAUGGUGUGACAACUGUCAAUAUGGUAAAAGACAGCAUGUUUAAUGAAGAGACAAGAAGAAAAGAGUUAAGUAUUUCCUUUAAUACAAAAACACUUGUUAUAGAGAAGUGGGAGAGAAGUAAAAAUAGAAAACCUUCCAGUGAUUAUAACCAUGACAAGUCAAGAGGAAAGUCAAAGUCCAGAAAAGAGAUAAAGCGUUUUUAUUGUGGCAAACCAAGGCACAUUGAGAGAGUGUAGAAAAUUCAGAAGAGAACAGUUUAAAGGAAAAGGUGAAGAACAAGAAAAAGGACAAAGACAUUGCAACAAUUGCAUUUGAUGGUGAUACAAUCAUUGUUUGUGAUGAUGCAUGUGUAAACCUUGCAUGCUAGGAUUCUACUAGGGUGGUUGAUACAGCAACGUCGUUUCAUAUCACUACACAUAAAGAUUUCUUCUCUUCCUACACCAGUGGCAGUUUUGGUUAGGUUAAGAUGAGAAAUGAAGCAAAAUGUGAAAUUGUUGGCAUAGGAGAUGUAAAGCUAGAAACUAGCAUUGGGUGCAAAUUGGUUCUGAAAGAUGUCAGACAUAUUCUUGAAAUGCGCUUUAGUUUGAUCUCUGUUGGGAAGCUUGAUGAUGAGGGCUACCAUAGUCACCUUGGAGAGGGUAAGUGGAAGCUUACUAAGGGUUCUCUUGUUUUAGCUAGGGGAAAGAAAAACAAUACUCUCUACAAAACAGAAGUGAGACUAGUUAAGGGAGAGGUGAACAUUGUUACGAAUGAAGCCUCUACUGAGCUAUGACAUAAGCGGCUUAGUCACAUAAGUGAAAAAGGACUUCAAGUUCUUGCUUGAAAGAAGCUUCUACCAAUUAAAGGUACGUCACUAUUACCUUGUACACAUUUUAUGUCUGAAAAGCAAAAUAGAGAUGUAUUUCGUAGAUUUCCUUCACGUAGAAAACCAGAUAUUCUUGAUUUAGUUCACACUGAUGUUUGUACUAUGCAAAGUAAUACUCUUGGUGGUAUACUUUAUUAUGUGACUUUUAUUGAUGAUCAUUCAAGAAAGGUGUGGGCAUAUGCUUUGAAAUCCAAAGACCAAGUACUUGAUGUAUUCAAAUAUUUUCAUGUGAAGGUUGAGAGGAAAAUUGACAAGUAGUUAGAAUAUGUCAAAGUAGACAAUGGUGGUGAAUAUAGGGGGUCAUUUAAGCAAUACUACAGAAGUCAUGGCAUCAGGCUUGAGAAGACGAUUCCUAAGACCUCGUAGCAAAAUGGUGUAGUUGAGAGAAUGAAUAGAACCAUAUGUGAUAGAAUCGGGUGUAUGCUCUCUCAUGCAAAAUUGCCUAAGUCUUUUUGAGGUGAGGCCAUGAGAACAAUCGUUGAUUUGAUUAAUCUGUCUCCAUCAUAUCCUUUAGAGGGUGAUAUUCUAGAGAGGGUUUGGACAGGAAAAUGUGUUUCCUUUGAGCACUUGAGAGUGUUUGGUUCUAGGAUAUUUGUUCAUGUUCCUAGAGAUGAGUAAUCCAAGCUUGACAGCAAGACUAAACAGUGUAUCUUCUGAUUCGUGCCCAGUCGGGUAUUUUAAUAAAAAAUAUUUAUAAAUCCUAUGAUCUUAUACUAGCGUAGCAAAGCUACUAUAGUAUAGCAGCUCUAGGGUCGAACUCUGGGAUGGGUUUUCACUCUACCAGUGAUAGACUCAAGAUUAGAAAUUGAAUCUGAUGAUUUCCUUUGUCAAAAACUUAAAGUUUAAAAGAAAAUGAAAUUUGUUUUGAAAGUGGUGUUUGAAACUAAACUAACAUAGAACUAGGUAAAAAUGGAAGAAAGAAAGUCUCCCGGAGCUAAAGGUUGCUAGGAUCAAGUUCAGAAUGCAAAGUGGGAAAUUCCGGAUUUUUCUCCUCGUAUUGGGGACAACAACAUAAAGGAUGGUUGUUUCCCGAACUGAUAUAGGUUUAACAAUGAAGAUUUAAUCCAUAAAAAGUCAAUAGAAAUGGUAGUCAAGUUCCAUUAAUGGCUUUAGACACUAUGGGUCUUCACCUUAAGCCACUUUCCAAUGGCUCGUACAUGAUAACUAAUGGUCUUAAGUGGAUCUAGCAAUAAGUAUCUACAGAGAUCUAAAAGCUUAUCAUGUAUUGGUCAUUCAAAGUGAUUCUAAGGGAUUUAAAGCAAAACUUUAUAUUUAAAAGCCAUUUAUGAACUCCAACUACCUGUAUUUAAAGCACGAGAGUUUUCCACUUUUGCAUCUGGACUUUUCACCUAACUUCCUUCACUCCAAGAAACCAAAGGUUUAGCCUCUCAUCCUCUGGGAAAACAUCCUCAGAGGUUGUUUGGCUUCCAAGAAAAAUACAAUCAAAAUGAGAAGGUAAAAGCAGAGCAGAACUCUGUAUUUUUCUUCCUUUGAAAACUAUACAAAAGUUGCGUCCCCUCGAGAACAAGCUCCUGAGAGAUAUUUAUAUGAAAAUUACAAUAAUAAUAUCUACAAGGUUAUUCAUCCUUUUUCCUAACUUAAUAACUAAGGAAUCCUAUAAUUGAUGGGUUACAAGGAGAGUUUGGGGAUUUAGACAUCAAAUAUCUAAAGCAAAAUAUCUAAAGAUAAAUAUCUAAAGAAAAAUAUCUAAAGAUGUCUGUCGCACAUAUCGGGAAGCUUCAGGAGAACACUGCGGCACUGUGCAAAAUUGCUGCGAAAUCCUCCGGGUGAGCGCUAUCGGCGGAUCCGGAUAUGUCUGAUCGUGGAAGUUGAAACGCUCUCCUCUCCUAUCAGGCGUCAUAAUUCCGGAUGCAAUACAUCCGGGUGGAAUGGUGGCAGCAGAUUUCCAGAUGUAAUACAUCCGGGUGGAAGCGGCGACAGCCGGAUGUAAAGUGGCGGCAGCCGGAUGUAAAGUGGAGGCAUAGCCGAGUGGAAAGUGGCCGCAGUCGGGUGGAAUUCCUACCCGGGUGGAAUGUGCAGGAUCCCAUACUCCUUGUAUUCUGGAUUUGCUUAAGGAUUCCAAAGAACUCUUCUCAAUCUCGGAUUGCUUUGGUGAUCAAAAAGCUAUCAAAACACCAAAACUUAACACAAUUUGAUUAGAAUUGAUUGUAAGGGUCCUUAAUAUGUUAAUUGGGUUAAAAGGUGAUAACUACUACUCAAAAGUGUUUAAAAGAGUUAAUUACAAGCUAUGAAAUAGUACUUUUUGAGUAGUAAUCAUCUUCCUAGGUUAUUCAAAUGAAAAGUUUAGGUACAAGUUAUGAGAUCUAGCUACCAAAAAAAUUAUAAAAAGUAGAGAUGUUGUCUUCUUCGAAGAUCAAACCAUUGAAGACUUGGAUCAAGUUAAGAAGUUAAAGCCUUUUAGUGAAGAACAUGUUGAUUUGGGUCCAGUCUCUCCUAACUCUGUGAGACAUAAUGAACAUAAGGAAGUUGUGCAAGAAGAACAUGUUGAUACAGUUGAUAGAAAUGAUGAGUCUACAGUUGAUGAUGUAAAGAAAAUUCUAUAGUUGAGAAUGAUGACCUAGAACAGCAACAAGAACAAGCUACUUCAGAGUUGCCUACUAAAACACAAUUAAGAAGAUCUACUAGAGAGCGUCAACCUUCUAGAAGGUAUACUAGUGAUGAGUAUUUGUUGCUUUCUGACGGGAGAGAGCCAGAAAAUUAUCAAGAGGUUUUACUACAUGACGAGAAAAAAAGUGGUUGAGAGCUAUGCAUGAAGAAAUGAAAUCCUUGCAUAAGAACAACACUUAAUGAAUUGAUGGAGUUGCCUAAGGGUAAGAGAGCAUUGAAGAAUAGAUGGGUACUGAAAAGGAAGCCUGAACCAAACAAAUCAUAGCCAAGGUACAAGGCAAGAUUAGUUGUGAAGGGUUUUAGUCUGAAGAAAGGCAUUGACUUUGAAGAGAUUUUCUCGCUUGUGGUUAAGAUGUCUUCGAUUCGAGUUGUGUUAGGCUUGGCUGCCAGUAUGAAUCUAAAGAUUGAACAACUUAAUGUGAAGAUUGCUUCCCUCCAUGGCGACUUAGUGGAGGAAAUAUAUAUGGAGCAUCCAGAAAGGUUUACAAUCAAAGGCAAGGAAUACUUAGUGUGUCGACUGAAUAAGAGCUUAUAUAGUCUCAAGCAUGCAUCGAGACAUUGGUACAAGAAGUUUGAUUCCUUCAUGGUUGAGCAUGGUUAUGAUAGAAAUGCUUCUGACCAUUGUGUGUUUGUGAAGAAAUUCUCUUAUGGAAAAUUUAUUAUUCUCUUGCAUAUAUGGAUGAUAUGCUGAUUGUUGGUCGUGAUAUUGGUAAAAUUGAUAAGCUGAAAAAGGAGUUGAGCAAGUGCUUUGAAAUGAAGGACUUGAGGUUUGCAAGUCAGAUUCUUGGUAUAAAGAUUUCUUGAGAUAUGACAAAUGGAAAAUUGUGGCUAUCUCAAGAAAGCUAUAUGAAGAAGGUUUUAGACAAGUUCAACACAGGCAAGGCAAAACUAGUGAGCUGUCCACUUGGAAGUCAUCUAAAGCUAAGUUCCAAACAAAGUCCUUCAAGUGAGAAAGAAAAAGAAGAAAUGCAAAAGGUGCCUUAUGCAUCAGUCGUGGGUAGCUUGAUGUAUGUCAUGGUGUGCACGAGGCAUGAUAUUGCUCAUGUGUUGGAGUUGUCAGCAGGUUCCUUUCUAAUCCUAAUAAAGAACAUUGGGCUACAGUGAAAUGAAUUCUCAGGUAUCUGAGGGGUACUUCUAAUACAUGUUUAUGUUUUAGGACUAACAAACCUGUGCUUGUAGGAUGCACAAAUGCAAAUAUGACUGGGGAUGUUGAUUCUAAAAAUUCUACUUCUGGUUAUUUGAUCACUUUUUUAGGGGAAGUAGUGUCAUGACAAUCAAGGUUGCAUAAAUGUGUUGCUUUGUUGACCACAGAGGUUGAGUAUAUUGUUAUCACUGUAGCUAACAAGGAGUUAUUGUGGAUGAAGAAGUUCCUACAAGAAUUGGGUCUACAACAAGAAAGGUAUCUACUCUACUGUGAUAGUCAAAGUGCUAUUCAUCUCAGUAAGAAUCCAACUUUUCACUCUAGAUCCAAGCAUAUUGAUGUGAUAUAUCAUUUGGAUUCGUGAUGCACUAGAUAUGAAAUUGUUUUGUCUUGAGAAAAUCCAUAUUGAUGAGAAUGGAUCAAAUAUGAUGACAAAACCAAUAUUUACAGAAAAGCUACAAUUUUGUAGAAAGCAAGUGGGCUUAGUAAAGCCUCUCACAUAGUCAGAAGAGGGCCCCAUAUGCUUGGGGACCAAGUCAGUUGCAUUGAAAAAAAAAAAAAGGAAUCGGGAAAAAAAAUAGAGAAAAGAGAAGAAAGAGAGAGAAAAAACGCAUCUCACUACCUAGAUUUCAUCAAUGAGCCGUUAUCACUUCAUCUAUGGUCCGAUUGAGUUGAAAUUUGGAGAAGAGGUUUGAAACUCAAGUAGCUACAAUCUGAACGGUGGAGAUCAAAUUUUAAGCUUAGGAACUGAUAUUACUGCCCAUGAACAAAAACAACAUUUUUUAUAUACUUUCUCUAAUUUUCUUUGUUUUUGCCAAGAGAGAUUGUAUAAUCCAAGACUAUAUGUGUUUUUUUUUAUUUAUGUAUUUGGUAGCCUCUAGAAAUUAUUCUAAAAAAAAAUAGGUGUAACCUAUUAUUGUUGAUAGUGAAAGUUUGAACUGAACUAGAUCCCGUGGUUUUUCCUUUCACAUUAGGGGUUUUCCACGUAAAAAUUCUGGUGUCUAGUUUAUUUUUCUGUUGUAUGAGUUUAUUUAUUUAUUGUUGCUAGUUGAUAUUACCUAUUUGAUUUUGCACAAAAAAAUGAUAGAAAAAUUUUAGUGUUUGUUGGAAUAUUAUGAAUUCAUCCAAACAAGUCAUAUUACAUAUAAUAUUAUUUUAAUAAUAAAACAUUUAUGUCAUGUGAUUGUUUUUAAUUCAUCAUAAUUUAAAUUAAAUAUAAAAAAUUUAUUUUUAAUUAAUUAUUAUAAGAGUAUAUAAUAAAUCGUAAAAGUUAAAAAUUUGAAUUUUACCUCUCAACAAACUGUGGUCAAAGUCGUUCCCAAAUAGACCUAUAGGCUCCUAUUUCUCUUUAUUAUGUUAGGUACAACAGCCACAUAGUGCGGACAUUCGCCCACGGCAAUGGCACGAAAAUGGUUGCCACUUGUGGUUGAUCUUGAGACUUUGAGACUUGAGAGGAGCCCUCCGUCCCUCUCUAGGCAAAUAUUUUGGCAUUAUGAAUAAAGCAGAGAAGUUAGCUCUGACACUCUAAUUAAGGUGACGACAGAUUGUAUCCUAGGUACGUUUCGUAAUUGUUUAGAAAAUAGCUUUAAAAUCCAAUUUUUUAAAAUAAUUUUUAUAUAAUACUUUAUUUUUAAUCAUUUUUAAUAUUUUUAUAAUUCUUUCUUUAAAACAAUAAUAUAAAUAUAUAUUUUUACUUUUAAUUAUUAAAUACCCAUUUAAUCAUAUUUUUUAAAAAUUUGUUUUUAAAAACUAUUUUUUAUUUUUUAACUUAAAAAUAAGUUUUAAAAAAAUAUAAACCAAUGAGUAUAUGUUUUGUUUUUGUUUUUAAAAAUGAGUAAAAACAACUUUUAUUUAUUUUUAAAAAUACUUUAUUUGUAAAAAUUAUUUCCAAAAAUAAGAAAUUAUUACCAAACAUUUUCUUCUCCCCCUUAUGAAUAGAAAACACCCAUCAAAACAUUUAUUAGAGUAAAAUGUUUAGAUACACCAUCACAAGAAGUAUACCUACUUCCUCCGUUGCCUUACAUAUGCCUCAAUGCCUAGAUGUUUCACAUUGCAUAUGAGCUUGAGUUGGACCAUGGUCCUAAAAAGUUCAAUUGGGUUGCUUGUAUAUUUCAGUCAUCUCAUUUUUAAUAGACUGCGACCUCACCAUCAACAUUUACAUCAUAUACCAUGCAGCACACCCCUAUUUUUACUGCUAAUUUACCAUGCUUUUUGAUGGCUAAAUGUAAAGAAAAAUAUAUCAAAUUAUAUUAGGUAUAAAAUAUAUUUUUGUUCAUUCAAUCUCGAGUCACAACUUGUAUCUACAAAAAGGUAAUAAAAAAAAAAAUUAUUUGUUAAUAGAAUUAAAUGCAGUAGCAAUGCAUACCAGGCAACUAUCAACCACCUUGUCAACAACCACAUGUUUGUGUUUUUUUUUUGGUUAAUUUUUAUAACAUUGGGCAUGGCUUCGAGCCUUCAACUACCUGAUUCAAAGGAUUCACAGUCUAUAUUCCCAAAAUCAUCAAAACCCAUACUAGGAAACCCCCUCAAAGUCUUGGCCCAACUUUAUGGCUAUAAUAAAUACGAAGGCAGUCUAUUUAUAAGCAUAGUAUCAAACACCUCAUCUUCGUAAAACUUCAAAUUCUUUGUAGGCAACAACUUGAGUCACAAGGCUGCGAUUUCCAUGCAUGUUGAAAAGUCCCAAUAUGUUAACUCAAUUAAUUUGUGUGUCCUUUUUGGUGUUGCACUUGGAUCGGCUGCCUAAUUUUGUUGGCUUGGCUAUUAACUUUAGUUCUAGAUGUGUUCUAUGUGAUUACUUUGCAUUUAUUUUAAAGUUUCUUUUCCAUGCUAUUAUGAUCACCCACUUGUGUCUUUUGCAAACCAAUUUACACAAGUAGGAUGUAUUAGCAAUAUCAAGUUGGUAUCAUUUGUAUAUUCAUAUAUACAUGUAACAUAAGUAGAAUGUCUUAGCAUCAUAAAAUGUGAUAUUUUAUUUAUUAAAUAAAGGAAUAAAAUAAGUUAUUUUAUUUACUACAUUGGCACAGUAUUUCUAUUCAAAGUGUUUUUAAUAAAAGUAUUUUCCCUAAAAAUAUUUUUAAGAAAAUUACAUAUAAAAUGUUUUUCUAAAAAACUCUAUACAUGAUUUUUCAAUAUCAUAAGUGAUUUUUUAAAUUUUUAAAAGUGUUUCAUAAAAGUAGUCAAACACUUAAUUUUUUUAAAAACACUUUUUAAAAUAAAAACACUUCCUAAAAUUAUUGUUAAAUGAACUCAAAGUGUUCUUAGAAAAAUCAUUUAUAAAGUGUUUCUCCAUAAAAUAUUAUCAGAGCUCGUUUUAUAGUGAUUCUAGAAAGUACUUUUAAUAUUUCUAAUAUUUUAAAAUUUUAUCAUUUAAGUAUUAGAAAUAUUAAAAACAUUUUUUAGAAUCACUCCCAAACAUACUUUAUUAUAAGUGAAUUUUCGGAUUUUUAAAAAUAUUUCCCAAAUUUUGCUAUGCACCUAAUUUUUUUUUUUUUAACAAAAAUUCAAGUUGAAAGGACUUCCUAAAUUUUUAAACAUUGUCAAAUGAGAAAUAAAAUAAUAUUGCUAUUUAUUAAAUUAAUAGUCGUGUUUAAUCAUAUUAUUUAUCUAAAUGACAUUCUAAGAUGUCGUAAUUUUUACUUGAAGUUAUGUUAUUUUUCGUUUUACUUUUAUCAUAUUAUUCUAGUAUCUACUUAAUUACAAAAUAAAUAAUAAUUACAACUCAAAACAUUUCCGUAUUUAAUACAAAAUAACAAAUUUUUAAUACAUUUUCACUAUCUCUUCACUUGGUAAAAGAGUACAAAAAAAAAAAUAAUGAGAAAAUUAUUUUUACUUGGAGUAGUGGUUUUUUUUUUUUACUAUUUUUAUCUUAUUUUUUAGGACCUAUUUACGAAAUAAAUAUUUAUUGAAACUUAAAACAUUUUUUGUAUUAAUUUGAUACAUAUUAAUCAUUUUCUAGUACAUUUUCAUUUGUUACGUGUACUUAGGGAAAGAAUGUGAUAAAAAAGGUAUUGAGAAAAAUACUAUUAUUGUUUUAUUUGAUUUGGACAAAUGUGAUGUGGUGUGUCAAGUCGUGAUUGAUGGUUACGUUUAGUUACGACAAAGUACUCAAAAAUAAAUAAAAAAUAUUAAAAAAUUAUUUCCUUAUAUUUAAUUUUAUUAUAAAAAAAAUGAUUAAAAUUAAUAAGAAAUUUAUAUAUUUUUAAUUUUUUUUAAAAAUUAAAUAAAUAAAAUGAAUUUAAAAUAAUAUAUAAAAUUAAUUUAAUAAUUUUAAAUCUAUUUUUCUUUUUAUCUGUCUUUUUCAAAUCACAAUCCGAGUGAGUUUGAAUACAUUUAUUUCUUCAUUGUGAAACAACCUAUGAUUGAAGAAUGCGUGGAGUGACAAGUAUUUAUAAAAUAUUUUCUCCAUGGAAUUAAAUAUGAAUGGACCAAAUUGGAAAAAGUGUAGCAUCACUUUCGUUUUCAAAUUUCCUCUGCCGGGUUUCAUAAUCAUAGUUUAUGAGCCGAAAGUGGGCUAAGUCUCUUUUCAACCUUAACUAAAAUCCUGUCUGCCACGUGACCUCGGGGAGACAUAUUAUUAUAUUUUGAGAAAAUGAUAAAAAAAAUAUAUAUAUAUAUAUAUAUAUUAAUCAGAGAGAUUAUCAAUUUUCUAAAAAAAAUAUUAAUUAUUUAACCUUUUUUUUAAAAAAAUCACCUUCUUAGGUGGGAGGAAAUUAAAUUAAUAAAUAAACUUUAUAUUUGAGUAGGCCAAUGGAUACGUUCUUAACCAGGCCAUUUAAAAGACAGAUUGUUAUGGUUUGAUUUUGGGCUGGAUUUAAGCCCACAUCUACAAAUUGGCCGGCCCAUUUUAUGGGCCAGCAGUAUGGAAAUAAAGCCCAUAGAUCCUACUCUGCCCAAAACACACUCACAAGUAUCUCAAUGCUUUACAGGCGAUGAUUAGGGUUGCAAUUCAAGCCAAGCCCAAUCUUAUUUCUUUGUCAAAUGGGUUUAGGUGGAUAAGUAAUUAAUUAUCUUUUAAUUUAUAUCCUUAAAAUUAACUACUACAUUAUUUAUAAAGAUGAUUAAUUAAGUAUGCCUAAAAAAAUAUAGUAUAGUAUGUUUUCCAAGAUUAGAAAUAUUUAAUCAACAUAGUGAAAAAAUGGAAUAGAAAAAACUUAAUGGAAAUUACGAAUUCUUAUCAUGUUUGUGUUCAAUACCGACAUUGCUCCAUUUUUUAUUUUAAAUUUUGUGUUAUUCACUUUAUUUUUUAAUUAAUAUAUUGGUUGCAUUAGAAGUAAAGGCAAUGCACUUGUAUGAAUCUCACUUGAAUGGGAUAGAAUGUGAAGAAUUUGAUAUUUGAAAGCAAGUGUAAAACUUCAAUUAUGGUAAAAAUAGAAUAAAAGUAUUUUAUAUAUUUAUAAUUAAUUUAUUAAGUCAAAAUCACUUGAUAUGUAAUUUAUAGCUUUAAAUAAUUUUUAUCACUAGAAUUUAUGGGACUGAAUAUAAUUAUCCAUUUUGCACAUGUGUUUGUAGGGAAGAUAUUGCUAAGAGCUAUAUUGACAUUGUAUCUUGGAGUGACUAUUAAUUAUCAGUACCCAUGUAUAGGGAUAUGAUAAUAGCUUUAAAACAAUGUAUCUGCAUGUGCAUUUCCAAAAUAGGUUAACUUUCUUAUCUCUAGUUAUAUUAUUUAUUUUCAAUAUUGAUUUAUCAUUUUAUUUGUGUGAGUUAAAAAAUUUGUGUUUUUUAUAUUUUCUCUCUCUCUCUCUCUCUCUCUCUCCCUUUUCCUCUCUCUCUUUCACACCAUACCCCUGACUCCCACACCACUAUCACCAUCCAUGGUGAAGCUCACCACAAGUGACUAUUGUCAGCUCAACGUCACCAAUGACAUUUCUCCACCAUGACACCCAUUCCUUCCAUUGUCAUUUCAAAAGUUUAAAAAAUGGUAAGUCUUCCAUUUUUUUUCUUUCUUUAAAUAUUCAUAGUGCAUUGUUUGGAGACUUGGGUAUUGUCUAUUGGGCUUUGGAUUUUGUUUAUGGGCUUUGAAAAUAUUAGGCUUGCAUGGUUGUUGAUUUUGGCUGCUAAUUUGUGUGAUUCGGGUUUGUGUAUUUAUUGGAUAUUAAAUUAGGCUUGAGUUGUUGGAUAUUGUUGUUGGGCCUACUUGAAUUUAUUUGAUCUUUGUUGAUGGGGUUUGCUUAUAUUUGGGCUGAUUUGGCAUUGCAUCAAGGAUAGGAAGAGGCAAAUUUGGUGCAUAGUGUAUUAGUUAGAGGCGGUUAGAGUAAUUGGAGACAAGGUAUGGACAUGGGCAAAAAGAUGGUGGGACUUGAUUUGGGAUAAAAAGAGGGAUUAAAGCAAGAGGAAGAGAUGAAGGACAACCUUUUAGAUUUUUCUCUACUCUCUUUGUAUUUUCUAUGAGUUUUUUUUGUGAGAGAUUGAGAUGUUUUUAGCAUUUCUGGCUUUUUUUGGGAACCUAUGGAGAGCUAGUAGACUUGGGAUUGCAUUGUAAAAGGUACAACUGUUUAUCCUUGUUCUUAUUUUAAGUGUAUUUGUUUUGUUAUUCAUUAUCUUGUACAUAUGUUAUUUCAUUUAUUUUGAUAUCCAAUAAAUAUACGUCAUCUAUUAGUUUUGUUGUUGUUGAUGCCUUUAUUUAUAUAAUCUAUUUUUUUGUUUGUGGAAUGAACCUAUAAUAAAAUAUUGUUUCAAAAGUUAUUUUUUAAUAAACGUUUUUUUUAAUAAACCACAAUUUCUUUUUGGAAUGAAAAUUUAUUUAUUUUUUUAAUAAAUGGAUUUUUUUUUUUGUUUUUUUGUUUUUUGUUUUUGUUUAGAAUUAUCUUGUUUUAUGAUAUGAUUUUUUUUUAUUUGAUUUGAUUUUCUUUUUCCUUUUUUGGGUAAGAUCAUUUUAUUUAUUUAUUAUUUAUUAUUAUUAUUAUUUAUUUCUUUAUACACAAAUAAAGAACUUUUUAAAACAAAUUGUAAAACCAUUUUUUUAUAUAAAAGUAAAAAAGAAACAUUUUUAUAAUACAAUUGAAAAGAAAAAAUUAUUUUAAAAAUAUUUUUUUCUAAUAAAAUGGAAUUUCUAUUUUUUAAGAAAUUGAGAUUAUCUUUUAAUAAAUUUCUUUAAAUUUUUUUUUUAAAAAUAAAAUCUAUUAUCAUGUUGUUAACAAAUUUGAAAAUUUUUUUAAUAUAAUAAAAAUGUGUUAGAGAGUAAUUUUAGAAAAUGUUUCUAGCAUUUUUAACACUUAAAUGAUAACAAAUUUUAGGUGUUAGAAAUGUUAAAAACGUUUUUUAAAAUCACUACCAAAUAGGCUCUAAGUUUGAAAUAAUUAAAUAAGUAUUUUCUAAUUAUAUGAAAUAAAAAUCACUAUUUUUUCACAAUAAAAAGUGCAUCUCGUCGUUCAAGUGGGGAGACACGUGAAAAUGCAGGUCCAUAAAAUGUUGACUCCAUUAGGGAUGUUUAAAGGUCAAGUUUGAAGUCGAGUUGAGGGAAAUGCGGCGUUUGAUUAAUCGAUUAGUAGAUAUCUUCUCAUGAUGCCUUUGUAAUAUAUUUGUAUAUUUUAGGGCACAUGAGGGUUGACAUAAUGAUUAUUUUGUGUAUAUGUUGCCUGUGCCUUACUAUGUAUUGAUUAUUGUUAUCAUGUGUAUUUGUAUAUAUCUGUUUUGCAUGUUUGUGCUAUAUGACCACCCUUUUUCUGCAUGAUGCAUACUUGGUUGUUAUGUUCAUUUGCGAUAUUAAUAUGUUGAUUACAUCGAUUGAUUCUCUUGCCAUGAUUGCCCUGCUCACUUUGACAUGUUUAUUCUCAUUCGUCUCGAUGUGAUUGAUUCUCUUUAUUGUAUAUUAUUUUGUCCAUCUCAACAGAUUGUCUAUCUUUGUUGUAUACUCAUCUUGUUUAUCCUAUUUCCUUAGCUUGUUUUUAGAUUUGAAUGAUAUACCUACUCUUUGUAUGACUGUAUGUUGCAUGACUACUCUUCUUCUACUUGAUGCAUGUAUCUCUUGUCAAUGUGGGACACACAUGUGUCCCUUUAUCUCCAAUCCCCUAGUCUCAAUCAACCAUGUUUCCCUUGAUCUCAUAUUUGGUAUGAGACUUGUUGCUUUGUUUGCUCUCUGAUCGAGUUGGUGAUUCGAAGUAGGGUCUAGCGAUGGACUAUAUCUAUGUUUAGGAGCAUUUUGGAGGAGGCCGACACAUUGAUCCUGACUGGAGUCCGAUCAUUGGACUUGUAUAGCUUAGAGCUAGAUUUCAUGGAUAUUCAUGUGACCAAUGUGUUUUCUUUCUUGUUUUAACUUUAUAGGUUUAUCAAAUGCACUUAUACCACUCACUAUGCACCUUAGAUCGUUGCUAAUGACCAGAGUUGUGAGAUGCACCAACAAUUAGGAGAUACUACACCAUAGAAAGCCCCUUGGGAUGCGAGAUAGUGCUUGUGUGGAGGUGAUGACCACCUUGCAUGGAAGCGCCCUAUCUGGUCGAAGGCGUGUAGGAGGUUGCAUAUUGUUGAAGGGUGUGAUCGGUUUUUCUAGAGAUCCUUUAAAGUCCACCCCUACACCCCACGUGUGAGCCUUAAAUCCCUUUAUUAAGAUUCAUUUCUCACACGUGGGUGCAUCUGAGAGCCUUUGGGGCUACUUUAGUCAUAGCAUGGAUCUAGUACUCAUUUUUUUGGUCUCCAGUUGAGUAUGCUCAAAGAUUAGUGCAAGUUUGUGUAUUAGUUGGACCAUUAUUUGUCAUGUUGCAUUAGAUUCUUUAUUUCGCUUGUUGAGUUUGACAUGUUUUCUCUCUAAGGCUUUAGUUAGUCUUACUUUCUUAUCUUAACACAUUUUUUCAAUUUGUUAUUGCAUUGUUUGCUUGAUACUUUAGGAUAAGUUCAUCGAUCAUGAUCACCUUUUUGCAAUGUACACUUGUCAUGGUCAAGGUACCACAUUCUUUAUUUGAUGCUUGAUUCCAUUUUCACCUCGAUGCUCAUAUUUUCAUUACAAAAAGGUGAAGAACAUGUUUUCACAUUCACACUUUUUUUUAGAGAUUCUCCUUUAUCAUCUUAUGAUUUUCCUUUAUAGAGCUCAAUUUGGAAGUUGAGUCAGGUGGAUCCUAUUAUAGAUGGAGCAUUGAUUUUGUGAUAGCACUGUUCUACACAUCUCUUAUAUCUUAGAUUAUUGAUAUGAAUUCUCUAGUCACAUUUGUAGCCAUCUCAUAGAGGACACCUUUAUGACUCUUUAGCUCCUAUCAUACAUCUAGAUUUUGCAUUUCCACCUUAGGAGCAUGUGUUUGCAUGUCACAUUGUUGCCUUUAGAGUCUUCUUUUGUGUCCCAUGUCCAUUUUGAUUAUUUUGCAUUGUAGGGAAUCAACCUAGGAGUUGGUUGAGUAUGAAAUUGUAGCCUUGGAGGAGGGUUGGAGGCCAAUUGAUCAUAUCAGAUUCAUAUCAAAGUUCAGAUAGUUCACUUGAGAUGUCAGACGAGUUAGCUUCUACACUUGCUUCUAUUCAAGAGUUCAUGGCUAGGAUGAGUAAAUGUUUAGAUCAAAUAGAGAGAUCACGCUAGAAUUACCAGCUAAUGGCAUGGGUACAAAUGAGACAACUUCUCAUGCAUCUCAAACAACAUAGGUUCUUCCACCCAGGGCUUCACAUGGCAUUCCAUUCCAUUUAUCAGAUCAUUGUGAGACUACUCCACCAUCCGAUGUCAUAAUGUCGCCUCCUAUUGUACUUGUUAUUGAUGACAUUGAUUAGUUGAGCAGGAGGGCAAGAUUGAGAGGCUUGAGUCCAGGAUGAGAUAGAUCAAAUUGUAGAAUGGAGGUUUGACCUAGAAUGACAGAGAUGACAUAUUGGCGGCUAGCUUGCCCACCAAGUUUCGCAUGCAAGACAUCGAUCACUACAGUAGAGUUGGUUGUCCAAAGAUCCAUCUGACUCUCUACAGCACAAUCAUGAGAGCACACAGGUUAGAUGAUGCACAAUUAAUGGCUUUCUUCUUCAUGUCACUUAGUGGGGCAACUCAGAUAUGGUUUGCCUUAGUUGAGCCUUCAAGACUUUGCACUUGGGAGGAUAAGACUCAUGAGUUCUUGACUCAGUUCGCCUCCAGUGCCGACAAUGAUGUCUCCAAACGAAAGCUAGGGGCUUAAAUAGAAACCAAAAGAUUUUAUUUCUUCAUUUGUUAGUCGUUAGGGGGCAAAUGUGGUUGGUAUGGUAGAUUGGCCUAAGGAGCAAGAUCAUAUUGAUAUGGUUCUUCAGAACCUACAUUUGAGGUUUGUUAGAUGCCUCAUGAGCAUUCUAUUCCAAGAUCUCAAGAGUUUGGUUUAGACUAUUUUCAGUGUUGAGGAGGCCAUUGCUUGAGAAUUAUGGAUAAAUAUUGUUUUUUCCCCUGACAGUAAGGAGAAGAAGUCGAUUGGAUCAUCUGGGAAGACUGGAGAGGUUAACACCAUUAGUUGUUAGCAUCAGAGGCCUACUUGCCACUCAUAUUAUAGGUUUCCUACAACUAGAGCUCAUUUCUAUCAUCCGUAAUAUCAAUAUCAAUCGGUUUAUGUUCAACAACCUUUCAUUACUCAAGCUAGUGUACAGUUGUGACAUCACCUCUAAGAGCUACUACUCGCCAGCUACCUAGACUAUAUGAAUAGAGGCAUGUGAGACAAUUCACUCCAUUAGGCAUGACUUUGACUAGAGCUUUUGAGAAGCUUAGAAACGUUGGCUUAAUUGUUCCUUUGGCACUAUGCCCCUUGCCACAUCCUAUUCCUCCUUACUUUCACCUACAUAAGCACUGUGUGUUUCAUCAGACUUAGGGACAUGCUACUGAUUAUUGCUCAACACAUUGCAACUUGUCAAGACCAAGUGUGAUCACCAAUUCCUUGCCUACACAUUUUGUACAUGUUAUUCCCUCACCUUCUAGUCUUUAAUAGAGCAUUGUGGAUGUUGAUGAUAUUCGGGGAUCGCCUGCCACUUUGAGAUUUUUCUUAGUUGAGGCUUUCUUUCAAUUGAUAUGGGUGCAUCACUUUAUAGAGUUUUAGUAUAAAGUGUACAUUGGUUUGGUUGUGGAAGUCAUUAGAGUCUUUUUUUUUUUUUUUUGUUUAGUCUAGUUUUUGUUCAAAGUCACAAUUUAUAGUUCAUGUUAAGAGUUUAGUUGUUCGUAGUCUUUUACGUUACACACAUAAUGUAUUCAUUGGUUCAUUUAGUGAUAUGAUCUUUUUAUUAUGAGUAUAUUUUCUUUUCUUUCUUAUGAGUAUAUUUUACAUUUUUUGUAUUGAUGUGUUGCGUUGUUUAUAUGCGACAUUUUUCACUUGCAUAUCAUGGUUACUUGGGCCAAAUUUAUCAUGAUGGAUAUUAAGCUUUCUUACCUAGGUGUGGACCCCGCAUUUUGAUCGAUGCGUUCCCACUCGAUGGCGAAAACUCGUUUUUUUUUUUAUUAUGCUUAAUAAACAAUAGAUUGUAUAAAGAAAAAGAGAUGAAGAACACCACCUAUGAGAUACGAUAGAAUGCAAUAAUGUGAUGGUAGGAAAAAAUGAUGAGAGAAAGAUGCACCUGUAGGUCCAAGACUCACGAGACUCGCAAACAAUGCGUGCAUACACUAAAGGGCCCCUAUCCCGGUGUAGAAAUAUGAACAAGGCUAUCACAAAAGAAAUGCUAUAAUACNNNNNNNNNNNNNNNNNNNNNNNNNNNNNNNNNNNNNNNNNNNNNNNNNNNNNNNNNNNNNNNNNNNNNNNNNNNNNNNNNNNNNNNNNNNNNNNNNNNNUUUUCUUUUUCUAUUUUGUCUGGUGACAAUCUGAUUUUUAGAAAAAAACUCGGAGUCGCCACUUAUUUUUAUUUUAUUUCUAAAGGGAAAAACAAAAUAAGAAAGAAAAACCCUAAGUGUGACUCCAAGUAUUUUUCUAAAAAUCAAAUUUUCACCAAACAAAAUAAAAAAGCUAGUUUUCGCCAUCGAAUGGGAAUGCAUCGAGCAAAAUACGGGGUCCACAAAAUGGUGACUCCACUACGGAUUUUUAGAGGGUCAAACUUGAACUCGAGUUGAGGGGAAUGUGGCGUUUGAUUGGUCGAUCAAUGGAUACCCCUCUCUAUGUGUCUUGGUAUGAUUGUUUGUUGAUUACACGUUGAGAGCUUUGAUAUGUUUGUCUAUAAUAUAUGUUUGGCUAUUAUGUUCGUUUGUGAUGUUGACAUGUUGAUUACAUCGAUUGAUUCUCUUGCCUACUUUAGCAUAGUGACUUUUCUUGUUAUAUGAUUAUUUUGCUUUCCUGGACAUGUAUAUUCUCAUUUUUGUAUAUCUUAUUCAUCUUGGCAUGAUUGAUUCUAUUCGUUGUAUAUUAUCUUGACAUAUUGUCUAUUCUUGUUAUAUUCCUAUCUUACUUAUCAUAUUUUUGCCUAGCUUGUGUGUAGAUAUGAGUUAUAUACUUGUUCUUUGCAUGACUGCUUGGUGCAUGACUGCUCUUCCUCUGUGUGAUGCAUGUAUUGUUUGUCUGUGUGAGAUACACAUCUAUCCCCUUACCUCCAACUCCCUAGUUUCGGUCGACCUUGUUUUCCUUGAUCUCGUAUUUGAUAUGAGAUUUGUUGCUUUGUUUGCUCUUCAACUGAGCUAGCGAUUAGGAGUAGGGUCUAGCGAUGGGCUAUAUCGAUGUUUGGGAGCAUUCUGGAGGAGGCCAACACGUUGAUGCUAAUUGGAGUCUGAUCUUUGAAGACUUGUAUAGCCCAGAGCUAGGUUUCAUGGAUAUUUAUGUGAUCAGUGUGUUUCUUUUUCCACUUUAGCUUCAUAGGAUUUUUGGAUGCACCCACACCACUCAUCGUGCACUUUAGUCGACUACUGAGUGUUGAGAGUUUUGAGAUGUUUCACCAUAGGAAACCCCCUAGAAUGUCGAGGUAGUGCAUGUGUGGAGGUGAUGAUCACCUUGCAUGGAAGCACCCCGUCUCUUCGGGGGAGUGCAGAGGGUUGCGUACCGCCGGAGGGUAUGAUCGUUUCUGCUAGGGAUCUUUUAAAGUCCACCCAUAUCCAUUUAAAGCCACCUUGACCUCGUAGGUUGAGCCGUAGAUUCUUCUAUUAGGACUUCCUACCUAUACGUGGGUGCAUUUGAGGGCCUUCAGAGCCUCUUUGGUCAUAGUUGGGAUUCAGUAUUCCCUCUUUUAGUCUCCAAUUGAGAGUGCACAGAGAUCAGUACGGGUUUGAGUACGGUCGGACAAUCCGUUUUCGUUUUUUAUGCCUUGCUCAUUCUAGUUCAUACUAGCAUUUCUUCCAUGUUUUCUCUGUUUUCCCUGUGGCUACCAUUCUCAUGCUUCAUGCUCUUUAGGAUUGGUUCUUCAUUCUCAGUGUGGAUUUGUCAUCUUAGAUCAGAGUAGAGGGAGACUUAGUUCGCUUUUCUGAGAGAUUAGACAUGGAUCAACGGGUUGUCACAGUUGAUUAGUUCACGACCGCUAUGGCUUCUAUUUAGGAGGCUUUGUCCAGUCUCAGACAGGAGAUAGACAGUCAGCAGAGUAAACAGCUUGUAGUUCAGGAUGAGACGCCUUAUGAUUCAUUGCCACCUUAUCUAUUACAUGGUCAUUCUGAGGUUGCCUCACCUGUAGUAGUACAUACCAAAGUCCUUGAGGAUACGCAUGCAUGGAUCGUACUGAGCAGCGUAUCAGGCAAUUGAGGGUAUUUGACAGUUCAUCAGCUUGGGAUGAUCUUGAUAGUAUACUAGUGGCUAAUCUACCAGCCAAGUUUAGGAUUCUUGACAUUGAGAGGUACACGAGCGUUGGCUGUCUAUGUAUUCAUCUUCGACUCUACAGUACUGUGAUGAGGGCCCAUGGGUUAGACAAGUCAUAGAUGAUCACCAUGUUUCCUUUAUCUUUGAGUGGUGCAGUCCACCAUUAGUUUGCAUCUUUGGAGUCUUCGCGACGCAGGAUAUGGGAUGACCUAGCUUAGGAGUUUCUGUGAUAAUUUUCAUUUAGUACUGUUGUAGAUGUGUCGAGGAGAGAGCUUGAGGGUUUCAGAUGGAGAUCAGAUGAUUCCAUGUCUUCCUUCCUCUCCCGCUGGUAGGGGAAGAUAGCAGAGAUUGUUGAUUGACCAUUAUAGAGAGGUGACUUAGUCUUGAGGGUCAUCGGAGGAUUGAUUAGAGAUCCUAGAGGGAAGUUCAGACCUAGCUAGAGUGGACCUUAUUUCAUUAGGGAGUUAACUCCAGAGGGUGUCGCAUGGUUGAUGGAUCUAGAUGGAAACCGAUUCUCAAAGCCGACCAAUGUGGAUUAGCUAAAGAGGUACUAUGUUUGAGACCAUGGUCGUAGGAUAGGUGACCAUCAUUUUGGUUAGCCAUAUACCCUUUCACCCUUUUGAUACAUAGACCGUUGCUAGCCCAUUGAGUCUCGCAUGUGUAUUAUAGCAUUUCUUUCUUAUAGCCUUGCUCAUAUUUCUACACCGGGAUAGGGGCCCUUUAGUGUAUGCACGCAUUGUUUGCGAGUCUCGUGAGUCUUGGACCUACAGGUGCAUCUUUCUCUCAUCAUUUUUUCCUACCAUCACAUUAUUGCAUUCUAUCGUAUCUCAUUGGUUGUGUUCUUCAUCUCUUUUUCUUUAUUCAAUCUGUUGCUUAUUUUGCUUCAUAUUCUUUCCACCCUAAGUAGUGAUCCUCCUCAGUUCAUUAUAUGGGGGAUAGUCACAUCAUUUCCACUAUCUAUCCUACGAACAUUGAUUUAGAGAUCCUUAGUUUGAGAAGGUCAUCUUAUCAGAGAGAGUUUGUUUGUUACCUUAGCACUUGGGAGUGUGUCUAUUUUUUAUUGAUAUCAUUUUUGGGGUUCAUUUGUUUAUGUUCAGGGUAUGUGUAUUUGUAUAUAUGUAAAAAAAAAAAAAAAAAAAAAAAAAAAAAAAAAAAAAAAAAAAAAAAAAAAAAAAAAAAAAAAAAAAAAAAAAAAAAAAAAAAAAUUCUUUAUUACUAUUAUUACCACAUGUGUGUAUGUGCAUAGUGUUCCCAAUCAUUGGGUAUGUAUAUCAAUGUCGGGGGGUCAUUUUUAUCAAGUAUGUUCUUUAUUGGAAUUUCGUAUGUGACCUCCCUAAAAUCCCAUGUUAUUUGUAUUGCUUCCCCAAAUCUAUUUGGGAAAAAAAUAAGUGACCUUCCCCUAAGGACCCCAAGUCAUUGUCCUUUCCAUCAUUACGUUCAUUAUUGAUGUGACUUCAUUUCAUGUUUGAUCUAGGUCAAUCACCACUUUUCUUCACGUAUUCAUUGUAUCCCCAUCGUUUUUAUCGUUGCUUGGGAUUCAUCUCAUUCCCUUCCCAUCUUAUUCUCUCCUUACAGCGACCCAUCUCAGGUUCAAUGCUCAUUUCGCAUCAUCAUUACACAUAUCACUAUCAGUUCAUCCCGUUUCAUUUGUCUCCUUAUCGAUAUCAUAUUCACUUUAGGCAUCCUCAGGUCCAUGGCUCAUGGGGUUCACUAUACAUGUUGCAUUUCAUAUAUGAGGGCAUGGUUUUCUAAUCAUCGGGNNNNNNNNNNNNNNNNNNNNNNNNNNNNNNNNNNNNNNNNNNNNNNNNNNNNGUUCAUUUUUAUUGUAUAUUUUGAGAGCGAGAUGAGUGAUUUAGGAUUUUUCUUUCUUAUUUUGUUUUUCCUUUUAAAAAUAAAACAAAAAUAAGUAGCGACUCCAAGUUUUUUUCUAAAAAUCAAAUUUUCACCAAACAAAAUAAAAAAGAAAGUUUUCGCCAUCGAGUGAGAACGCAUCGAGAAAAAUACAGGGUCAACACUAGGAUUAGGAGGUCAACUGAGGGAGUUUGAGAUUGUGACACAUUUUACCAAUGUUUUAAAAACCGGACCUAACCGGGCGGUCCGACCAGUCGGGCUAUCGACCGGUGACCUUUUUAGUUCAGUUCCUUCUUUUGGGCCGACUAUCAAUUGGACCGGUGUUGAACCGCUUGAGCCGAUUGUUGAACCGUCGAAUUGCUUAGAUCGGGCGAUUCUAGGAAAACUGAACGAUUCAACACCCUCGGCCUUUUUUGACUAAGUGGGCCACUCCUUCACGACCCAACAAUAAUAGUCUACCAUUUUAUUUUUUAUUUUUACAAAAUGGGUUUCUCUCCAUGGCUCAACAUUAAAUACCCCCCCAAUCUUGCAAAAUGGGCCCCCUUACUCAAGUAUCAUGCAAUAAGGCCCACCAACCACUUCGCUUAACCACCUAGCUUCAAUUAGAUGGGAAAAGGUUUAUAAAACACUCUAUUUUUUUUUUCUUACUUUUGAUGUGGGAUAAGGUAAAGGGAUUUAAAAGCAAAAAUCAACUUUGCUCCAAGCUGCAACAAGAGGGUUUGAACCACGAACCACAAGCUCAUAAUGGCAUAACCCCUCUACUAUGUUGUAUCUUUGUUUGUGUUAAUAUUUAACAGAAAAUAACUACAUAGGCUAUUUCAAAAAAUAAUAUAUAUAUAUAUAUAUACAUAUCACUUUUUUUUUCAUUUUCAAUUUGUUUUCAUAUUUAAAUACAAUUUUUUUUAUCAUUUUGAAUAUAUUUUCAUAUUUAAAUAUUGUUAUAUUUUGUUUAAUAAAUUUAAACCAUUAAUACAUUUAUAUAAAAAUGAAUAAAUAAUAUUAUAAACAUUAUUUAAUUUUUAAUUAUAUAAUUUAAAUAUUUUAUAAUUAUUUUUAAUUUUAAUAAAAUGUAAAAUAUAGAUUUAUGACAUUGCUGGUUCGACUAUGAACCGUGAACCAAUAAUUUUUUUGAUUCAAUAUCCGAUCCGGUUCUGAAAACAUUGCAUUUUACCUUCUGAUCAGAGUAGCAUCUUAUACAUAUCCAUACCUUGACUUUUUAGUCUUGAUGACCUACCCAUGUUGAGCCUGGUAUGACACCACCCAUUGGUACCACUAUAUGAUCUUGCAAUCUUUGUCCAUCUUAUCUUAGUAUAGUACCAUUGCGUAUUCUUUUCAUCAUUUCUUUGAUCUGACAAAGUAAAAUCUAAGAUGAUUGGACCUGAGCUGAGCUUUGCAUCUUGAUCAAUGAAUUAUGAUGAGAAAGUGGUUUGACUGCUUGAUGACAUUGUUGACUAUUACAUGGUUGAGAUAGGCAUAGAGUUUUAUUGUAGAGUAUCCAUAUUGAGCUUUGACACAUGCCUUCAGAGGAUAAGCAUGACUUUAGAGGUUUAGCAUGACGAGAGAUAUUGAUUUUAUGAGAUGAUGACGAGUGGCUUGUGUUGAUAGAGUGGGUUGAUUGUCAGAUGACAUUGAUGAUUAUUAUAAAGUAUCAAGAGUUGGAGCUUUCACAUGAUUUCAGUGGAGUUGAUGUGGCUAUGUUAAAUGGAUACUAGUCUUUAGUGUUGAUCAUGUGAGAUCUUGAGAGCACGAUGUUCGAGGUUGUGGUUCAAGGAUGAGUAGCCAUUAUUUCAUGAUCCUAUUUACUUUAUCACUCUCACAUAUAGAGUUACCUAUUGUUGGCCCUUCGAGCCUCACAUGAAUAUUUUAGUUUUUUUUGUCUUAUCACAUCAUUUACUUUUUUUUACCACGUUAGGGACCUUAUCGUGCUUACAUGAUUUGAUAGGAGCCUCAUGAGUUUUGACUUGACAAACGUAUUCAAGUCUUAUCUCUCACUCUUCAUUGUGAUAUUUUCUUCCACUUUGACAUCACCCUCAUCAAUUUUUUUUUUUGCUGAUAUCACAUAUCACCACUUGAGAUAUUCACUCUAUUUCUUUUCCCUCAUCAUUGUCUACUUGACAUUAUCCUUGUUUCACCUUGAUUAGUGGUUUUCCACACAUUGCUACAUGGAAAGGGUCUAACUAUUUAUCUUUAUCCCCAUUUUGCAUGUAUUUGUUUUAUUAUUCAAUACCUUUAACAUAUGUUAUUUCAUUUAUUUUGAUAUCUGUGAACAUGUAUCAUCUAUUAAUUUUGUUGUUGAUGCAUUUAUUUAUAUAAUGUUCAAUUUUUCUGAUUAUGGAACGACCCAUAAUAAUUUUUUUUUCAAAAAUUAUUUUUUAAUAAACUAUUUUGUUUGGAAUGAAAAUUUAAUCUUUUUUAAAAAUAAAUGAUUAUUUUUUAGAACUGUAACUAUUUUGUUUAAUGAUUUGAUUUGAUUUUUUUUGGGUAAGAUCUUUUUAUUUUUUAUUUAUUUAUUUACAAAUAAAGACUUUUUUUAAACAAAUCAUAAAACAAUUUAUAUAUAUAUAUAUAUAUAUAUAUAUAUAUAUAUAUGAAAGUUAAAAAGAAACAUUUUUAGAAUACAAUUGGAAAGAAAAAAAAUAUUUUUAAUUUUUUUUAAUAAAAUAAAUUUUCUCUUUUUUAAGAAAUUGAGAUUUUCUUUUAAUAAAUUUCUUUUUUUAAUAAAUUAUUAUUUUUUUUUAUAAAUAUAUUAUCAUGUUGUUAAAAAAUUUGAACUUUAUAUAUAUAUAUAGAAUAAGUUUGAAAUAAUUAAAUAAGUAUUUUCUAAUUAAAUGAAAUAAAAAAAAUCACUUUUUGGUAAAUAAAUUUGAAUUGGACUGUUAUUGCAAAUAAAAAUGAAAAAAAAAAAUCUUGUUUUUAAUAAAAGACAAGAAAAACUCUAUUUUUAGAUAAAUUUAUUAAAAUCUUCUUCUUCUUUUUUCCUUUUUCUUUUUUUUUAAUAAAAGGCAAAUUUCUCUUCUUAAUAAAAAAAAGUGAGUAAAAGUUCCUUAUUUAAAAUAAAGCUGAAAAAAAUUAUAUUUCUAAAUAAAUUUGUAGAUAAAUAAAAUUGAAUUGAGAUCUUUUUACAUACAAUUGUAAAAAUAUGAAUUUCAUUUUUUAAACAAAAUAUAAAAUUUUGAAGUUCCUUUUUUGAAUCAAAUAUCAAAUUGAACCUCUUUUAUGAAUAAAACUUGAAAAAUCUUUUUUUUUUCUUAUAAAUUAGAAACCUUUAAAUUGAAAUCUCAUUUUGUAGAAUCAAGGAUUAUUUUAUUUUAUUAUUAUUUUUUGUAAGUCCUAAUGAAAUUGAAUAAACCUUCUUUAAAAUCAAACAAAGAUAAGAUUUCUUUUUCAAUAAAUCUUUUUUUUUUUUAUAAAAUCAAAUAAUUAAUCAUUUUUGGUAAAUAAAUGAGGGAUUGAAACCUUUUUUUUUUAAAUAAUUUUUUAAAAACUUAUUUUCCUAUUAAUAAUAUUUUUUGUAUUAAUAAAAUUGGAUUGGAUUUUAAUAUUUUUGCACAUAAAAAUCUUGUUUAUUUAAUUGAAAUAUCUUUUGUAGAUAAAGUUAUAAAAAAAGAAUCAUUUUUCUAAAUAAUUUGUAAAAAACACUUUUCUAAAUAGAAGUUAAAUUGAAAUACAUUUGUAAAUAAAACUGUAAUAAUUCAUUUACUAACAAAGGUAAAUAAAAGUCAUUUUCCUAUUAAUAAAAUCAAUUUUUUUAAUGCAAUUGUUUUUAAGAAAUUCUUUUAGCAACAAUAAGUGUAAAUGACAUUUUUGAAAAUUGAAUACAAAUAAAAUCGAAUCAAUCAUUUGUUGAAAAUAAAUCAAAACUUUUUUAUAAAUAAAUAAAUUGACAUAUUAAUUCGAAAUUGUUUUGAUAAACUCAUUUGAAAUUUCUUGAAAAGGUAAUUUUUGAAAUAUCUUUAAUUUUUUUAAUUAGCUUAAUAAAUCAAUUUGCUUAUUUCUCGUCAUCUAUCUUGUACAUUCUUGCAACCUACUUUUAGGAUUUUUUUUUUCUUGUAUAUUGGUUUGUAUCCUUUAUUUUGGUAUUGAUGAUUAAUUAAUUAAUUGUCACAAUUCCCCCUAUUCAUUUAGUAGAUAUUGUAGGUAUACAGGUUUGGAGGGGUUCUAUGACUUAUCACUAUACAUUCUCGAUAGGUAACUUGACCCUUGAAUCUAGACUCAGUUUUAGAAACAUGUCUUUUCUAAAUAAGGAGUCACAUAGGGUUUUCUUUCUUAUUUUGUUUUUCAUUUUUAAAAAAUCUAAAAUAAGUGGCGACUCCAAGAUUUUUUCAAAAAAAUCAAAUUUUCAAAAAAAAAAAAAAAAAGUUCUCGUUGUUUGAGUGAGGACACAUAUGAAAAAUGGGAGUCCACAAAAUACAGGUUUGUAAAAAACACAAGUUAGUGGUAACGUUAGGCACAACUAGGUUAACCAAACCUUGAUUGAUGAAGUCCUAAAUAGCAUGUUCAAGAGUGAAACAAUGACCUGUCAAAUGCCUUGGAGUAUAGUGGUAAAGAUAGUGCUCAUGUAGUAAAAAAUAAGGAGGAUAUGGUUGCAUCAAUGCUUUGAGGGUUAAACGGAUCAAAAGACUUGCCUUAGAGAGCUUCUGGAAAACUUAACUUAAUGGCAUCCCUAAGUGUCAUAAUUGUCUCAUAGAUCUGGGUAUAAGGGGUUUCCGAUUUUGUGCAUGACGUGGAUCGAGGUCUACCAUUUGGUUUGGGGUUUGAGCUUGCCCAUCGAGAUCAUGCCUAUGUAGUCUGUUUGCACCAAGCUCACCUCAUGGUUUGAUUGAGACACUUAUCUUUCAAUUAUCCUUUACGGCCAUAUAGUCGAAAUUGGUCAGAUUAUUUUGUUUUUGCUUCUCUUAUUGCUAUAUGUUCUGAGAAGGUAUCAAUUUAUGACUUUUCUACUAGUCCUAAAGCCACUAUGGAGUAGAUGUUUAAGUAGUUACAACUUGUUGACAAAGCCCUAGGUUCCUUUACUUCUUCGAAGAUGGCUCUAUCUCCCCUAGAUAGGGGCAACAUAUUUCCUCUACACUUCCCUUGAAAGAUUGAUGAGUACAAGAGUUUGAAUCCUAUUAAGGGUUUCUUUGAUGGAGUAACUCCCAAGGAUGAUUACUGACAUGAGUUAAACCUAUUUACCAUGAUACAAAUGUCAAGAUCAAUUAAGGUGCCAGUAGUGGGGCUGUUUGACUUGUUUGGUGAGAUGACUAUUGAGGGUGUUGUAGAGACAAAUCCAUCAAUUCCCAAGGUCACCCUACCACUUAGAGCUCAACCAAUGGUACCAAAGAUUUUUAUUGCUCCUAUUUUUUAGACUAUUAAUGUAGGCCCUUCUAUUGAGCAAGAUGUUUCUUGUGAUAUUAUAUUAGGAUUUGUCUAUCAUAUUUCUAAUGAUGUACCUAUUCUUUCAUCUAUGGGUAUGAGUUAUUUUAAGUAUUUUCCUGUGUGUUCUAGUUAUGUGCAUGAUUUUUCUCUUAGCUUGUCACAACAUCCAUCUAUUUCAUUUGUUUUCGACAUAGAUGAUGCCUCAAUCACCUGAUUCGAAUUCAAAUACCCUUUUUGGUCAUUCAAGUUACAAAGUAGAGCCUACAGAUGAAGAUUCCAAGAUUAUUGAUUUGGUACCAAGGAUUAACCUUGAGAGCUCUAGAUUGGUACUUCAUUGUCUACAAAUGAGAGGGUCGACCUUAUUUAGUUGCUUAGAGCAUAUUUAGAUGUGUUUGCAUGUUCAUAUAAGGAUAUGCCAGGAUUGGAUCCAUCAAUUGUACAACAUUGCCUACCUUUACUUCCCCAUAUCAUACCAAUUAAGCAGAGAUUGAGGAUUUACUACACCCCUGAUGGAGUCUUCAACUGGAAAAGGAGAUUCAGAAGCAACUUAAUGACAGAUUCUUAUAAAUGGUUGAGUAUCUUGAGUGGCUAGCCAAUGUCAUCCCUACUUCUAAAAAGAAUAGUAAAAGUAGAGUUUGUGUGGACUUUCGAGAUCUUAAUAAGAGUAGUUCUAAGAAUGACUUUUUUCUUCCUUACAUUGACAUGCUAGUUGAUAGUAUUGUAGGUUAUUCGAUGUUAUCCUUCAUUGAUAGUUUUUCUAGCUAUAAUAAAAUCUUGAUGGCUUCGGAGGACAUGAAGAAGACCUUUUUUAUUACUGAGUGGGGUACUUACUCCUAUAUGGUGAUUCCAUUUGGGUUGAAGAAUGCAAAAGCUACUUAUCAAAGAGCAACGACUACAUUUUCCAUGACAUGAUGCAUCAGGAUGUUGAGGUUUAUGUAAACAACAUGAUAGUGAAAUCUCAAGGUAGAGUAGAUCACUUAACAACUUUGGAGAGAUUCUUUGAGAUAAUCAGACAAUUCAGAUUGAGAUUGAAUCCCAAGAAAUGCACUUUCAAGGUGACUUUUGGGAAGUUGGGUUAUAUGGUUAGUGAGAGAGGCGUAGAAGUAGAUUUGGAUAAGAUCAUAACCAUUCUUGACAUGCCUACAUUGAGGACUAAGAGAGAGAUCAUAAGUUUCUUAGGCUUACUUUAGUACAUUAGUAGGUUCAUUACUAGAUUGACAAACAUUUGUGAGCCCAUCUUUAAACUUUUGAGGAAAAGUCAACCUAUUGUUUGGGAUGAUCAAUGCCAGCACCAAUUUGAGUGGAUCAAAGAGUAUUUCUUAUCACCUCUAGUUUUGGUACCUCCUACACCAAUUCGUCUCAUACUCUAAUACAUUUUAGUUUUAUACAUAGCCUUAAGAUGCAUGUUAGCUUAGCUCAAUGAUUUGUGAAAGAAGAAAGCUAUUUAUUAUAUGAACAAGAAGAUGUUAGAUUAUGAGAUGAGGUACAUCAUGAUUAAGUGCCUUUACUCGACAUUAGUUUGAGCUACUUGAAGAUUGAGACAUUACAUGUCAGAGUAUUCAGUACAUCUAAUAUCUUGUUUGGAUCCUCUGAGAUAUUUGUUUGAUAUACUUGUUUUGACUGGUUGACUCAUGAGAUGGUUAGUGCUUCUAACUAAGUUUGAUAUUCAUUAUGUUACAAAAAAAGUCUAUCAGAGGAAGUAUUGUCACAGAUCACUUGGCUUCAUUGUCCAUUUCAGAUGAUAGAGAAAUUAAUGAUGAUUUUCUAGAUGAUGAGGUUGUUGCAAUGGCUAGCCUGUCAAGUUGGCGUAUAUACUUCGAUGGUGUAGCCAACCAUUCUGGAUAUGGAUAGGAAUCUUGUUGAUAUCCUCUCACGGUGAUCAUAUCCCUAGAUCUGUUCGUUUGGCAUUUUCUGAUCGUCCCUCUGCCAUGAAUAACAUUGUUAAGUAUGAAGCUUUUACCCUGGGAUUAGAGACAACUCUCAAGCUUAAGAUUUGAUAGAUGGAGUUGUUUGGUGACUCAAAUUUGGUGCUCAGAUAGAUUCGGGGUGACUAGAAGACUAUAGACGUGAAACUUAGACCGUAUCAUGCAUAUUUAGAGUUACUAGUUAGGGGAUUUAAUGAUUUGAGAUAUACACAUUUGCCUAGAGUACAAAACCAGUUUGUUGAUGCCUUAGCUACUCUAGCUUCCAUGAUUAAUAUUCCUACUAAUACUAUUAUUCGCGUUUUUACUGAUUGAGUCAAGAUCUGUUAUUGCCUAUUGUUGCUUGAUUAAUAAGAUAGAGUUAGAGGACAGCUUGCCCUAGUACCAUGACAUAUAUUAGUUUCUCAAAUUUGGCAUGUAUUAUGAUGUCGCUACAACCAAGGAUAGAAGAGCAUUGGGAUAGUUAGCCACUUAAUUUGUGAUUGUUGGGGAGACAUUGUAUAGACAUUCAGUUGAUGGCAUGUUACUAUUGUGCUUGGAUUGCACCUUUAUUGAUUGAGUGAUGAGAAAGGUUCAUGUAGGGGUUUACAGACCACAUAUGAGAUCACACAUGUUAGCCUAUAAGAUCAUGAGGACCAGACAUUUUUGGUUGACUAUAGAGACAAAUUGUUGCCAUUUUGUUCAGAGAUGUCCAGAAUGCCAGGUGCAUGAGGAUCUCAUUCAUGUGUCACCCUUACAGUUACAUGCAUUGACUUCACCAUGACCAUUUUCAAUUUAGAGUAUAGACAUUAUUAGGAAGAUUUUGCUGAAAUCUUCUAGUGGUCAUGAGUUCAUCCUUAUUGCCAUUGAUUACUUAACCUAAUGGGUAGAGGUUGCCUCAUAUGAGAUAUUAACAUCAAUUAGAGUUGCUAGUUUUGUUAGAUCACAUAUCAUUUAUCGUUAUGGAGUUCCUCAUAAGUUGAUUUCAAAUAGCAAAGGUUGACACCUUGUUAUAGGGAUAUGGUAUCUAGCAUCAUAGAUGUCUAUGUAUAGGUCAUAGACUAAUGAGGUAGUAGAGGCCACAACUAAAAACAUUAAGAGGAUUUUGCGAAGGAUAGUUGAGAUUUCUCGAGAUUGGUCAAAGAAACUCUCUUUUGCAUUGUGGGCGCAUCGUACCUCCUUUCACACUUCUAUAGGAGCCAUACACACGGAGCCAAUGCUACUUGUUAAGAUAAAAAUGAGAUACUUGAGGGUAGUAGAUCAUGUUCAUGCUUAUUAGAGGAAGAUGACUUGUGCUUUCAAAAAAUAGGCCAAGCCUAGAUAGUUUCAAAAUGGUGAUUUGGUGGUAAGGAUUCUUAGAGGAAUGGUUGGAGACCCUCAUGGCAAGUUCAGGCCUAAUUGGAGUGGACCCUACUUUAUUAGAGAGUUGAACCCAUGGAGGGCUGCAUGACUAAUGGAUUUAGACAGAAAAUCGGUUUUUAAAGCCAACUAAUGCAAAUUAUCUGAAGAAGUAUUAUGUUAAGACCAUGGCUAAAGGAUGGGUGGCCCUCCUUUUAGUUAACCAUAUAUCUGAUCACCUUUAGAUUUCAUAUGAUCCUUUGCUAGCCAUUUGAGCCUCACAAAAGUAGUGGCCUUCCAUUUCUUGUCACCUUGACUGCCUUUUUCACACCCAGUUAGGACCCUAUAGUGAGUGAGAUGUGUGGUUAUAGAUUUUAUGGGCGAUUGGAUCUAGAGUGAUGUUGUGUCAUCCUUGGUUCACAUUUCCAUUUCUUAUCUUUCAGCGUAUACUUUUGUAGAGUUAUUGUCGUCAAGUAUUCCUUUUUCUUCCAGGUUUGUUGUCAUUAGCUUUUUUGCUUCCCUAUUUAACAUUUUUCUCAUUUUUCUUCUUUUACUUUUUUUUUUUCAUCACCUAUUGCCAUGGGUUGGCAGUUGUUCACUCAUCUUUGUGUUGAGGAAGAUCAUAUCACUCAUUUCAAUUUCUUAUGAGUUUGAUCUUAAGACUCUAGGGUUUUAUGAGCUCUUCAUAUCCUUGAGAUAGUAUGAUCAUACUAGGGUGAGAGAUGUGAGUUUUUUUUGUUAUGCCUACCUAGUGGAGGAUUCAUGUUGCUUGUUAUACAUACUUGACUAUGAAGAGUGUUAAAAAGAAAGAAAAAAUAAAUAAAUUUUCAUACCAAAAAUAAAUUCCAGUUUAUUAAAAAAUAAUUUUUGAGAUAAGAUUUUAUUAUGGGUUCAGUCUACAAGUAGAAAAAUAGAACAUUAUAUAAAUAAAUGCAUCAACAACAAAACUAACAAAUGAUGUAUAUUCACAAGAUAUAAAAAUAAAUGAAAUAUUCUAUGUAUAGUGCAAUCCCAAAUCUAGUAGCUUUCCACAAGGUCCUCAACAAAGAGAGAAGAGAAAAAUCUAGAAAACCGUUAUCUUUCUCUUUCUUUUAUUCUAAUCCCCCUUUUUUUUUUUUAUCCCAAAUCAAGUCUCACUAGCUUUAUGCACAUGCCCAUAUAUAAUUUGUCUUCAACUACUCCAACUAAUACAUUGUGCACCAAAUUUGCCUUUUCUUGUCCUUAGUGCAAUGCCAAAACACCAACCCAAAUACAAGCAAACCUAAUCAACAAAAAUAAAAUAAAUUCAAGUAGGCCCAACAACAAUAUCCAAUAACUCAAGCCCAAUUUAAUAUCCAAUAAAUAUAUAGACCCAAAUCAUAUCAAUUAGCAGCCCAAAUCAACAACCAUGCAAGCCCAAUAUCUUUAAAGCCCAAAAACAGUACCCAAGUCUCCAAAAAAAUGCACUAUGAAGAUCUAAAGGAAGAAGAAGAGGGGACUUACCAUUUUUGAAACUUUUGAUAUGACAAUGGAAUGAAUGGGUGUCAUGGUGAAGAAAUGGCAUUAUCGACGUCAAACUGACAAUAGCUAGUUAUGGUGAGCUUCACCAUGGAUGGUGAUGGUGGUGCUCAUAGUGGGGUGGUGGUGUGGGAGUCGUGGGUAUGGUAAGUGAGUGAGAGAGAGAGAGACAGAGAGAGAGAAAUAAAAUAAAGAAAAAAGGAAAGAAAAAAAUAAAAUAAAAAGUGGCAGUAGCAUUGCCAAUGGUGAGAGUGGUAGCCAUCAUGGGUAUGAUGGUAUGGAGAAUGAUGGAAAGAAAAAGAAAACAUAAACACGGAAAGAGAAUAAGAAGAAUGAAGGAAGGAAAAGAAUGAGAAAAUAUGUGGUAAAUGGAGUAAAAGGAUGAUUGGGGCUUUUUUCAUAGGUCUUAGGGUUUCUUUUAGGGUGAAUGAUAGUGAUGAAAGAAAAAAAAAAACAGAGGGUCUAGAUUAGUUCCUUAAAAAUGGGUACAAGUGGGCAUGAAAAUGAGCUAAAAUCAAGAGGAUUAUGCUUAAAACUAACUAACCAAAAGUCCUACAAAAAAAGAAAUAAAUAAAAUAAACAAAAGUAAAAAUAAAUAAAUAAAAACAAAAACAAAAUAAAAUAAAUAAAAGUUUGGGACAAAUUUUAAAGUCUACAUAUGUGCUUAUUGGAGUUACAACCAUAUCAUUUUUAAAAUUAUUCAUUUAUUUUGAUCUUGGACAAUUGAUAAUUAAUUUAUUAAGAGAUAAUAAAUUAAUACAAGUUAAGAUAAUAUUAUUUUAUAUUAUAAAAUUUAUGCAAAUAUUUAAUAGAUGAAAAAUAAUUUAAUAAUAUAUAUUUUUAAAAUAAUCCAAAUAGAAUAUUCAAUAAUAUAAUAGAAUAUUUAUUAUUGCUUGCCUUCAUCUUUUUCAAACCCAAUGCCUUGAUUUUUUUCACCUACAUUUUCUUCGUCUUUUCCUCCAUUCCUCUUGUUCAUCUUUUUAUCUUCUCAUUUUCAUUUUUUACAAAAAAGAAAAAGAAAAGAAUGGAAGCAACAUUAAUGGUGAUGCUACCAUGUCUACAUGCUCAUAUAUAGCAAGUGAAGAUUAUGGAGCGGAAAGGUUUAGAAUUUUUAUGUGGGGGUGUGUGGUUAAAGAAGAUGAAGGUAGAUUAGUAAAAAAUUGUAUACCUUUUUUAUAUUUAAAUUAAGGGUUUAAUACAUUUUACCCUCUCAACCUAUCACAUGUUUUGCACAUUACCCUCUUAAGUUUAAAACUGAACAAAUUGUCCUCCAAGCUUCUUAAAGACCAACACUAUGCCUUUUUUGUUGGACAGAAAUGUCAUGUGUUGUGCACAUGACUUAAUAAACGAGGGUAAAAUUGUCAUUUCAAAUAUCUAAAAUCCUAAAACAUCUUCUUCUUCGUUCUUCUUCCUCAGAGAGCCCUAAAUCCCCAAGCCCUAAAAUUUGGUUUUAGUUUUCUACACAUCAUAUCAUUUGGAUUUCCACAGUUGGAUUUUCUCUUAUUAAUCACCAAUUCUAAAUCAUGUGCUCAACAACUAUAACUAAAAAAUAAAUACACAAAAUGAGAGUCCAAAACUUCUAUUUGGUUGCAUAGAAAAAAAUGAGGUUCUUCAUUUUUUGUGAGGAGAGUGAUUGAUGUUCGGGUUAGGGUGUCAGUGGGGUUCCAUAGAGGAACAAAUUAUGUUUUUGAGAGGGUGAUAAUCUUUGAUAGAAUCUUGAGGACUAAGAAUUGCAAUUGUCAUUAACGAAAAAUAGAAUGCAACAGAGGAAAAUCGGAUGAUGUGAUGAGUAGAAAACUGAAACUUUAAAGAAUUUGAGAUAAUCGAAUUUUAGGUUAGGGGAUUUAGGGCUUUGGAAGGAAGAAGAACAAAGAUGGGAGGUUUUAAAGCUUUAGGUAUUUUAAUGACAUUCUAACCCUCGCUUAUUAAGUCAUGUGCACGACACAACAUUUCCAUCAAAUCAAACUAACACUGUUCAACAAAAAAGGUAUAGUGUUGUCUUUAAGAAGUUUGGAGGACAAUUUGUUCAAUUUUAAACUUAAGGGGGCUAUGUGCAAAACACGCAAUAAGUUGAGGGUGUACGGUGUAUUUAACCCUCAAAUUAAAGUUCAAAAUAUUAGGGAUUUCCAACCUCUUAUCACUUCUUAAAAAAAAUAAAAAAAUAAAAGCCUCCCAAGGAUGAGUCACAAAAUUAAAAAAAAAAAAAAAAGAAAAGAAAAAUUAAAGGAUGUUUGAUAAAUUAAUUUAAUGACUUAAUAUGAUAUGUAACAACCUAUUUUAAGUUAUUAAACAAAUUAAGUAUAUAUAAAUUGUUAAAUAAUUUAAUAUCAUAACUUAAAGUUAAAAGUAAUUUUAAAUAUUAAAUAAAAAUCCUUGCUUUAAAUAAAGCAAAUUGGGGUCAAUUUCUCGUACUUGCUCAAUGUGUCCCAUUUCAUCAAGUGCCUUGCCCAGUUCACUGAGUUGUUGGCCUACCAAGCACUUGCCUACUGCUCUUGCUGCCCACCAAACGGGCGGAGCGCUCGAUAUCCUUACUUUUCUAGGGCCCUUCCCAUUGCUCUAAUCAUAAGUUAUGGCAACUCCAAUUGGUAACCAUAGUGGCUCGCCCUAUGAUGCGAGGCCACAAUAGGCUCAAUGGUCUAAUCAGAGUGAGAUAAACUCUUUCUUGACAUGACUCACCCUUCCCACUCUUGACAUGAUGAAAUAAAUAACUAGCACCAUUAAUUCGGGUGAUGCCUAAGGGUCAUCUCUUGCUUCUUUGAGUGAAUUUUUCAUGAACUAGGCCUUUUCAUAGCUCGGAAUAAAUUUCCAAUCAAUUCAUUCUAAAUUUUAUUUUAUUUUUAUUCCAUUUGCUCACAUAUUGACGAGAAUCUCUUUUAUGUCUCUGAUUUUACAUCCACAACUCAUCUUUUAUGGUAAAUAUUUUAUCAUUAUUUCAUGUACAAUAAUAUUUUUAAUAUGGAUAUUUAACAAAUAAAUUUGAAUUUCAAAAGAUAAUUUAAGUCAAUUAUAUCAAAUAACCUUUAUGCUUACACUAAAAAACUAAGAGUAACAUUUAAAUCAAUAAUUUAAUUUAAACUCAAUUUAAAUAUUUAAAUCAUUAAAUAAUAAUAAUAUUAAGUUUUAUCAAACAUAUUCUUUUCAGGACAGGCAAACUAUCGGAUAAUUUCUAAUUUUCAAUUGUCUCAAAAAUUUAGCUUAAAAUUUUGGGAAUUACAAUUCAUUUAAAAAAAAUUAAAAAUAGAAAAAAUGAUUAUGUAAUUCCCUUAUGUAGUCUCUGCAUGAAUCAACUGUUUCAAGGGCAUUAGAAAAGGAGUGCUGCUGCAUUCAAAAUAUUUACAUGGUACCUCAGAGCUUACUUGGAAAGGCAAAUUAUCCUUUCAUUUCAAAUUCUCAAAUGUCAUUAAUUUUGUUCAUGCUUGGAAAGGACCUGGCAUCCACUGAAUUAAAAUUAUAUAUAAGGCACCAUUUGUUUGCAAAGAACAUGAGAAAAUAGUUGAAUGCUUGGAUAUCUGGCUGCCACUGAAGUUGGAGUAGUAGUUGGAAAGCUCCAAAUUUAAUUUCUUUCCUUUUCCUAAGACUUCUUGACAACCAAACAGUCCGGAUGUAGCUGAAAGCAACCUUAGUGAAAAAGACUUGGAACUGGUGAGUAAAAACUUCAUUGAAAAGGGUUCUUUGCCAGUGGAUGUCCUAGGUUGAUAAGUUCAAAUCAUUUGAUUGGAUUUUUGAUAAAGAGCAUAUCAAGACCAAAAACUUUGUACUGCGGACAGCAGUAUUGGAUUCCGAUGAUAACUCAUUUGAAAAAUUUUCACCUCAAUAUGAAUUAUUGAUCUACUGCCUAGGGAAUCAUUUUUCCUUGAACCUUGCUUCUAAACAAUACGAUGGAGAUGUACUUCUCUAAAUACUCCAGAGGAGUUAUCCUUAUCUCCAGAAAACUGAGUAUAUGAUAAACAAGCUUAUAGUAAUAUGUAUUUUACGUAUUCUUUUGUACUUAAGUACUGUAACAGUACUUCUGGAGUCCGGAUGUUGGAUUUACAAAUCAAACUCAUUCCUGGCCAGAUCUUUCAGUUUCUCUACAAUUUGAGGUUUCUGGUUUUUGGGUUUUCAUUGACGAAUUUUCAUGUAAGUUUACUGAAAUGUAUUCAUGCCCAAGAAUAGUUUGGUUUAAGUCAGUGAAAAUUUGCUUUUUCCAUCCCCAGUUAGAUCUAUCACUAGUAGUCUAUUUUAAUACCAACAAUCAAGGAGCCUAAACCCCAAGAAGGCCCCCCAUCUGGUUUAUGCCUCUCCCAACUUGAGUCAACAAGUCUUUCAUCUUCUUCCAUCAACUCAAUCGCCAAUAAUGCUUACUUUUCUGAUUAAACCAAUCAAGUUUCGACACUAAAACUUUCCAUGCUUUAUGAAUUAUUUUGCCAUGAGAACUGAGUGAUAGCCCCAUAGGGUUGCACUGGUAAUCUCAACCAAAUGGCAUCUAGCUUUAAGAAACUCAUCUUCUGUAAAUGCAAGGCUGCAGUACAGUUAUUGAUGGUGCAAUAUUCGCGUUAUAAGCACUGCCUUCUGGAGAGGCGUAUUGAAUGUAUUUGUUUAUAUAUAUAUAAAGAAAAAUGCUAAGAUUUCAAAGCGAUACUUAUAAAACAAAAGAUUUGAACCAUUGAAUAUGUAUGGUGAGAACUUGACAGUUCAAACGUGGGUAUAAGUGAAUGGAACAAAGGUUCAAAAGUGCAAAUAAAUGGGACCAAAAUUAUAACCAAUGAGAUAUGAAAAUAUAUUCGUGAUAUCACUUGAUUGAUGAAGCAUUUUUUUAUAGAUAUCGAUGUCAUUUUUUAUAUAUUCUAUAGAUAUCGGAAAAAAAUACACUUCUAUAUUAUAACCGCAUCAUAUACAAAACCAUAUCUUGUAGUUCCUUUUGUAUUGAUUAAUAAAGAAUGCUGUUAAACUAUUCUUCUUGGCAUGAUUUAAUUAUAUGAUCAAUAGAGAGAAAAAGCAAACAGCAUGAGCCAAUGAGUAAGUCAGUUAGAACAAUGUCAUUGAUCCCCUUUCACUAGGAUGGUUCCAGAGCAUACAAAAGGGAACUGCAGUAUAUUAAUAAUUAUUUUUCGAACAUUUUCCUCUUUCCUCUUGCCUUAGCAAUCAAUUUCACCCAUGGUUCAUACUAAUGUUUACUCACUAGAUUUUUCUGGUGACCAAAUGAACCCCACAAGAUCAAUCGUGCAUGCCAUGAUUGAAACUAUGAUAAAAAAAAGCUUGGAGGGUGAUUUUGAGAAAAAUAAGUACCAUAUUAGUGGCAAAAUAUGGAUACACAAACAAACUUGAAAUAGCUAGAUGGUUGCAAUGUCUAAUUAACCAGGGAUUCCAGUUUUGGGUAUCGUGCAGAGAUGGGAAUGGAAUGCAGACUAUUACAUCUCAGUAUCAUGUCAUGUCAAAGGCAAUCAGAUUUUGUAGUUUGCAGUUGCUUUAGCAAUAAAAUGUUGGCCUGACAGUAAGCAAAACUGAAUCAACUGAUUCAAGGAGAAAAGACUGAGAAGUAGGAAGAAGGGGGACAAAAGGGAAAAUGGUUUACAGAUUGUACCUUUGCUGAUGUUGAUCCCAAUCUCCAGUACUAUGUGUAAGCACUUAAUGUUGGAUUUCUAGCUAGCCAGAUUAAAGCAACCGAGUAAUUAUAUGUCCCUGUUAAUCAAUCAAAAGGGUCAGUGCUCACUGCAUAUAUCAUGAACUUUAUUGAAGGGAAAUUUUUUUUUUACUCCGCCCCUCAUCAGCAGAUGCUUCCUCUCCUUUCUUCUCUUUAUUUUUGCCUUUUGGCCUUUUGGCAGGUCUGCAAAGGGAGGAUUUCAAGACCAAUCCCCUAUAUCCACAGAGAAGCAGGAAAAAGAAGAGGAUGUGUUGAGAAGAAGAAUACCCCUAUCCCCACACAGAAGCGGGAAAACAAAAAAGGAUGUGGAGAUAAGAAGGAGAAGAAGAAGAAGUCUUAAUUAAUUGAGUACCAAUGGAUACAUUGAAUACAGUGGCUUUUCUGUAUAUAAGGAACACUUAGACAUGGAGGAAAAGGCAACCAGAACACAAUUGUUUUUAGGGCAAAGGUGCAUGGUUAAAAUAUUAAAACCCUCUGCCCGUUCAGUAGAAAGAAAGGAACAAGAUGAAGAAGAAGAAAGCCAAGAACAAAAAAAGAAAGGAUAAAAGGAAAAAACAGUGGCCUCAUAAAUGUUGAAGCUUCCACUAAAAGAUUGAAAUCAUCAUUAAUAUAUAUGCCGGCCGUAGUCAGUACUUCCUUACACACACAGAUGGUCCCAUCUCCGAAGAGACACACAUUGCCAUAACUCAUACCUUGUCAUCAGGUUACAUCUAGAUCCCCAGGAAGGGAACACUUGAAAUUCUUACUUGUGCCAGACUUGCUGGUUUUUCCCCAUACUCGGCUUCACACCAUAAUCUUCCCACAAGUGUUCUUCAUCAAGCAGGAUGUUCAAGCAGCUACCAUGCACUGUGGUACCCACGCUGGAGUUAGAAGGUGAAAGAUGAUCCUCACUGUUCUUCUGAAGUCCUACAUUCUCAGAGCCUUGUUUGGCCAUGAUUUCCUGGCCAUGAUAGGGGUCCAGUGGCUGAAAGUAAGUGCAGGUUCUCAAAUUCUCUUUGCGCUUCUUGCUGUGCUCGGUGGUCUUGUUUAAGUAGAUGUUGAUGUUCUCCCAUUUCUGUUUACACCUCAUUGCACUUCGCUCAUAGCCCAAACAACCCAUUCUUGUGGCAAUCUCCUCCCAUAGGCUUUCUUCUGAAUACCCGCUGUCUUGAAAUCUAGAUUCCAUACUGGUCCUCAGAUGUAUCAAACUUGAGAGCUCUUGUUCUGGCCAUCUACUGUAAGUAGUGUCAUCAGGUACUUCAUUUACAAUGUCCUCCAUGCUUUCGUUCUGGUCUUGAAUUUCCUUGUCCAUUAGCCCGUCUGGAGACGACAAUUUUAGUUCUUUCCCUGUAAAUUUCUUCAGAGCCUCCAUGAGUGCAGCAUCUCGGGCUUCAAUCCAUGCUCUCUCACUAGCCCAGAAUUUAUAUUCUCGAUCGAACCGAGCUGCCUCUUGCUUCCUCCAUUCCUCCUCUCUGGACAACCUUUCCUGCUCUUUAUGCUCGAUAGUUGUCAGCAUCUUCUCCAUCCAUGCCUCUUGUGUGUCCAUUAUCUUCUUCAUGUGGAGGCCCACAAAUUCCUUUAUUUUUCCUUUCAAACUCUUCCUGACCCUCCUGUAACUUUGUCCAUCAUCUACCCCUCUUUUCUUCUCCAUGGAAUGGUUCAUCAUGUAGGCAAUAGCUGAAAGAUCAUCAUCAUUGUUUUCUGAAGAUGAAGUCUCAAAUUCAGAUGAGUUAGAGAAACUAUGGCUCUCACAGAACUUGUGGUCUUGCAAAGCUUCUUGAUUUGCUUGGUUAAUGGUGGUGUUGUUUGUAGUCUGAUAAAGAAGAGUAGUGUUCCCAGCAAGAUGGGUUUCUGAAACUGACGCUUGAUUGCUUGUUUCUCCAUAGAGUGCUUCAAGUUGUCGGAAGAACCUAUAGUGCUUCCCAUCCUGUCUUCCGGCUUUACCUUCUUUAGUUUUCUUAUAAUACUUGUACAGGUUCUCAAACUUCUCUCUGCACUUCUUCCCACUUCUCUGGUACCCAUGUUCCUCAGCCAUUAUCCUGCAACAAUUAACGAAACGAAUAAAGGAAGAAAAGUAACCCAAAAAGGGUAAAUAUAUACAUAUAUAUAUAUAUAAACAGACUAGAGAAGAAUAACCCUAGUUUGUAGUUCUUUGGCCUAGUCCCUCUUGGAAUCCUAAAACAGAUAGUCUAAGUAAUUAUAUUCAAGGAUUUUGAUACCCAAUGCAAACCUCAAAUAGUAAUUAAUGCUAUAGAUGAUAGAAAAUGUGUUUUGGUAUCUCUUUUUUGGGCAUUUCGAAAUAAUAAAAUCUUAAAAUACCCAAAACAUUCCUCUAAUCAUCAGUUAGAUGUCAUAAAAUAUUAUUCUUGUUUCUUCUCCCUUUCUGUUUGAUGGGUAUUUUACAUUAAACCAACUAAGUAAGUAGGUUUCUUGAACGACUCGAGAAUGUUGGGAUUUAGAGAAGCUUCUUGGACUGGCCAUAUCACACAAAACCAAUGUAUGAGUACAACAAUUCAGGGGCGCUGUCAGCCAUUUUUCCAGAAUAAAACCUGUUAAAAUAACUAAAAUAACAGCUGGGUCUUCCAGUUAACUCAAAAAGCUUGUCAUUUUGAAGCGCUAAACUCAGUAAACCAAACAUAAAUUCUAUCAAAAGCUUGUCAUUUUUUGCUUUAAUAAAAUAUAUACAACAUAUAUACAUAAAAACCAGUACGAAAGAAGGAAGAGAGUCAUUUUUGCUAAAGAAAAGGAAAUAGGGUUUCUUGAAAAUCUUGGAGAAAUCAUGUGUAUCAAUGAGAGAAAGAAGAAGAAAAACAAAAAAAAAAAACAUGGGUUGAGUGCAAUUCAGUCAUUCAUAUACCUAGAAACUUCAGCCCACAAAGGUCCCUUCUGAUUAGCCUCCUUGAACUUAGGAUCAAGCCGAGAUCUGAUCUCAAGUAGAGUGAGAGUCUCCUGCCUCGGCCAUCUACUAUUUCCACCAUCUCCUCCAACACCACCACACUCCAUCUCCAACCCACCAACACCCACAACGGAAGCAGCAGUGGCAGCAGCAGUUGCAGUAGCAGUAGGAGUAGCUGUGGCAGUAGCAGAAUCACCAUGAAAGUCGACCAACCCACGAGGCACAACCACCUCACCCAUGUGGCUACCCACCAUGAUGGCCUCAUAGUGGUGCAGAUAGGGCUCAGUGGGGUGAGGAACGGCUGGAAAAUGAGAAGGUCUGGCCAUGAAUUGCCUCAGAUCCGGCAGUCCGUACUGGUCUCCCAUCUCCAUCACCAAAGGGAAGCAAAAGAAAAAAAAGAAAAAAAUAACAAAAAAAAGAAAAGGAAGAAGUCCCAGAGAGAGAGAGAGAGAGAGAGAGAGAGAGAAGAGAAGAGAAGAAAGGUGCGGUAGACUCGGAUCAUGUCGCCCAAGGAAAGCUCGAUUUUGUGCUUCAAAGGCCUUGGCCCCAUCUCUCCCUAUGUCCACAGUGACAAGAGAGAGAGGGGAAAUUGAGGGAACGAGAGCUAUACGUAGUUGUAGUUGUCCCUCCAAUGGCUAAGCGACAGAUGUCAAAGCAUAUGACUUUGAUGAAAAUCCAAUUCCACCAUUUUCUGGCUGACGCCUGUACAGUGUCUUUGAUGUGCCUUUUAACCCCCACCCCACUCAUCUUCUCUUUCAAUUUCAAUGCCUCCACCAUCUUUCCUCAAACCCCCAUUCACUUCACUUCACAAUCCACGCUUUCGCAUUAUAUUUCACUGUUGUUCUUUUAUUUGGACAAUAGUAACGUACCCAAUGGGACCUCACCAACACAUCAUAUUCUAACAUAUAUGGUGAGAUUUACAUAGUAAGAUGAAUAUACACAUAAAUGAAAUAAAGUUCUAAAUGAUUGAAAUUGCCAUGAAUGCCAUGAGAUCCAAAUGUGAACACGUGACAUUCUUUCAUUCAUAUUGUCUUAAGUAACUUUAAAUUUUUUAUCAAUAUAAUAUUUAAAAAAUUAAAUUAAAUUAAGACUGAUUAGUUAAUGCCUAUUUCAAUUGAGUAAUAAAUAUAGUAUUACUUAUACAAAAUUUAGAAUAAUUCUUUUCAACAAUGCAGGACAAACCCAUUAAGCCUAUCUAUUUUGAAAGUCAAAACAAAUCAUAGCCUUAUAUUUUCAUUCAACUUAAUUAAUUGGAUGGAAUGUUUGUUGUAUUAUACUCUCCUAUCAUUCCAAGCAGAGUAUUUCGUCACAACUUGACUAUUUCCCUUUUUUGUCAACAAUUUCCGUCAUGAUGAUGAAAAGAUUGAGAGAAGAAAAUUACACUAUUGGUUCUUAUGGAAAUCAUUUUCUAUUUUAUAUGAAAAGGUGAAUAAUAUUUAAUGAAACUUUCAUCUUAACAAGAUUAUCAUUUGAUUUGAUUUUUUUUUUUUAAUCCAUGGCCUUAAUACUCAAAUUUCCUAUCCUAUUAUUGUUUCAUAGGUCUAUGUGGAUUUAUUUUUUCUUUUUUUUUCUAAAUCCAUGGCCUUAAUUUUGUUGAUACUUAAAUUUUCUAUUUCUAUGUAGAUCUAUAAGGAUAUAUGAGACACGUAUCUAGUAUGACAUGAAAGGUUAAUUAUGGGGUACAUCUCUCUGAGGGCAUGUUUGGGUUGCUAAAAUAUUAAAUGAGAAUAAGAAAAUCAUUCCAUUUGUCAUUAUUAUUAUUAUUAUUAUUAUGUUUGGAUUACUUUGGGAAACAAUGAUAAAAAUAAAAAAUUCAUUCUUAUUGGAACUAAACUCACUCUUACCAGUCGCUUCGUACCUCACCAAUAUAUUUUCAAACAUUUGCCUCAACACUUAAUAUUGAGGGAAUGUUAUCGCCUUGAGCAUUUUAUCAUCACAAUGAAUAUUGUAUAUGUUUCACUUAAGAGUACUUGAUGGCAUAAAAUUUAUGCAUUUCAUAUUUGUCUAAAUUGAGAGUAGGGUUCAAAGGAACCCAAGGAUCUACAAUACUUUGGUGGUGGGCUUGAAGUGUCACAUCAUUAUUAAUUAUAUAAAAUAAUUCUAGAGUAUUCGUUUGGUUGCUAGAGUUAGAGAUAGCUGAGACAAAAUCAAUCCAAUUUAUAUUUUAUUAUUUCAAUUGGAUUUAGAGAAGUAGACGGGUAAGUAAGACGCAUCUAAUCAUCACCACUUGCUUUUCUAUUGAUUCAACCAGGCAUGUGCUACUAUGUAAUUGUCUCAUCUCCACAUCACACCAUCUUAUUAAUUUAUGUACAUGUAGAACCAUCUAGUUGGUUCCUAUAGUACCAUUUAGUUGGUUCUUAAUUGGAAAAUUCUACAAAUGGGAUUGAAAUGCCAUAUUUUCUUAGGCUUUAGGAAAUUUGAUCUUUGAAAACUAAUAUCUUCCACCUUAGAAUCCAACUUUUAAGUUUUGUAUUCUAAAAUCUUAUUAAAUGAUAUUGUCAUUUUACUCUUUUUAGGAGAAUGCAUAUGCAAUAUCUUAAUGAAGUCAAACGAAUACCAUAAUAUUGAUUCUCAUGUUGAUUGGCUCAAUCAAUCAGUCAUUUAUUUUAAUCAAUUAGCCACUUGGUUGACAAUACCUUAACAUGCUCAAUUGAAUAAGUAAUUUUCUCUUUGAUUGACUCAAUCCAUUAGUUGAAGUAAAAUUAAUUAGAUAAUUGUUGAUUGCAACAAUCAUGCCUUCCAUAAUGCCUUUUGUUGGAGCUAGUCUAGAAAACCAAUAAAUAGAGUUGUAGUCGAGGCCUUUCAAUAACCUAUCUCAGAGCUUCUCUCUUCUCUUCUUUUCUCCUUUUGUGAGACCUUGAGAGAUCUCUUUUAGUUCUACCCUAGAGUGAUUCUACUCCUUUGUACCAUUCUUCUUGAGUCAUUAGAGGAACAAUGCAUCUAGAUCUUUCAUCUUUUGCUUUGUUGAGGAAUGAACCUCUACAAGCAACAUUGGAUUUUGAGAACCACUAUUUUAAGGAUAAUGCACUAUCAUGUCUUAAUUAACUAAAUUUUGAUAAGUUGUCUAACUUUCAUUUUCAGAAUUUUAUUUUUUUAUUUUUUUUACUUGUAAUCCUACCUCUCUCCCUCUGUAUAUUUCUAAAAACCUUAAUUUAGUUCUAAUAUGGAGGUAGCACUAAUUCACACCAAACUUGAUAUCUCAAAAAUUGAUCCUUUCAAGGGGUUUUUUUUUCUUCUUCUUCUUCCAACCAUAGAUAUUAUGAAUAUAGGACAUGUUUUGACUAAACCCAAAUCAAAAAAUAAUUUAAAAAAUGUACUUACAUGGGAAAAUGGUAAUAACUAAAUUUCCCAUACACUUUUAAUUACUUUGUCAAAUCAAUUAUUUGAUUUGUGUUGCUUUAUUACGCAUGUUAAAGAAAUUUGGGAUAAUAUGAACAAGAAAUACAUCUUAGAAGAUGUCGAGCUUUGAAAAUAUGUCAUAAAUUUUUUUAAAAUUUUAAAAUGGUUGAGAAUAGAGAUGCAUCAUCUCAAAUCCAUAACUAGAAUAUGUUAAUUAGUUACUUAGCCAUGAAGAUAUUUGGCUUCCUAAACUGUUUGUGACUAGGUACAUAACUUAAAUAACUUAGAUUCAAUAUACGACCAAAUUGAAUCUUAAGACCAAUAUUGCAUCCAUAAGUUAGAUUUUUACUUUGUGAAAUAGAUUUCUAAAACCAUUAAGUGAAUGAGAUUAAUUAAUGGUUAAAAGUUUGACUUUUUAACUCUUCCUACUCUUAUACCUUUGUUUUAGGAAUGAUAACGAUAGAAAAAAACAAGAUAACUAAUUAUCAAGAGUUACCAAGAAUCAUUACUAUUAGGUAAUAAUCUUCCAUAUCAUUCCCUAAUAAACCUCACAAGGAUAGGUGAUGGUUAAUUUUGAUUUUCAAUUUUAUACAAUCAAAGCUUACAUUCAUUUUUGUAGAUUUGACCAUUAGAUUCGUUAAUAGUAUAAUCAAAUUAUAGUAACUAGUAAUCAAGGUCUUCCCAAGAAUCACUAGUAUCUUGAUAAGAAUUCUUCGUAAUUUAUCUAGGGUGAUCUCAGAUAGAAGAUUUAUUCCCAUAAAUUAAAUCUUAAAAACCAUAACUUUACUAUGUUCUUUCUACUCUUCUUUGAAUUCUUCACUUUCAAGUUAACAUCUUUGGUUCAAUCAAGUUAGCCAAACAUGGUGAAGGAUUUCUCCUUGUAACCCAUGUUUGCUUGCCAAGAAAAUAAAAUAGAAAAAUUGAAAAAGAAAUAUAAAAGAAAUGAAAAGAAAACCUAAAACUUUAUUAAGAAUUUCAAGAAGAGAGAUCAAUCUCUCUCUCUUUGCGUUUUUUUUUCUAAAUCAAGAACUCCCUAGAAAACCUAAAAAUUGAUUUUUUAUUUUUUUUAUUUUAUAGUUUUCACAAAAAUCCAAGACUUGGCAUGUUCCUAUUGGCCUCUUAUUUUACAAAUACUUGCCUAGAAAAUAAUAAAAUCAUGAUUUCUAAUUGUAUGGGAUCCACUUAGAGUGGAUAAAGUGCCUAGGAUGCAAUUCCAGAUAUCGAGGAAACGAAACAUCAAAGUUUCAAUGUGUGAUUUCAAAAUUGGGGUCAUUUCAAAAUGGAUUUUAAAAUCAUAAGUUGAAUUUCAAAAUGAUUUCAAAAUGGUCCUUUAGCUAUGUGUAGUUUUCAAAUGACCAUAACUUCUUUAUUUUAACUCUAAUUUGCACACCAUUUGAAUGUUAGACUCCUGAAUUCUUAAGUUUCAAAACAAUAUGUGGCUUACCCUAAAAAAAUCAUGGGAAGUACUUCAAAAAUCACAUAAAAUUCAAGGUAUGUGUUGUUGUCAGGUUUGAGUUCUAAAUUUCAUAUUAAGCUUGAUUGCAUUUUAUUCCAACCACCUUUCUCAUGGUUGCUUGUUGUCUAUCUCACUCCAUAACAUUCAUUUCUAGUAUUUCAUUCCUAUGACUCAUUCAUUUCAAAUUUUCUUAGAUUCUUCAUGGUUUACAACUUUUGAGUCUCUCGGUUAUGCAUAUUUAACCAUUUUUACUUCCUUGGUUGAGAAUGAUUUUUGCAUUUAGCAUUCUUUUCAUCUCAUAAAACUUGGAAUUAGGCUCAAAAUAAAUGUUAGAUCCACAACUAGGGUUUGAGUUAAGUUGGAUGACUUGAGCUUUUUAUAUUGUAUAAAUCAUAUCAUAUAUGUGUCAUUGAAGUCUAUAUUUUCGCUCCAAGUAGUAGUUUUAUCAACCUAUCAAGAUUACUUUUUCAAUUAUUAAGUUAUAGACCUACCUAUUAUGUGAUCAACUAACAUACUUUAGCUCGUAAAGAGCAUGUUAAAUUCCACUAAAUAAAUUGUUAUGGUCAUAAUCUUCCUAAACACAGGUCAUUUGGAUCACCCAAGAGAACACAUUGUCUCAAUUCCAUGAAAUAUCAGUGUAUUUAUCAAGAAUACUUAUUGGCACUAACCUUCAUUAACAGUGACCAAAUCUAUAGGGAUAUAUGACCAUAUUAGGGUCUUCCCAUAGAUCAAUACCUCAUGUUGACUUCAACACAGACUCAAAUCUUCUCGAGGUUAAGAGUCCAUGCAAUAUAGUCGCUUGGUGAUUUAUAAAAAUUGAUAGUUUUACAUCAUGACUCACUGUAGGUCCUAUCAAAUGUGUAACCAUGUAUACUAGUGUACUCACUAUGGGACUUGGUAGUCAAUAUAACUCAUCCCUUUAAUUAGACAGUAGUGAACUACAGUCUUUAUUAGAUUGUCUAAAUCUACAAUCCAAUUAUGAACAACUUAUCCAAAAAGGAGCCCAUGAAAGUCAUAUAUGGGUGUGUAUGCUUAGAUAAAAAAUGAAUUCACAAAAGGAAUAAUAAAGAAAAGCCAAAAAAUAUAAAUAAAUAAAUUUAUUAAUAAAUCAACCAUCUAUUACAUCAUGUCAUGUUUUCUAGGACUCUAUCCCAAUAUCUUUGGCACCAUGCUACAUAGUAUUAUCAUAGAAAGAAGAGUGAGAGGUCCACUCCUAAGGCUAAUUUAGCAAAGAAAAAGGUGGUAGUUAUUGUAGCUUUCUUUGAGGUGAAUAUAGUCACUAAUGUGAAUGACUAAGCAAUAGACUUUAAAGCUACAAACCACAUAUGUGGUAACAAAAGUGCAUUUAUCUCUUAUACUAUAAUAAGGGAAGAUGAUGAAUAAAUAUUCAUAGGCAACUCAAGGCCUUUGCCUAUGAUCGAAAAAGGGAAAGUUCUUCUCAAUUUGACAUCAAACAAAGUAUUUGCCCUUAAUGAUGUCUUCCAAACAUGAGAUGUUCAUUGGAUUUGGUAAUAGUUUCUUCACAUUGAAAAAUAGGGGUAAAAUCAUGUUCAAGUAGAAAAAAAUCAUUCUUACCAAGAAUGAUGUUUUUUUUUUUUUUUUAUGAAAGGAUACUAUAAUCAAGGCCCCUUCAUGUUGAAUUUUUUUCUAAAAUUGAUAUAAUAAUAAUAAUAUUGCUUCUACUUUUCCUUGGUUAAUUCUUGUGAUGUGUGGCAUGGUAGACUAAGACAUCUUAACUUUUAAUAUAUAAAGAAAAUGGUUGACAUUGACUCAAUUCCUAAAGUGUCUCCAAAAAAUCAUGGGAAAUGAUUAUGAUGUAUGAAAUCUAAAACCAAUAAGAAAACAUGAAAAACUAUAGAAAAUAAUCAGAAAACUAAGUUUAAUUUAUAAUAACUUAGGAGAUCUUUAAAAUACAAUGAUUUAAGAUAGUAAGAUUUUAAAUAACCUUUAUAGGUGACUACUCAAGGUAUAGAAGUAUAACUCUUUAAAAAGCAAAGAUGAAGUCGAAGAGACUUUCAUAAAAUAUAAAACUAAGGUAGAAAAAUUGCUUAAGAAGAUUAAAAGACUCAACAUUGAUAGGAGAGGAGAAUACGAGUCUAACACUUUCAACACCUUCUAUAAAGAUCAAAUGAUCAUUCACAAUAUUACUCUACCAUAUUUUCAAGAAUCUAAUAGAGUGGUAGAAAGAAAGAAUAUGAUCUUAAAAGACAUGAUGAAUGUCAUGUUAGUAAGUUCAAAAACUCUAUUGAACUUAUGAGGGGAAUCCAUCUUCUCCAUGUGUCAUAUUCAAAAUAAGAAACCCUAUAAGAAAAUUAGUAAAACACCUUACAUGCUAUGCCAUGUACCCAAUAUAACAUACUUCAAAGUGUAAGGGUUUCUUACAAAGGUUUUCCCACUUAAACCUAAAAAAAAAAUCAAAAAAUAAAAACUAGGUCAUAAAACCUUUAAUACGAUGUUUAUAGAAUAUGCUAAAAAUAGUGCAAAAUAUAUAUUCGUAGUCGUCAAAUAUAAGAAUAACCUUGUGGAUGUGAAAACUAUAAUAGAAACAAAGAAUGUUAUUGUUCUUAUUGUUGUUGUUUUUUACACUAUCUUUUCUAUAAGCACUAAUGAAGAAGACUAAGUUCUAAAAUCAGUUAGAAAUGAAUUUAAUGAACAUUCUAAGAUUAAAGUAAAAAAGAAGUAAACAAUAUAAGAAAGAAAGAAACUUUAGAGAUGAUUUCUAUACUUUUCUAAUGGAUAAAAACCUAUAAAGAAGGAACAUUUUCUCUUAAUGCAUCCUUUAGAGAAAAAAAAAUCAUAAAUAAAGAAAUUGAAUCAAUUACUAGAGAAAUGGUGGAUCUAUUCCAUGGUGUAAAUUAAGACAAUAGGUUGUAAAUAGAUAUUUAAAAGAAAAUUAAAACUAGAUGAAUCUAAACAAACAUAUAAGGGAUGAUUUGUUAUCAAAGAAUAUAAACAGAGGAAAGAUGUAGUCUAUGUGACACAUCUGCCCCUAUGUCUAGGAUUUCCUCCAUUAGAGUAUUGUUAUCUCUUUUUUCAUUCAUAAUAUAGAAAUAUGCUAGCUAGAUGGAUAUUGAGAUUGUAUUCUUGAAGCGGGAAUUGAAAAAGGGAAUCUAUAUGGAUCAACUAAAGGGUUGUAUGGUCUUAUAAAUGAGCAAAAUCUAUAUAGGUUAGUUAAAUCCAUGUAUGGAUUAUAAUAAACACCUAAACACCGACACAAGAAGUUUGAUCAUGUGCUGGUAUCUAACUAAUUUUCCAUUAAUGAUGUUGAUAAAUGUAUUUACAAUGAACUUGGGGAUAGCGCACAUAUGUAUCAUCAUCUUCUUGUAUGUAGAUGAUAUGUUGAUUCGUGGAAAUAGCCUAGAGGUCGUUUAUGAGACCAAAAGAUCAUUCCCAAGGUCUAAAUUUGAAAUGAAAAGCUUUGGAGAAUUAGAGCUGAGUCUAGAGAUUAUGAUAAAUAGAUCUAAUGAGCUUAAACUUUCUAAAAAACAUUAUAUUAAGAAAAUCCUAAGGAAGUUUGAAUACUUUGAUUGUAACUUUGUAUCAUAUGUGAAACGUUUUAUUAGCUACUUAUGGCUAAGUGUCUAUCCCUAGGGUACAAAUGGACUAUAUUCUAUAAUGAUUAAGGAUGAAUACAUACUCUUAAUGAAUACAUGCAUAUCCCUUAUAGGUGAUGUGGAUCAUUACAAGACACUUAAUGGGUUGCCUAUAAGAGAGUGGAUGGGGGGGUUGCUUCUUAUAAGAACUUAGGUAGGCCCCCCAGAGUUCUCAUGAAUAUCCAAGUAAGGUGCAUAAUCUAUUCAUGCUAACCCAUUAUAUACAACUUUGAAGCAAAAAACAAAUGUUGAGAAGAGAUUUCCUAUCUCAUAAAAAGAAAUCAUACUUCAUAAAAACAAAUCUUAACUGACAACUUGUCCUAAGAUUAGUUCAUAGCUCAAGAGCAUUAGUUAUGAUACAUUGGAUUCUAGUAUAUUGUUUUUCUAAUCAUGCAUCUUGCAUUAUUUCCUUUAAUCAUGCACUUUAUGGUGAUAUUUGGGGGAAUGCGUGCAUGUAAUUUCUCAAUGGAGUCGAACCAUAUCAUAAUAAUCAAUUGAAUCACAUGUUAAUUAGCUUAAUUAAUCAAUUAAUCAUUAAUUAAACUGAAUUAACUUAUUAGUCAAUAGUGUCUAAUGAGCUAAUUAAUUGAAAUCAAUUAGCUAAUUAAUUACAUCAAAUAAGCAUGUCUUUCAUUAGGCCUUUUGCAUAUAGAAGUAAGUCCAAAGAGCCUAUAAAUAGAGUUGUUGUCCAAGCCUUUCAAUUGUCUCAUCUUAGAGUUCUUCUCAUCCCCUUAUUCUUCUAUAAGACAUUGAGAACUCUCUUCCCAUUCCACCUAGAGUGGUUCUACUCCUUUCUAUACAUAGAGGAACAAAGUAUCCAAAGUUGUUAUCUUUGCUCUACAAAGGAGUGUUCUUUUAUAAACAUUACAAGUUGAAUAAUAGAAGUAGAAUGACUGCUGCUAUUCUAUUGCACUAAGUACAUUCUCAAAGUAGAAUAAAAUUACUUUAAGGAUAAUACCUUGUUACGCCUCAACUAAAUUUCAAUAAGUCAUGUGACUUAAAUUUUCAAAUAUUUCUAGUUUGUACUAGUGUUGUUGUCCAUUUCUUUAUAUUUCUCACAACUCUAACCUCUUCCCUCUCUCACUUCUAUUAUACUCUACUCUUGUUAAUUUUGAACUAUAACAUGACACUCACUAUUUAUGCGACUAACCUCCUCUAACAAGAGAAUUCAAUGUAAAUGAACUUAAUUUUAACUUUAAAUUUUAGUUAAAAUUAAAAAUAAGAAGUAAUGUCAAACAAAACUUUUUAAACUUAUUUUGGUAACAUUAUUAUUUGAAAAUCUUUCUUAUUGAAAUGCAUGUCAAAAACCAAAAAAAAUAUACCAUUAUUAUCACUUAUUUUAAUCAAAAUUUUAUCAUUUGUUAAUAGAUUAAAAAAGUAGCAAUAUGAAUGAAAUAAAUAUAAAUAUAUGUAACCUUGUGGCACUACAUAAGGUAAAGUGUGGUAGAAAGAAAAUAAAUGAAAGUGUAUCAUUUUUUUUUUUUUUUAUAUUCGCAACAAAAGAAUCAUUGGUGAAUGAAGUUAAAAAAUAAAUUAAUUGCUUAUGAUUAUAACAAUUAUAAGGUGCAUGCAGAUACAUCAAUGAAAUGGACAAAAAGGACUGAGGGGAAAAAACAAGAACAAAAGAAAAAAAUGAAAACAAAAAAGGCAUAGAAAAAUAGUAUCACUAAGGGAUCACAAUUCAAUAUAAUUUGUUUAGUAUGUGAAAUAAAGAUUAUAUUAAUAAUUUUGUUCUUUCAUAUUUUUUUAGUUAAGCUAGACCUACACAUAAAUUAGAGCCUUCGUAUUAACAAAAAAUUGCUCAACAUUACAUAUAUCAUUACUAAUUAAAAGGAAAUGACAAAAGAAAUUAAGAUUUUUAUAAGAUAAAAUAAAAUGUGAGACAAAAAUAAAAUUAAGAAGUCUAUGAUUUGUUUUUUUUUUUCCUAAGAUAUUUGUUGAAAGAUUUAAUAAUUAACCAUAUCAGUUAAGUAUGUCCCUUCGAUUUAGUUGAUAGUAAUUAAAGGGAUUAAAUGAAAUUCUAAAAUAGGGAGUGAAUUUAAUUAGUUGCAAAUUUUAGAUAAUUUUUGUUUAAAAUUUAAAUAAAUUUGAGCUUAACUAAAUUUGAAUAUAAUUGAAUAUCAUUAAAUCUUAGGUUUUUUUUUUUUUUUACCAGUAUUAGAAUUUUGUUAAAAAUUAAGCUGUCAAGUUUUUAUUAAUGUAAUAAUAUUCAUUAGUGUUAAAACUACUUAUUUUUACUUAUUAAAAACAUUUAUAAAAUUAAUUAUAACUCUUUGUAUUUUAAUUUGAAGACAACCAAUUUGAAAAAGCAAAAAAAAUAGUAAUUUAACUUAUAUUUUAAUAUCCCAAAAUAUCAAAAUUUAUCAUCAUAAUAAAUUUUUAUGAUGAUUGAUUAUAUAAUUAGUGGAAAAUUGAUAAUUGGAUGGUUAUUGGAAUUUUCAAUUAUAGUUAAUUGAUAAGAAAAUGUUAAAAAUUUAUAAGUUAAGACUUGGUUUUAUCUUAUGUAUCUUUGGAUUUGUUAUUGAAAUAUAUGUUUUAUUAAUUUUCAAAUUUUUAGUUUAGGAAAAAAUGUCAAAUGGUAAACUUUUUAUUUAUCAAAAUAAAUGAGAAUUAUUAAUUUCAAUAAAUUAGAUGGUGGUUUUGGAGUUCUAAUUAAAAAUAAAUAAAAUCAUUAUAAUUGAUGAUUAUUACUCUAUUUAUGUUUUGUCAUACUUUAAAAAGGUUAAAUUUUGAAAAUCUAUACUAAACUUAUUUAUUAUUUUUAAUUUUAUGAUUUUUAUUGUUGUUUGUAUUUGUUUUCACUUUUGAACGAUGAAUUUACAUAAAUGUAUGAAGUUUAAAUUCAUUAAGAAUUAAAUAAAUUAUGGUAACAUGGUUACCUACAAUGGAAUUAUGGUUUUCAUUUUAAAAUUUUAUGAAUUUAUUUUAUAUUAAUUUCUUAUUCGUAUUAAGUAAUUUUUAUAUUGUUGAUUUUUUUUUUUUUAGUAACAACUCACAAAAAAAAUUUAGAACAAACUUAAUUUUUUUAAGAAAAAAAAAUUGAUUAAAACAAAACUUAUUUGAACCAUAUUCAAUAUUUUUUAUGAUAAUUUUACUAAUUUAUAGUAAAUUUGUUUCUCAUCCAAAUGCUACAAAAUUGAGGUAGUAUCCCUUUCUUUAUUAAUCCUUUAUUUAAAAAAGUUUUUUUUGUACUAUAUUUUAUGAAUAGUUGUAUUUUCCUUUCUUUAACAUAGAUCUUUGGAGUAAAUUUAUCCAAAAAAAAUUAAAUGAAUUUGGUUUUAUUUUGUGUGAGAAAUUAAAUUUAAAUAAUAUAAUAACGUUAAAAGUUGAAAAAAAGAAAAGAGAAAUUUGAUUUUUUUUUUUCUAUUAAGAUAAAAGUAGAAAAAAAUUAAAUAUGUAAUGAGUCAAAAAAGAAAAUGACUUAAAAAUGUUUUAAGUCUUAAGCAAAAUUUGUUUUAACAAGCCUUAAGUUAAAAAAUAAAUAAUUCCAUGAUUUAUUUUUUGUUUCAAAAUUAGUAAUGGUGAAAAUCUUUGAAAGCAUUAAAAAACAUUUAAGUAUAAUAUUUUUUAAAAUUUCUAGAGAACCUUCUCAAAAUGUUAUGAUAUUCACAUGGAACUUAUAUUUAAAUAUAUCUUUACAUUUCUUAAUAGAUCUUCACAAUAUUAGGAGCUUAAAAUGUUCAAUUCUUUAUUAAAGCCUAGAUGUGUUACAAGCUACAUGAUAAAUUGUUUGACUAAUAUUAGAUUUAAAAUUAAUAUAUAAGCUCUAAAAUUCAAAUAAUGUUCACCUUUGCUUAUCUUACAAUGUUUGAACAAGAGUAUUUGAUUUAUUCAAUUUUAGUUAAUUUUAGCUUCUUGAUAUCUAAAAUACAUAUGCACUGAUAAUUGUGCAUUAUGAGGCUAUAUACAAGUUAGAAUAUGCCAUCAUUAUUAGUAUUUAGUAACACCGCUUUUAUUAUAAAGUCAUAUAAUUGUUUUUCGCUAAUAUCAACCCCUGUGGGUAUUUCACAUGCAUUUUAAAAUGAAUGAAAGGUCACCUCAACAUGCUAAUUAGGUGGGCUAGAAAAUAUUUCACUACCAACUUCACUUGCUUGUUUCUAGUAGAGAUAUUUAUUUGUCAAAGUAAAAUUUAUUUUUUAUAUUAGAAUUAUUAUCUUUCUUUUUAAGCAUAAGGGUAAAUUAAUCUUUUUCUUUUAUUAAUUUCUUUUGAUUGUAAAUUUAUUUAAACUCUAUUUGUGUUGUACAUAUUUUUUAAGUGAUCCUAAUAAAAAACAUUCGACCUUUCUUUUCACUCUUUGUUUACUAUUCUUUCAAAUCUCAUAUGAUAUUAGAACAAGAUUUAUUUUAAAGGAACUUUUGAUGUAUUAUCUCAUUGAAGAGACUCUAAUCUCAUACAUAGUUUUUUUAGAUCUAACUUUUAUUUAUUUAUUUAUUUAUUUAUUUUUUAUGUUAUGUCUUAUUGUAGAUCUUCGUCGUCAGUGAUCGCAUUAUUUGUUUUGUUUGAUCCUGGUAUUUGAUUUCACAUUUAUUUUCUUUUGUGUGAUAGUUGUUUGUUAAUUAUUUGUCAUAGUUGGUAAAAGAGAUUAUUCCCUUUAAUCUAUUAGUACGAGCUUAGAUGGAAGAGUGAUUAUUCUUAUUAGAGUUAUAUGAUGAAAAUUUUUCUAAAAGGCAAAAGGAUGUGGGGUUAUACUCUUGACACUUUAUGCAAACCUAAGAAUGAAAAGAAUGAAAAAAAUAUAGAAUAGUUAGACAUUUAGGAAGUAAAUAGUUAAAAAAAAAAAAUAUCACUUAGAUCAACAACUCUAUUGAGAAUUUGACAAGUACACAAUUGAUGAAGUAUAAAACUACUAAAGAGAUCUAGGAACAUUUGGAAAUAUUAUAUUUGCAGCCUAAUUUUGCAAAAUAGUAUUAGAUAGAAACUAAUAUUCGAGCCAUUGAAUAGAAGAACAUGAUUAUUCAUGAGUUAUAUGCCAUUAUGACUGAUCUUUGAGACUAGUUAGCUCCUAUGGAAUUAGUAGAGUUUUAGGAUUUUGUGUCUUAUAUUGCCCAUAGAGAGGAGCAAUGAUUAGUUCCAUUUUUUAUGGCCCUUUGUAGUGAUUUUUGAGGCAUUACAUGAGAUAAUUUUGUGUCGUAGCCCAAUCCCAUUUAUUGAUUUAAUGGUUAGUGAAUUGUUGGCUGAAAAAAUACGUCUUAAGUCUCAAACAGGGAAAGGAAUUCUCUUCACACCUCAUACAUCUGUUUUGAUAGUACCUUCUAAGCCACCUUCCAACAAUCAAAAGAAACCUUACUCAAAGGUUGACAUGGAUGAAUGUAGCUAUUAUAAGCGAAAGGGUCAUCAAAAGGCUCAAUGCCCUAAUUUCAAUAGAAUAAUGCAACAAUAGUCUUCUUAACAUUCUUCAUAGAGUCAAUCUAAUAUUAGCUAACAAUGUUCUUACAAGCCUCCACAAUCUAAUACUACAACAAUUGUUCCUCCUUUUGACUCAUUUGGAUUUGGACCCACUCCAUCCUCUAAUCCCACAAUAGUUGCUCUUAUUGAAGGGUUCCAAAAGUUCCUCACCAUACAACCACAUGUUAUGUCUACCUUAUAGGUUUGCUAGUCCCUAGGUUUUUAGGUAUUUUUUUUCCUUUAUAUGGGUUUUAGACUUUAAAGCUUUUUACCAAAUGUCGUCUUAUUCUUUAUUUUUUUUGCUUCUCUAUCUCCUAUGUCUUCUAUGUUUGUCAUGACUACACAUGACACUUCUAUACCCAUAGUUAGUGUUGGUUCUUUUGUUACACCUCACUUAUCUUUUUCUAAUGUUUGUCAUAUUCUCAAUCUUAUGUUGAAUCUUGUCUCUGUUAGUCAAUUAUGUAACUUUGAUUACCUGAUUCUUUUUCUUCUUCUUUUGUGUGUAGGAUUCACAAUCUUAGAAAUUGAUUGGAAUAGACCAUAGCAAGGGGGAUUAUAUAUUUUGGACAAGCUAAAGUACUAGCAAUUGCAACUCCAAAUGUUUAUUUGUCUUACUUUAAUUUGAGUCUUUCUUCAUCUAGUUUUUAUUUAUGGCAUUCUCAUUUGGCACAUGUUUCAACUCCUCGUUUAAAGUAUUUAGUUUCUAUAAUAAUAAUAGGAAAUUUGCAAACACAAGAUAUUUCUAAUUGUAGUGGUCGUAAAUUGGCAAAAAAAAAAAAUUUCUUCCUUUUUAAUAAAAGUGCUUCCUCUUAUUCACCAUUUGAUUUAAUUCAUUCUAAUAUGUGGGUACCUUCUUUAAUUUCUAGAAAAUGAGUUUAUUAAAAUUAUGUUUCUUUCAUUAAUGAUUAUUUGUUAUUGUCGGGUUUAUCUUGUAAACAUCAUUAUGAGUUUUUGAGUUUUUAUAAUAUCUUUCAAGCCUUAGUCAAAACUCAACAUUCUACUAUUAUCAAGUGUUUUAUGUGUGAUUUGGGUUAGGAGUAUACUUCUAAUGCAUUUCGUGAAUUAUUUACUUCACAUGGAACAGUUCAACACACUUCUUGUACUGACACUCCAAAGAAAAAAUUGUGUCACAAAAGAAAACAUUGACACAUUGUUGAAACUACUCAUUCUAUUUUAUUAUCUACGUGUGUUCCUACUGAAUUUUAGGAGGGAGUAGUUCUUACUACAAUUUACUUAGUUAAUAAAAUUUCAUCAUCACACACCUUCAAUAACUAUUCUCCUUAUUACUCUUCCUUAAGAGUCUUUGGUUCUACUUGUUUUGUCCUUCAUUUUCAAGUAGAGCAUAAUAAUUUAUCUUCUCAUUCUACUAUUUGUGUUUUUCUUAGGUAUGGUGAAAGUCAAAAGGGAUAUCAUUGCUUUGAUCCACUGAGCUAUAAAUUAUAUGUAUCUCAUCAUGUUUUCUUCCUUGAGCAUAUACAUUUCUAUUUUAUUACUAUCGAGUUUCAUAAUGUUUCUAAAUUCGAAAUUAUUCACAUUAAUAUUUUCUUAGAUGAUACAAAUAGUUUUCCUAUAGAUACUAGUAACUUGGUUCUUAAUCAUCACGGUUCUUUCUCUCUUCCUAUGGCUACUCCAAUACCUUUUGAGACUAUGGAUCCUCCUCCGCACUACGUACUUCUCAAUGUCUUGGUAAGUCUACUCGAUUACCAAAUUUUGUUUAUGCCUCUUAUUCAAAUUCAUUUACAUCUUUUUUAAUUUCUAUUCACAAUCCUUUUGAGUUCUUACAAAGAAGUCGCUCUUAAUCCUCUUUGACAACAAUCUAUGAUCGAAGGACUUUCUACUCUGCCUAAGAUUGACACUUGGGAUUUGGUACCUUUACCACAUGGGAAGAGUAAAAUUGGUUAUUGUUGGUUCUAUAAAAAUUAAAUUUAAGUAUAAUGGUUCAAUUGAGUAGGACAAAACUUGAUUGGUUGCUAAGGGGUUCUCUCAAUAGUAUGGUGUGGAUUAUGAGGAGACUUUUGCCCAUGUCCUACAAUCAACUACUGUUCAUACUCUUAUUGUGUUACCUCUGUUUGUCAAUGGAAUAUAUCUUAGAUGGAUGCUAAAAUACUUUCUUAAAUGGUAAUCUUCAAGAAUAAGUCUACAUGGUACCCCCUCAUGGUGUUUCUCAUAACCUUGAAGAAGUUUAUAGGCUUAAGAUGAUCUCAAACAAGUACUUUGUUCUUGGUUUGCAAAGUUCUUUGAUGUGCUUACUUGUCAUGGGUUUCAUCUCAAUCAUCAUGAUUUUGUACUCUUUUCUAAAAUGCACCACUAUUGAUCGUAUUAUAUUUUCUUUAUAUGGUGAUGGCAUAAUUAUUAUUAGUGAUGAUGUUAAUAGGAUUGCAAUGUUGAAAUAAGAUUUGACUUCUUGUUUUGAAAUGAAGGAUUUAGGUUUUCUAUGAUAUAUUGUGGGUAUUGAGGUAGCUUCUUCUUCGAAAGUUAUCUUCUCUUGUAAUCAAGUAUAUAGUUGAUAUUCUCAAUCUUGUUCACCUUAUUAACACUAAGAUUGUUAAUAUUCCUCUUGACUUUAGUGUUCAAUAUUCUUCUUCUAAUGGUAAACCCUAGCUAUAUCCUACUUUAUAUUAUAUUAUUGUUGGCAAUUUGAUUUAUCUCGUAUUACAUGUUUGGACAUUGCUUAUGUUGUUCACAUUGUUAGUCACUUUGUUUCUUCUCCUACAAUAUUUCUUUAGGCUUUUGUUCUUUGUAUUUUGCAUAUCCUCAAGGCAUUAUAUUUUAGAGUCUUUGACUUUUGUCCAUUUUUUUUACAGUUAUGUGCAUAUUCUAAUGCUAAUUGCAUCGGUGAUCUUGAAGAUCUCAAGUCUACCAUUGAAUUUUGUAUAUAUAUAUAUACAUAGAUUCUCUUAUUUCUUGGAAAAUCAAGAAAUAGAUUAUUGUUUCUCAGACUUCCACAAAAGUCGUGUAUCAUGCUAUGACAUCUACCACCAAUGACAUAGUUUGGUUACAUUGAUUACUUACUAAUAUGGAUUUUUUUUUGGUCCCAUUUUUAUAUAUUGUGACAAUAAGAGUGAUAUUUAGAUUACACACAAUUUCAUCUUUCAUGAAAUGACCAAACAUAUUAAGAUUGAUUGUCACUUACUCAUUAUCACCUUUAGCAUGACAUUUUUACUUCUUUUUUUUUAUUAUUAUUAUUAUUAUUCAUUUUUUACCAAAGAUUACAAACUUGUUUACUAAGUCAUAUUUGCUUCCCUAUUUUCAAUUUUUUGUUGGCAAACUCUUGAUGCUUCUUGUAGUUAUAUCGUGAGUUUUUAAGGGGAUAUUAGAGAUAUUUAUUUGUUAAGAGUUAUAUUUAUUUCCUAUAUUAAAAAAAAAAAAGUAAAGGUAAGUUAAUUAUUUUCUUUUUUUAUUUAUUUCUUUUAGUUAUAAACCUAUUUUAAUUCCAUUUGUAUUGUAAGUUUGUAACUAUUUUUGAAAUGGUUCUAAUAACAAAACAAAGCUUUUCUUUUCUCCCUUUGUUUAUGAUUCUUUUGAAUCUUAUGGUUUCAAAGGUCACCCUUUGAUUUAUAAUGGAAGAUUUCCUUGAUGGCUGUCUUUGUACCUUUUCAUGGAAGGUUUAGAUUUUUGGGGAAUAAAGAUUCAACCAAGUGUGUUAGAGUUGGAAAAGUAUGAGUUCAACAUACUUUUUAUUUUCUAAACCCUCCAAAAAAAGGUCAUUAUCUGGAAUAUCCUAAAAUAUUUAAUCGCAUAUUUGGUUUUAGAAAAAAAAAUAUGUAUAUAUAUAUAAUAAAAUAAAAUAAAAUAAUAAUGAAAAUAACAAAAAGUAAAAAUACAUCUAAAAUUAAUUUAAAUUAUUUUAUUUAUUUUUUUUAAAAUAAAUAAAUUUACAAUAAUUAUAUAUAUAUAUAUAUAUAUAUAUAUAUAUAUAUAUAUAUAUAUAUAUAUAUAUAUAAGACAAGUGAAAAAAAUAUAAUUUUUAUUAAUUCUUUCUUUUAUAUUUUUUACUAAAACCAAACAUAGAGUAGAUGAAUAAUAGUUGUAUUAGACAUUUUUUAUAUAUAUAUAUAUAUAUUACAAAAAAAAUUCGAAAAGGUAUUAUUUAUUUUUAUUUUGAAUGUAAAACCAAAUAUGGUGAUGGUGAGUUUGUGGCGCAAAGGGGAAGAGAGGGGAGUUGUACUGAAACGAGAAAAUGAGAUUGCGUGAGGUGAAAGAUAGUAUGAUGAAUGAGAUCCCAACCGUCCAUUUGGGUGUAGAAAUUUGAAAAGAAAAGGAGGAAGAAUCUGACCACUGGGCACUAGCAUCUGAUUGCUUACCCCACAAGCCUUCCCCUUCCCCCCAUAUCAUCAUCUCAUCUCCUCCUGCCGUCUGUCAUUUUGUAAUAUAAAAAACAGAAAUGGGUAAAGAAUAAAAUAAAACAUUUUUUGAAACACUUUUAAAAACAGCUUUUUUAAACAGUUCUUUCAUAUUAUUUUUUUAAAUAAUUUUUUUAACAAUUUAGAAUAUUUUUAAACUAUUUUUCAUAUUUUUAAAAUAACUUUUAUUAAUGAUAAUUUAUUUUUAAUUAUUAUACAUACCUAUAUAAUAUUUUUUUAAAUGGUUCGAAAAAAGUUUUUCUAUUUUUAAGAGUAAAAGACUUUUUAAAAAAAUAAUAAUUAAAGGUGUGUGUCAUAUUGAGAAAGGAGGGGAAGAUGAGAUAUGAGGGGGUGAGGGGGUGGUGUGUGUCAGACAUAAUGAAGUGAAUGAUUAAAGGUGAAACGUCAUCGAAGAUUUGUUGGGUAACGGACGGGUAGCAGUAGGGUCCUCAUAGUCGUAUGCUGCUUUUGUCUUUGCCUAAAAAAGGCAUGGUGGGCUCCCGGACCCACCCCUCUUCUCCAGCUGUAAUCAUUUUUCAAUUUUUCCCACCCUCUUGUACACGGACCCCCUCCAUCACCCCCAUCCUCCCAUGGACGGCUCUGAUCGAGGACCAUGAUUUCAUUUCGAGAAGCAGAAAGGUGAGGGCUCUUUCCUCCCUCAUCAUUACGACAUCUUUAUUUUUCCUCCUCUGCUGGUGCGAUCAUGCUAUCAUGCUAUCAUACCAUCAUAUCAUCGUCUUUGAGCCUUGAGGGGAGAUUAGAGGAGCCUUUUUUUCUGUUUGGUGUCAAAUGGACGGCUCUGAUUAUCUCUUACGAUGACAGCGCAUUGUGGAUUACUUUUGCCGACAGUACUAGAUGACUGUUGAACCGGGUCUCUCAUCAUAUUCAUGGGCGACAAAUUUCUAUGCCUCAUUUGUAAAAAGUCGCCUGCUCUGCUUCUGGAGCUGAUGCUCGUAGGUCAGACAUGAGACGUGAAAAAGAUUUUUUCUUUUUUCUUUCCUAAUGCAAAAAGAUUAACAGAGAAUUAUAUAUAUAUUUAAAGAACUGAUUAGCCGUACACCCUCUUAAAUAUAUUUGGAUUUUUGAAUUAUACUGACGUCACAGCGAGGACACACGAUCGAUGUUAACGUUGAAAUACCUUUCUUGUCCCUUUAUAAAAAGUGUUUUAACAAAACCAACAUUUUUAUGCCAUAAUAAAAUUAAAAAUAAAUAAAUAAAUAAAUCUCAUAUUGAGUUGACAACAAUUGUAACACACAUGUACAGACGGAUUUGAAGAUUUUUUUCACCGUACAUUUAUAAAAUUGCACUGUAAUGUAUAGUCAUUGGAAUGGAAGUAAAUAUAAUUGAAAAGAAAAAGACAACUUUAUCAUUCACUAUGACAAAAAGUGAUAUAUGAGCAAUAUAGAUUCACACCAUUAUUUCAUUUUUUUUUUUACUUGUUUGAAUAUUUUUAUUAUAAUUUUAGGCGAUUUUGAACAAAGUUGUGUUGUAUUGAAGUAAUGCAUCUUUUAGAGUUCAAAUCAAUGUAUUGAUGUGAAUACCUAUAAAAAAUUGUUAUAAAUGUUUUGAAAAUAUGAAUGUUAAAGGACGAUUCACUUUAUGGUGUCUAUUGGAAAAACUACUCUUGUUGAUGUUAUGGCCUCGACACAAUCUUUGCAAGUUGGUAGAAGGUCAUGUGUGAUAUAAAUUGGGUCGAAAUGUUAUAGAUUUUGAAGAUGAGGCCAAACAUUCAAUGAAGCCCACUAGGUAUAGGUUCGUUGGUGAUAAAGGCCUAACUACGAUAGGGUGGAGACCUGGUCUAGAAGAUGGUGAUGGCAUAGAGUUUUAGAGUGAUAAGAGGAAACACAACCAUCGAGAUACAGAAGAUUUAAGAUUUAAGGGUAAGGGUGACAAUGUGGAUGCAAUGGGUGAUAAUGUUGGUAAGGACGUCUAUAAAUAUAAUAUUGGCGAGGAUGAAGAAUUUGAUAUCAAUAAUGAGGAUGAUGACACAUAGUGAUGUCCACCAAGUCAUGUAAAUGACCAUUCAUGGAGUAAUGAAUUUAGUUUAUAUAGACAAUGAAGAAUAUAGGUUUCAUAUUAAUGAUGACCUUUUGUAGUAUGAAUCCAUUGAUGACAAUGGGGUUCAAUGUUAUUCUACCUCAAGAAGUAAAAGGUUGGUUACGACAUAGAUGGGGGUAUUAAAGGGAAAACCGUUAGGAUAAACUUUAUAUCAUAGUCACAUGCUAUCUAAUAACCUAAGAAUACUAGAUUUGAUUGUAGCAUAAGCAAAUUAUGAAACAAGGCUAAUUAAUUAAAGGAAAACACUUAAGAGAAUGGGUGAAUUGAGUGAUUAAAAAAGUUUUAAAAAGUUUUAAAAAGUUUCAAAUUAAACAAUAAACAAACAAUAAUUAAUGCAAAAAAUAAAUAGUGAAGGGAAAAAAGAUGUGAAAUUUUUACGGUGGUUUGACAAUCCCACCUAUGUCCCCUUUCCUCAAUCUCCUUUACAAGUGAGAGUUCCACUAAACAAGGUUUCAAACCAAGCCUCCAAUCUUGUACCCUUGAAUUUAUCGCUAUAAUGGACACUGCACUUUGAUCAAAUUCAAUACCAACUUGAAGUCUCAACCACUCAAUCUUUUUGCAAGGAAAAAGGAUUUUAAUACAUUCAAUUCUAGCACAAGUUAGGAUUAAUACAAGGAAAUAGCUAGGAUUAAAUGAAGAGGGUAUACUAAAGGAUUUGCAAAUGAAAGAUUUAAUGUACUUAGGUAGAGAACUUUUAAUGAGAGAAAAUGGUAGGUAAGCAAGUUAAUGUAGUUGUUCUUGUUGAUUUUCGUACAACGAUUCAUAAAAAUUAGAGAAAAACAAAAAAAAAAACACACAGAUUUAACGUAGUUCGGCAGAUUGCUUAUAUACACAGGAAUAAGGAAAAAGACUUUCACUAUAUGUAAAAUUAGAGGUUAUAUAAAAGGUAUUUAUACCAACCCUCAGGUAAUGAAAUUCCAAAAAAUCCCCUGAACCAUACCGUGGGAGGUGGGGUGGGGGCAUUACCCUCCCUCCCCCCUCACCCCCAAACCUAUCGUUCGCCUUUAAUAAUAAAAAUACAAGCUUAAAUGACAAAUGUCGGAGUGGGGCGAAACAGAACAAUGACAUUUGCCCAUGUUUCUCCAUAUAUGUCUUUCCUUCAAUAUGAACCACAUACUAUAAAAGAUCUCUUAUCAAUAAAUGCAUGAGGACUCUCCAAUUUAUAGAGAACAAUCUCUAACACCUAAAACAAUAAAAGUUUGACUAAUCGAGCUCCAAUUUUAUUGUUUGCCUAGUUAUUAGUGUAUUUAAUGUUCAACAAAUAACCAUUUGUUCUUUUCAAAGUUCAACCAACUCUCAACCAAGCCUUGAUCAAUACUCAACCAAGAGAGCUUACAAAUUAAAUAUAAUCAUUGUAGAAUGCAGUAUCACAUUGAUCUAAAAAAUCCAUCAAUUUAAUGGAAAAUAAGUCUUCCCAAAUUGUAUGUUUGGCCAACAUUAUAGUUUAAAAGAAAUAUAUGAAAGCAUAGGUCAAUAUUGGGCAUUAAAGGAUGAGUUCACACAUUUGAUGACCUCUCCUAUUCCUUAUAGUGAUAUUGUCAUACAUACAAUAAUGGAAGUCAAACUAUAACAUCAUUGAAGCUAACAUAUUAGUCAAAUGUAACUUUUAGUACUAAUCCUUCUCAUCAACGAAUUACAAUGAUCAUAGAUGAAUCAAUCAAACUAUAUCUUACAAUUAAUAGAAUUUGAGAGGACAAUAAUAGGAUAACAAUUCUUCAUAAUAGGUAUCAUAUGAAUCACUUCGUAAAUAUAAUAGGAGAAAAAUAGAAAAUUUUAAGGAUAUUAUAUCCUUAAAAAAUUUCUAAUUACAUAAAAAUCAAGAUUAACAACCAUAACCUUAAACCAAGUUGAUAAAUUCAUAAGAAUCAGCAUUAGCAAUUGAUGCUUCGACAUAAUAAAUAUAUUAAAAGCAAUCUUAUUAAUGAUGGUUUUAAACCAUAUUCAAAAUUAUAUUAGAAGUAACAUUGUCGAUAGUAGUUUUGAGCUACAUUAGAACCAACAUUAGCAACUUUGGUGUUACUUAAUAUACUAGGAUUAACAUUUGCUCUUAUAAUUUUAAGCUAUAAUCAAGAUUAUGCUAAAAACCAACAUUGACGACUAUGAUUUAAUAAUGAAUUUUUUUAUUUAAAAAAAAGAAAGAGCAAUAGCUCUUAGCCAUAUGACUGCCCAUUUGGAUGAGAAGCAUGACUUUGCCUAGCAUUUUUGCACUCAACCCAUUCCCACAAUUUUUCUCUCUAAAAGGACCGUUUUUAUUUAUAUUUUUUUUAUUUAUUGAAAUGCCUUUCCCCUCUUAUAAAGAUAUCCAUAUUCAUAAUGGAAAUAUAAAUUAAAAAAAAAUUGAGUUUGCUUAAAAUAAAAAUAAAAAUAUUGAAAAACUUUUUUUUCAUAUAUAUAUUUUUUUAUCCUCAAAAUUAAAUGAAAGCAAUUUUUACUUUCAAAAACUAUUUUAAAGAAUAAAAAAUAAAGAAACUUAUAAAUUUUAAAUAAUGAAAUUAAAUUUGUUGUUUUAAAACAAGUAGCCACAACUUUCACGUUAAGACCGCAUAGCGCAGUGGAUUAGCGCGUUUGACUUCGGAUCAAAAGGUCGUGGGUUCGACUCCCACUGUGGUCGAUUCAUCUUAGUGUGUUUUUUUUUUAUAAAUUCAUUUGAUUCCGUUUUUUCAUAAAAUUUUAUAUUUAAAUUUAAUAUAAAAUAGAAAAUUAUCAAAAUUAAAGUUUGACAGUCCCGUAAUUAACCUCUUUUCGAUUGUAGAAGUCAAACAUUGAAAAAAAUAUAGAAAAGAAUAAUAAAUUUUUCUUGAAAUUUUUUUUAUUCAAAUAAAAUUGUUUUUCAAAACUUUCAAUUUAAUUGAAAAACCAAGAAAUUCGAGGUUGGUUUGA